RNAcentral lists this long non-coding RNA (96943 nucleotides) under Solanum lycopersicum (tomato). RNAcentral's name for it is "long non-coding RNA (SLYC_LNC000717)". The record is from RNAcentral. Lineage: Eukaryota; Viridiplantae; Streptophyta; Magnoliopsida; Solanales; Solanaceae.
AUCAAAAGAGCAUAAUCAAGAGGUAUAACCCUACUCUCUCAUGAAAAAAUGGUUUGACGGUGAUGAUAAAAGAUGACAGAACAUGACUCAGGACUGAAAUUAAAACAAAUGAAGAAUUGGAAUUCAUGCAACACGGUGGCACUUGAAUCAACUUUCCCGGGUGAAUUUGACUUUCGAGUUCCAUCAGUUUGGUACUUCCCUCCAAACUGUUCUUUGUUGUAUUUUCUAUUAUAGAUAGUUGUUUCGACAAAUCUCAGGGUUAUGUCAAAACACAAAUUGGUCCAUAGAUUGAAAAUAAAAUAGACAUAAAUCAUGUACUAUUUAGUCAUAUGUUUCCUCCUAUCAAGUAGAUCAACGAACAAAUAUCUAAAUCUAAGUCAACCACCCCCAAUCCAUAAGGGCCCUUCAUCCAAAAUCGGUUUCAAGAAGCAGGCUUUCAACUCAUAAGGAUGUAUGUGAAAGCAUAGGAAAGAAGCCAGAAGCAUCAAUAUGGCAACUAUUGACAGAACCAUGGAAAAGAAACAAGAUAAUUACCGAGUUUUACAACUACAACCAUCUGCUGACAUCAAUAGUUUCUAGCCUUCUAAAGCAUAUGUUGGGACCUGCAUCACAUUUGCAAAAUAACAGUGUCAUUAGCAGAAAUGAAUAUCCCACACCAAAACCCCCCAGGGCAUCAGUCAUGGACAAUUAUUAUUUUUUUGGUUAAAGAUUUUAGUUCUAGUUGUCUAUAAGAAACAACCUCUCUAACCCGUAAGGUAGGAGUAAGGUUUGCAUACAUCGCAGACCUCGCUUGUAGAAUUGCACUGGGCAUGUUGUUUUUGUUGUAUUACAGUUCUAGUUGACACAAAAUUAUGCAAAUAAACUUGAUGACUGGCUUCGGUUCCCAAAGGUGCAACCACAUCACUAGAGGAGUUGGUACUUGUCAAUUAACUGGAGUGUCCACAUCCGGAUACUCUCUUUCCGCCCUUGAUUCAUACAAAGCUAGCUCAAUCUUUGAACUACUAUUCUUCCCCAUUUCAUUUUCUGUCUGUUACCUUUAAUGCUUGUUAAGAGUGUAUGUGAUCAGUCAUGUUUCCGACUGAUCUUCAAAUCCCCACACCUUCCAACAACUUAAACUAAAGUAUAUUAAGAAAGAGAACUAAUGAUAUCAAAUACUCCUGACUGUACCUACCAACCAAUCAUCCCCCACCCCACCCCACCCCACCCCCCCACCCCAAAAAAAAUUCAAUUGGUGCAGCAGGAUCAAGUUGUUGCUCUACUAAAGUCAUGAUUUAUAGAAGUCCAACCAGAAUUAAGAUAAACUUUAAAAAGCUUUAGACUACCUCGAGCAUGUCUUCAUCAGGGGAACAGGAUACUGUAGAGUCCAAACCAUUUGAUUUAUCAAAUUGCAGGAUCCUCAAUUUUCCUUCCUGCACAAUUUAAUGUUAAAAAAAAGAAGACGAAUACUUUUGAGAAUAUGAACAAUUUUAUAGUUGUAACCAAAAAAUGAGAAACUCAUACAAUGUCUGCAUAACUACCUUAGUUCCAUAUACUAGGCCACCACCAACCAAAGGAUGGAAACAAGCAACGUUAACCUCAUCCUCUGCACUGGGAAGAACUCUCACAAGUUCCAUAUCCGAAACUCUAUAGACCUGAUUCAAAGACUCACAAUCUGAAUUAACUAGAGAAAACAAAUAUAUACACCGACAUUGUGAACAAACCAAAUUCAUUCUUCUUGCAGGUUCAACCAAAUAAUCUCAGUAAAAUGUGAGCGAAAGCAUAAUUCUCCCUUUUUAAGUUUUAUGAAGUUCAAAAACAAAGUGCAUCAACACAAAAGAAAUUAUUUUGACAUACUAGUAAACUAAUUGAAUUGGGCCUCUUCAACCUUAAAAGUGUCCUAAACACAUUGUCACUGCACUUGCAUAUCAAGCUAUAGUAGCUCCAGUUUAUCUAGCCCCAUUUUCAUCAACUUAAAUCCAGUCUUUCUAAAGUUAAACAUAUCCUGCAUCACUUUGCCUAGCCCACCCCAACUUGUUUUGGACCAACGUAUAGUAGUUGAGGUUGUACUUCUUCUUCCCUUUUUAAUAAGGAAAUGAGGUUGUGCUUCUAAAAUUAGUUUUUGGUUGCACUGCAAUUGAAAAUAGCCUCAACAAUCCAUUUAUGCCAUACUAUUUGACAGGUACAGGAGAUUAAAUUAGAUCAAUCAACAUGUCAUGUGACCGAUGACUGAUGUGAAGAAGAAAAUGGCAAUUUGAGUUUUCUGUACAAAGAGAAGAAAAACAUAGUAGCAUGAAAUCAAAGGUAAAUUCUUCAAAGUUGUGAAAUGUAAUUUAAAUUCAUCUAAUUUGUAAAUAGUGCACAACAUAUUCUCGUGCCAUAUCAAUUAUCAAACCUUCAUGGACAUACCAUAGUGAAACAUGGGUGACACAACAUGGGUCAGAAGGAAUUAUAUGGCUAACCCUCUGUGAUUAACUAGACUCUAGAACCAACUGUCCAUAACCUAGAUUGAUUGGCUCAGAGGUUAAGAAGUCAAAAACCCUUGCAUGUUUGCAAAGAGUAAAUGAAAUAUUUGAAGAACUUCUUAGAAAUGUAAGUGACAGAACAAAAACCUUAUCAGGUUUAAAACCAAACUUUUGAAACUUCCGUAUGUCAUAUAAUUAUGUCAAUCAUUUUCACGAUGUUCUAAAAUAAGAAGUGUGCUACCAUGACCCAGUCUUGGUGGUGGUGAAAAACUGACAUUCCAUAAGAAACCAGGAUAUAAUCAGGUACUCACCUCAAGAAUAGUGUAGACAGGUAGAGUUGUAUCUCCAUCGAUCACAAUACUUUUCAGAAGUGAUCCAUGGCGACGUCCAUAGGCAAGUAAAAGAUGCUCAGAAGUUGGAGAGAACUGCAUUUUCAAUAGAUGUGGAGCAACAAUCAGUUUCCCAUAUCAGAAAGAUAACAUUUCAGUCUAUAAGAGCAAUUAUUACUGCAAUUUAAAGGUGCAUUUCAUAAAAUUGCCAUUGUGAACAUCUCUUGACUAGUGAAAUCACUUGAGACACAUUUCUUUAUCCAGGAAAAAGUAGGUUCUUUUUGUGCAAAUAACAAUGCACAGAACGAUCUACAUUUAUAAUUAAACAGUAAGCAAAAUCAAAUAUAACGAAGUAUAGAAGUGAACGAAACAAGAUAAGGUACAACACCAACCCAUAGGAACUUUAAACAAAAAAAGAAAUUCUACUCUCUAAAGGAAGGAUCAAUAUUUGUGCCCAGGAUUUCUUAUUGAACAAGUGCUCAACCAGUUUUAAACUUCAUAUCCAAACAAAACAACGAGAGAGCACUUCCCCUUCAUUUUUGUUCUCAUCUAACAAUUCAUAUUUUGCUUUUACUUCCUCAAAGGAUUAAGACAAAAAUGCUACAACAAGAAAACCAUCUAUAGUUCAUACUCCCAGAAAACCAAAAAAUCUUACCACAAAACAUAAUUUAGGAUUAUAAACCAAUAUGUGCAGAGCCCGAGGAGUACUAACCUGAAUUGAAGUCAAACAAUGAGCAGCUCUAAUUAGUCGAGAUGCAAGCACCCUACCAAAACUGCAACAGUGAAAUAGAGUUCCCAAAUGACCACCAAACAAAGACAUGAAAAGAAACAAAGAAUGAAGGACAAAAAGAGUAGCAAGUGUAAGCAGAGAGGAAAAGGAACAAAGACAUUAGAAUUGGUAUUUACUUUGCCUCCUCCAAGGAAUAUAUACGUAGCUCAUACAUAACCGGGUGGGCUGCAAUUGGAUGUCUGGUAGGUGAAGUUGCAGCAUCGUGACGAAAUUGUCCAUGGAAACCAGGAUCAGCUUCCAUGCCAUGACUAAUACAAGCAACACAAGCUGCUAAAAAUCUUCCACAUGGUGAAAAGUGGGCACCCAUUUCACUGAAAUAAAUAAUGUAUAUCAUGUAAGCACUAAGGACAGUUAAUUGCACGUGAUGUCAGGUUUUACAAUGAAAUAACAAUUAGGAAUUGUCAAACAACGGUAAGAGGAGAAUCAUCAAUUAUCCCUUAGAGAAAGUUAGAUCAAGCAUCUAGAACAACAUGAGAACAGCUAAAUAGCCCAUUAUCCUUGAAGGCAUAUGAAAACCUCAAGCCAAAGCUUUGAAACAAUAGAAAUUAUCUCAUCUACAAAGCACAGCAUGUGGUAUCAUUAAGCGACAACAGAAAUUAUCUCACCUACAGAGCACAGCAUGUGGUAUAAUUAAGCGACAUUUUUCAGCAUCAAGCGGCGCACAUGGAACCUUAAUAUCAUAAGGCCACACUCUGAGUUUCACAGUACAAGGUAAUUCAGAAGAAGCUGCUGCAGUCAGGGAAGUAGCUAUCUCUGACUGGAACCGACUCAUAAGAGCUUGAGAAUCACUUUCAUUAUGUGCAAUGUUAAUGGGAACAGCACUAUCACCAGAUCCAGCAACAGGUAUUACUCUAGAGCGUGAAGAACGGUGCCGGGAACCAGAUCUUCCAGACCUUGGAUGAUUACCGUUUGAAAUGAUGGACGGAACUGCAGGACGAUGUUCUACUUCACCAUAAGCUGAUACAAUGUUUGUGGCACCACUAUGCUCAGAAUGAAUCGCUUGUCGGCCUGCUUGGCUUUGGCCAAUCAACCAUCCUUGCAAGAAUGGUAAGUCCCAGUAUGCAGGGUCACUGAAAGGAAAAAACUGAUUGUUUCUCUCCUCAGUCGGCGCAUCAGUCUCCAUAGGAUCACCAACAGGGUUAGAUGCAUUCUCUGUAUCCCUAACAGAGGAACUAGUCUGAGCUUCUUGCGCAGGAGAUAAAGUUGGCUCAACAGGGGACAAUAAAAGUUCAUACUGGCCAGAAGGAGUUGAGUAAGUGAGAAGUCUGACAGAGGCAGAAGUGUCUGCUCUGUUCUGUGUACUGUCAGAACCCAUGUCUGCAUUACUCUGCUGCAAAGGCAUUCUAGGAUCACCUCUAGCGAUUGAUGGCCAGAUCAUGAACGGUAGAGACAUGAUAGGCAAUUCAUUCGCUGAAGCAGAUCGAUAAGUGGAGUGAGCAUCUGUCAAAUACACAGUAGGAGGAGGAUACCGCAAGUUACCCAGAGAAGUUGUAAAUGUCAUUAAAGGAUCUGAUGAGUCCAGAUCAUUGACCUAAAAACAAGAGGGUUGAUAAGAUUUACAGGCAUUCAUAAGUUAAAACUCAAUGUAACAGCACCAGAAUGACACCUCAGCUGUUAAAAGAUAUGGGGCGCCAUGUGGGUGGAAAUGCACAGCACGAAGUGAACGUCUUGUCUUUAGUAUGAUAGCUGGUGAAGAUGCCUCCCCUCUUCUGUUGUAGUGCCACAUAUACAGCUACGAUAUAUUGAAACAUCGUCAUACAUCAGAACUUGCAACGAACAAACCACUAUGUAUUGCCAAAUUUCUUACCUUGUGCCCUGAAGCAACAGCGAGAACUUCCCCUUGGGCAUGGAAGGCAAUGGAUGCAAUAGGUCGGUCUGGAGGAUAAAAUUCCCAUAUAAUGUAUUAAUUAAACAAAAAAAAUGGUAAAGAGUAAUUAUUUUUGUUCAACCAUUAAGAUGUUACAGGUUAUUACAAAAAUCACGUGAUCCUAUACACUCGGCGGUUUUUGCAUCCCAUAAACGAACUUCAUGGUCCAAACUUCCACUUGCAACUAUCUCAGAGUAGAGUGGAUGGAAACGAACCUGCAGAAGUCCCAACCAUAAUGCUAAAUAUAAUUGAGGAAUGAGAUUCAAAGGCAAGAGAAGAAAUAUCAAUACAGCCAAGACGUGUGGAAAAAAAAAACACCAGAGGCUUUCAAAAUAGAACUACAGACAACAGAAAAAAGCUUCAUAAAGUUCAAUCCUCUUCCAUAAGUGUGAGGUUCAAAUGAAAUGAAUUAGGCUUAGACCUGUGAGCACACAUCAAACAUUUAUCUCUCUAUUUUUUAGAUAGAUACCAAUCAUUUAUCUGCAUUAAUAUUUUAACCAAAUAAGAUAGUUUAGCCAUCUUAGAAGAACAUCAAUAAGCAUUAAGUUAAAAGAAUAUAAUACUUCGACAUUUUGUAAAGCCAACUAUAUUGUCAAUCCAAAAUCUCAGCAUUUUAAUUGCCUAGUGGACUGGAAUAUAUUUCCCAAGUAGAUAAUCCAAGAAUUCAGCACAACUGUUUAAGAUGACUGAAGAUGUCAAAACAGUCUUACCACCCAAGGAGUCCUGCGAUGUCCACUUAACACCUUCAAGCAUUUCCCGCUUUGGCAGUCAAUUAUCUUUACUGUGUGAUCUCCACUGACACCAUGGUAACAGAAUACGUCAACGAACUAGAUACAAGCCAAAAGAAAAAAUGGACAGCACGGAAAAAGUGGAAUGUUUGCCUUUGUUCUCAAUUCAUGAAUAUUGACAACGGAUUGCAUUUUUUUUUCCUUUUUUAUGAUAUGAAUAUAGUCACUGAGGAUUUAGAAAUGUGUGUAUAAUGAAUACUUGGACUCAAAAGAUAUUGUUAGAUAAACAAUUUCAGAUCUGAGCAGCGAGACACUACAAUGCAUAACAUAACAGAUUGUACAUGUCGAUGUAUUAAAAGAGAGACUGACUGAGUAGAAGCAAGUGUCUUCCCAUCAGGACUGAAUGCCGCAGCAAUUGUAGACCUAGGCGGAGGCAACAGUGGACAAUACUUAGCUGAAAAAUGUCUCAAUGAUUCUGCCUCUACCCUGAUAAAAUUAAACUAGCCGAAGUCAGAAAGCAAAAUGAAGAUUUGCAACUAUAUUAACUUCAUGGGAAAGAGAAAAGCUGACAAAACAUAACUACCAUGAUAUAAGACCCCGUCUCGGGUCUCUUGCUACUUGGCUUUUUAACUUCUCAUAGGAAUGAGCACAAUAUUUAGAAUUCUCAUCCCAUAACUUCUUAGAACUACGUUUAGCUCGAGGAGAUACCUCCCUCUUCGUUAGUAGCUGAAAGACAUUACCACAUCUGGCAAACAAAAUAAACCACCUCAGCAACCAAAAUACAACCUUAUUUGUGCAAUCUAAUUUACAAACUUCGCACAUAACCACAAAAGUUAAUCUUUGAGAAAACACUAACAACACUUACCCAUGUGUAUCAUAAACAUAUCUUUUUUUUACAUAGUAAACGCCACCAUCCCACCCCACACCAGAACCCACUCAAGGCGAGAAGUUGAAGGUCAUUUCCGCUAUGCUACUCCGCAAUUACAAUAUAAUUAAAUACAACAUUAAACAAUUAAAAACUGAUAUAUUUCCCAUCUUUGCAAAAAUAGUUUCAAACUAAACUCACCCCAAUUAAAGCUUACGAUCAAUCAUUUUAUGCAAAGACAUAUUCCAACAGCAACCAUAUCAGAAGCAUUACAAUUAUCCAUAUCACCAUGAACCCUUUUAAGCUAACAAUAAGUAUGCCAACAUAACAGAUAAAACUCACAUAUUUUUUGGUUAAGAUUUUUAAUUAAACCAAAAAAAAAGAAGUUGUUUUCAGCCUCAACCCUUCUCUGCUUAAAUACCAAACUUAGUUCACCAGACAAAACUCCAACUGGAGGUCUGCCUCUGAGUUUAUAAUAUUGUGUAAUACAGUUUCAUUAAUUAAAAGAUGCAAAUAUCAUAAUUAUAUUAACUCAGAUAAAUCAUGAAUUUCCAAUUCUAAAACCAAUCAAAGCCUCUUAAUCUAGCAUCGAAUAAGCUGAAACUAAACUAAAUUUCAGAUCUUUGAAUGACAUUAAUCAAAAUCAAUAAAAAUUCAAUCUUUAGGGUUUCAGGAUCAAAACUAUGACCUGUUUUUGCAAUUAGGGUUUUGCUCAAUCGGAAGAGCAGGCGAAUUCCAUCCCGGCGGCGGCGGCGGCGGCGGUACAUGAAUCGGAUUUGACGUAGAUGAAUCACUACUUGAAUUCUCCGGCCAAAGAGAUCCCCUCAUAAUUCUAUCCCCACAAACGAAUACCUCAUGCCCCAAUAUUUCCCGUCAUUUCCAAUGGAACUUUUCCGGCGAAAUAUUAAAAAAUCGAUAAAAUUAUCCGAAAAUGCCCUCAAAUUUGGUGGAAUUUACACCGGGAAAUAUAGAGGGAUGGAGGAUAUAGAGAUCUUGUAGAAGGGCAAAAUGGGAAGAAAAAAAAAUUUAGGGGAAAAUGAGAAAAAUGAAGAAGACGACGGAAGGUAUUUUUUUUUUUGAGAGUUUGGAGGAUUUUUCCGGCAUCGGACAGUAAUAUGUUUACUUUAAUGUAAAAUGACAAAAAUAACCUUGGCGCGUGAGGUACAAAUAUUGUGAUUUGUUAUUAAUAAAAAUGAAAUUUAUUUUUAUUUGUAGAUGUUUGAUUUAUUAAACUAAUAAAAAAAUAAAUUAAAGAAAAAAUAUUUAUAAAUGAGGAUAAUAUAAAAUUUGUGUUUUGGUUUUCUAAAAGAUUGAUUAGGGUUAACUUUUAACUGAUAUUUUAUAUGGAAUGGAGAAUAUUUUUCUUCGCUUUUUUUUAGUUGUCAUGAUAAGCUCUGUUAUAAUCUCUAAUAAAGAUUAAAAAAAGUUGUUUAAUCAAUAUAUGAUUAUUAAAUUUUUAAUCUUUGUUAAUAUAUAUGUCUUUUAAACUCUAAAAUAAUUAAUGUUAUAGGUAUAGUUAGAAAACAAUAACUAAUUUUUUCUUUGAUUUGUUUGAAUUGGCAACUAUUUGAAAUAAAUAUGUUUAGUAUACAUGACAACUGAAAAGAACGGAGAAAUGUAUUAUUAUAAUUAGAAGUAUUCAACAUCGAUUGUAACUCAUAAGUCAAUCGCACGAUUGACUUAUUGGCUUAUUGAUAUUAGUGUUUUUCCAUAAUAUAUAAUUAUAUAUAAUCAAAAUCUAAGGUCGUACCGCAAAAAAAGCUUGAAAACAUAUUUUUAACUAUUAUAUUAUUAUUAAUUUAUAUUCUUUUUUGUAAUUAGAAGAAUGUUAUAAUUUAACUGUAUUUAAAAUAGGAAAACAAUUUAUUUUUACGUUAUUAUCAUAAAAAAGGAUACAAUUCGCCAAUACAAGUGUUAUUCAUUAUGAAACUAAUCGAUAUUUUAUAAAUUAACUAGCAAAUUAGUAAAUUUAAAAAUUAAUAUCCAGUAAAUGAAUUCGAUAAGGGCCUAAUUGUAAUAUGAUAUUCAUAGUCCUAAAAUAGAAAAUUUUAUCUAGUACUAUAUAGGAUAACCUAAUCCUUUUUUAAGUCUGAAAAUAUUAUUCAUUAUCUCUAAAAUUUAUUAAGUCAUGCUAGUCGAUAUUUUUUUUUUUAAUUUGCAGAACAUUGUUUAUCUCAUUUAAAUGACUUGUAUGUCUCAAUUAAAAAAAAGGUAACUAGUACAAAAAUUAAAAAAUAAACUCGAGAGUGUACUUAAUUCUCAUUAAAAAAAAAUUACAUUAUUUAAAGAGAAAAAAAUUAGACUCAAACAAUUAUGUAUUUGAAUAAUAAAUCCGUCUUUGCUUCAAUUUAACAAUGGUUGUCUCAAUUUUCUGUUAGUUAUAAAUAGAAAUAAGAUAAAUUUACCAUUUUUUUUUCAAAUUUAACUCAAACAGUCGUCUACUUAAUUGCUUAGAUUGUUAUAAAAUUUAAAAUUGUUAAAAAGGGUCUGUUCAACCUCAUCCGGCUCAAUUCUUACGGGCUAAUGACUUUGAAGGAUUAGGAUUGACUGACCCUUCAUUUGGAAGGACCUAAUUAAAAAGGGUUGAGGGUUAGGGCGGGCGAGAUAGCUUCUUCUUCGUUUUUUUCAAAAGUUUUAUAAUAUUAAAAAAACGAAAGACUUCUAUAUCAAAUAUGACAAAAAAAAAGGUGUUGUUUCAACAACACUAGCAAAAAAUAUAGAGUAAUUAAAUUAAUAUGUAUCUAGGAUACUAUAUAUGCGAGACGCAUGUAUCUUGUGUAAUAUGUUUCAUAUACGCGAGUGAGAUAAGAGAGUGGCAAGCGAGAUGAGAGGGAGACGAGGGUGUGAUAUUUGUCUAUGUAUCCUAGAUACAUGUGACUCCACUUUUACAGAGUAUUUCUAAAACAAAUUAACUUAUUUUGAGUCCAUAUUCCUAAGAUACAAAUAUCUAGACGUACAAAAAUCUGAUAAGAUUCAUAAAAUUACAGCUUAUAUACAUUUAAGUAAUUAACUCUAUACUAGUGGAAUUAUUUUAAGUUACCCCUGAAAUAAAUAAUUUUGAUUCAUGGGCUAACUCUCAUCUGAUUCCGCUCAAGCCUCAAGGGCCAAAAACUUGUAUGUAUUGAGCUUAUAAGCCAUACUUCUAAAUAAACUUUAAUUUUUUUUAUCCCAAUCCUGCUCCAACAAAUAAGUUGGGUUGGCUCGAUAUGGAUUAAGUCUAUUUUGACGGCUCUAAUAAAAUUAAUAAAUAUAUGAUAUAUGUAUAAAAUGUAUACAUAAUUAUGUAUUAUUUUCGUAUAUAUAUAUAUGUAUAUCAACUCGGAAAAAAAAACUGCAAAUUCAAGAUUGUAAAGUUUUUUUCUUUUAUAUUAUUAUUGAUAUUAUUUCUAGUUUCUAUUAGGUGAAUAUAAAUAAUAAAUAAAUUCAAUUAUUAGAUUCCUUUGGUAUGUUCCAUAUCCAAUAAUCCAUUGAUUGGAUAUCCACUGAAAAAUCAUUAUCCAUUAAAUCAAAAUUAGAUAAACUUUCUUAUAUGGCGGUCAAAAUUAGCAAUUGGUCCACCUUUGACCAUUAUGUAUGCAAUGACAUAAUUAAAAAAUUCAAAGAAUUCACGUUAAAAUAUUUAUUAAUUUACGAUAUUAAAACUCUCGCAAAGUUUAUGUGUCUUAUUAAAAAACAAACUUUUUUUAAUAAGGUAAUUAUGUAUUUUCUUAGUUAGAAAUAAAAACAUCUCUCUCGAAAAAUAUUUUAUCCUUUUGUGGAUUAGUUUAACAAGUUUUUAUUUUUUAAAUAAAUUUAUCUCAUGUGAUUACAAUUUUAUCGAUUUGAUGAGUUUUUAAAUAUCAAAUGCCUAAAACCAAAAUCAUUAAUUAAUGACAUGAUAUAUGUUAUUCUCUUCGUCUAAUAAUAAUUGUAUAUUGAAGUAUAUAUUUAAAAUAGUUGUAUAACAAUAAUUGUUUAAUUUAGAAAAUUAAGAGAUGAUUUAUUAUUGGGAAAAUUGUAUACAAUAGCAAACUAAUAACCUAAAUUAAAUGGAAUAGCUAGGGUUUGAUUUAAUUGUGCUCCAUAGCAAACAUUAACUAAAAUUUACCAGCGUCUCUCUCCCAAAAAUCUCGCUCGCCACUCUCCAUUCUCGUUCGCCUCUCUCGCUUUAUACACAGAAGUGUAUAAUUCUGUUUCUGUUUUGUAUAAAGCGAGAGAAAAUUGUUUAUACACAUGAAAAAAUGUAUAUCUUCGUGUUAUACACUUAAUUAUACAAUUUACAAACAUUUUACUUCAAAUAUUGCAGAGAAAAAGGCCAACGAAUUAUACAAUUGCAGUGAAAUACAAUUUUCUCUAGCUUUAUACAACAGAAGUGUAUAUAUUGUGUUUCUGUUUUUGUAUAAAGUGAGAAAAACAUAUAUCUUCUUGCUAUACACUUAUAAUUAUGCAAUAUACAUACAUUUUAAUUCGAUUCAACUGUAUGCAAAAUAAAUUAUACAAUUGCAGUGAAAUAGGCCAGCGAAUUAUACAAUUUAGGCCAGCGAAUUAUACAAUUGUAUAUGUAUAGUAAAUUAUACAGUUUUAUGUUUGCUAUGGAGCGCAAUUAUGCAAAGUUUGCUAUAACAUAUAAAUAUGAAUUUUUUGUUUGCUAUAUGUGAAAGUUACCCUUUAUUAUUUGUGUUCUAUUUUAUUCUUACUAUUCAAAAUUACUUAUCACUGACAUAUUUUUUAAAGCACUAAAUUUAAUAAAAUCAAAAAAUAAUAUAAUGAUAUUAUCUUUUUAUUUAUUAUUUCUCAAAGAAUGUACAUAAUUAAUGGUAGACAACUAUUGUAAUUUAGACUAAAUUUUUAAGUUAAAAAUGAAACUUAACACAUUAUUUUUAAGUUUCACAUACAAUAUAGAAGGUUUAAGCGUAUUUUUUUUUAACCAAAAUAUCCCUUCUUUUAAUGUAUCUCAAUUGUGUUUUAUUAAUAGAUAUAUCUCUUUUUAAUGAAAUUAUUAUAUAAUAUAUGGAGAAUUUUAACUUAAUAGACGGUAUUGAUUAUUUAUCAAUAUGAAUAGCGAUAGCGCUUGAUUCAUUCAAGUUUAAUUUAUUCGUUUAAGAUUAUAGAGGUUCAAUUUUACGAAUUUAAUAAUAUUUAAUUUAAAUUUUUAAAAAAUAAUAUAGAUUUUAGUAAUUUUUUAAUCAAAUAACUUAAGAAAUGUUAUUCUCUUUUAAAAUCAUUUAAUUGCACUAGAGUAUAAACCUGAAAAAAUUUUAAUAUGACUCGAUUCAUAUCGAUCAACAAAUGAAUAUAUUUUUUUUAAUUAAAAUUCCAAAAGAUAACAUCUUAUAAUUCCAUUAAAUUAUAAGACGUUUUAAAUUCGAAAUCUAAUGUUAAAACAAUUAAUAUCCCAAUAGAUGAUACAAACGAGUAUAUUUUUAGGGAAAAUUGUAUAUAAUAGCAAACUAAUAACCUAAAUUAAAUGGAAUAGCUAGGAUUUGAUUUAAUUGUGCUCCAUAGCAAACAUCAGCUAAAAUUUGCCAGCGUCUCUCUCCCAAAAAUCUCGCCACACUCUAUUCUCGCUCGCCUCUCUCGCUUUAUACACAGAAGUGUAUAAUUCUGUUUCUGUUUUGUAUAAAGCGAGAGAAAAUUGUACAUACACAUGCAAAAAUGUAUAUCUUCGUGUUAUACACUUAAUUAUACAAUUUACAAACAUUUUACUUCAAAUAUUGCAGAGAAAAAGACCAACGAAUUAUACAAUUGCGAAUUAUACAAUUGCAGUGAAAUACAGUUAUCUCCAGCUUUAUACAACAGAAAUGUAUAUAUUGUGUUUCUGUUUUUGUAUAAAGCGAGAAAAAGAUAUAUCUUCUUGCUAUACACUUAUAAUUAUGCAAUAUACAUACAUUUUAAUUCGAUUCAACUGUAUGCAAAACAAAUUAUACAAUUGCAGCGAAAUAGGCCAGCAAAUUAUACAAUUUAGAACAGCGAAUUAUACAAUUAUAUAUGUAUAGCAAAUUAUACAGUUUUAUGUUUGCUAUGGAGCGCAAUUAUGCAAAGUUUGCUAUAACAUACAAAUAUGAAUUUUUUGUUUGUUAUAUGUGAAAAUUCAAAAAUUAAUACUCAGAACAAAUUUUGAAUUCAAUAUGAUUAUAUUAUAGUAAUAGUAAAAUAAAAGUGAUAAAUUGAAAAUAUUUCUAAUGCAUUUUAUGAUAUUUCCUUUCUUUUUCCAUAGUCAAUAUCAAUUAUUUUCGAGGACCACCAAUAAAUAAUAAAUAAAUUAAAAAGUGUAAAAUAAUGUGAUUAAUAUAACUGAAAGAAAAAAUAGAAAAAAAAAAGAGAGAUAUAUAUGCCAAAUUUUACGUGGCUCCUUUUAAUAAAUUCACCGUCCAAAAACCACCACGUGUCACAUCAAAAUUAUCUUCUUUACUUUCUUCCAAAAAUAAUUUAUAUUUUACGUUUCGUGUACCUAAAUGUAACCAUAAAAAAAAAAAAAAAAAGGGACAAAAUACUUCGUUUUCCAUUUUCACCGGCACCUUAUUCUUUAUGCCACGUGUCCAAUGACGAAUAGUAAAUUUUUUUAAAAUAAUAAUGCCUAAUUGAAGAAGAGAUGACAAUUAAAUGAAAAUAUUAUUAUACUUUUAUUUAGUCAAUUAACACUAUUGGAAAGUAACGUCGAUAACAAUAAUAAUAUAUUCAGUAUUAUAUUAUUGAGUUUUUUUUAAAAAAAAUUUAGACUUUUAUAUCAAAGAUAUAUGAUGAUUGAUUAAAAAACAAUAACAAAUGGUUAUUAAAUAUUAUUAUAAUUAAAUUAUAUAAAUAAAAUAUAAUAGAAGAGAAAAAAAUAAGAGUAAUAUUAAGCCCCGGACAAAACAAGACAACAAGUCCAUACACUCCCGAGUCUCAUCUAUUAACCUUUUAACAUAGUUAAUAUCUUACACGCUUUACUAUUUAGGUAUACGUCUUUGAUAAAUUGUAAUAUUAUCGUGUUUUGUUUAAUUACUUCAUAAAUUACUAUUUUUUCCGCCUAAGUACUCUACUUUUUUUGAAUUCGUUCAUAAUCUAGACCUUUCAUAUCUCCAUAUCGAUGCAUUCGUGUAUCUGCUCAUCACAUACUCCAGCCAUCUCGAUAUUAUUUUCCGUAUCUUAUUUUCCUCCGACUCUAUGAAGUUAAAAUCAAAUCUUUCUGUUAACUUUCUCAAUUUAUUCGUGAAUAAUAAUUCACGGACGUGAAGUAAGUAACUCUAAAACACCUUAUCGCUCCAUUACUCUUCCCAUACUUGAGCUACAUGAACCUUCACGCGUCUCCAAAUAUCCACCGUCCAUUUCACGUGAUCAAAAGCAAUCUUAACCGUCGCCUCCGCCAUCGCUCGUUCUUCGCCACGUGUAGUUACUUACACGUGUCAUUAAUUUAACGGUCCUAUUUAUCUUUAUAUAUCUUAUUAUCUAGAGUUUCUAUUUUUUAUUUUUACUUGUAUACUCUAUAAAUAAUCCACAAUUUCAACUCCUCCUUCUCCAUUUUUCUCCAUCAAUUUGGUGAACAAAACAAAAAAAAAAAUUAAAAAAAUUCAUCAUUUUUAAUCUGCAAAAAAAAAAAUUAGUUAUAAUAUUAUUAUUAUUAUGGCAAUGAGUCUGCCACACCAGAUCGGUGCCUUAUCAGGAACAUCGCUCACGGCGGAAACCGGUGGAGUUUCAUGCGAAGUUCCGGCGAAGGGGAGUUCAGCUACAUCAGCUAUGUGGAGAACACCGAUGACGAAUUUAAAAGUAUCGGUGCAAAAAACAGGAAAUGAAAUUGACAGGGUGUCGCCGUCGCCGUCGCCGCCGAUGAGUCCGAUGAUGGGAGGAGGAAUGCGACCGGAUUUAUCGGUAGCGUGUCAAGCGUUGAUGGAGGCUCAGGUAGAGGAGGUAGUUGAGAGAGAAUAUAAGGUUAGGAAUUCGUCGGAGAAAGAGAAAGGUGUUCCGGUGUUUGUUAUGAUGCCGUUGGAUAGUGUGAAAACGGAUCAUACUGUGAAUAGAAAAAAGGCGAUGAAUGCGAGUUUACAGGCGUUGAAAAGCGCCGGUGUGGAAGGGAUUAUGAUGGAUGUGUGGUGGGGAUUGGUGGAGAGAGAUGCACCGGGAGAGUAUAAUUGGGGCGGUUAUGCUGAGCUUAUGGAAAUGGCGAAAAAACAUGGACUCAAAGUUCAAGCUGUGAUGUCUUUCCAUCAAUGCGGUGGUAACGUCGGUGAUUCCUGCACGUAUGUAUAUUUUCUCCGAUGCUAUUUUUAAUUCGUUUUAACUGCAAAUUUGUGAUUACCAGAUUCAAAAUCUAGAUCUGUUAUAAUGAAUACCGUCAAAUCAAACAUGAUAUAACUCGCAUCUCAAAAGCUAAUUCGAGAUAUUUUCACAUCGGAUGUGGCCUGACUAUCAUAACAUGUCAAAUUAGUAUUUUAUCGUAGUUUAACCUCACAAAAAGCUAACUUAAAAGGGAGAAGCAUUGCUCGAAACGAGUGGAGAGAUAUCAUUCCUCGUCGAGGUGGUAAAUCUCUUCAACAAAUACUUUUAGAUAAAAGAUUCAUAGGAUCUGGAAAAGAUUAAAGAAGAAAGUUCAAAAAAAGGUUAGUGGAUAGUGAGAAUAUGCUCCUUUAUAUGUGUGCUAAAUGAACUAUUUAAAGUAACUAUAUUUUAUCUGGAAAGAUAAAUGACUUUAUAAUAGAUUGGAAUCAACCUGAAUAGCAUAAAAUGGAAUAUGGAAGAUUCAUGAAUAAUUCAAUUAUCUUUGUUUAAUUUUCAUUCGAGUUCUGUUAUGCGUUUUGAUUUCUACUAAUCGCGAUGUAUAGGCGUUGCUUAAGUAGAUUUUUGAAAUUUCAGGAUCCCUCUUCCGAGGUGGGUUGUUGAGGAGAUGGAGAAGGAUCCAGAUCUUGCAUACACAGAUCAGUGGGGAAGGAGGAAUUUUGAAUAUGUAUCGCUUGGUUGCGAUACACUUCCAGUUCUUAAAGGAAGGACUCCUGUUCAAUGCUAUUCUGAUUUCAUGAGAGGGUUUAGAGAUAGAUUUGAGAAUCUCUUAGGUGAUACCAUUGUGGUAAGUGCUAUGUUUUUUUCGAAUUUUUGAUCGAAGAGUAGAAGACUCACUUUUUUAAUCCAAAUGACGUGUGAUAUAGGAAAUUCAAGUCGGGAUGGGUCCAGCUGGUGAGCUCCGUUAUCCAUCCUAUCCCGAAAAAGAUGGAAUAUGGAAGUUCCCUGGAAUCGGUGCUUUUCAGUGUUAUGAUAAGGUAUAAAGCAAGUUCUGUUUUCUAUGGUGUGUUUUAGUGUUUAACGUCGUCAUUAUUACUGAUGAUUUGUUCUGUUAAAUGUAUUGUAUCGCGUUGCAGUACAUGAUCGGUAGCUUACAGGGUGCAGCGGAAGCAUUUGGUAAGCCUGAAUGGGGACACACCGGUCCAACCGAUGCUGGUGAGUACAACAAUUGGCCAGAAGAUACAAACUUUUUCAAGAAGGAAGGUGGUGGAUGGGAUAGUCAAUACGGGGAGUUCUUCCUCACUUGGUAUUCUCAAAUGCUUUUGAACCAUGGCGAGAGGAUACUGCAAUCAUCCAAGGCGAUAUUCGAGGACAAAGGUGUGAAGAUUUCAGUUAAGAUUGCAGGUAUCCACUGGCACUAUGGAACAAGGUCCCAUGCCCCUGAGUUGACUGCUGGAUACUACAACACUCGUAACCGAGAUGGUUACCUUCCCAUCGCCCAAAUGCUUGCCCGCCACGGUGCAGUUUUCAACUUCACAUGUGUUGAAAUGCGUGACCACGAGCAGCCACAAGAUGCACAAUGUGCACCUGAGAAGUUGGUUAGGCAGGUGGCGUUAGCAACUCAGGAAGCUCAAGUUCCACUUGCUGGGGAGAAUGCAUUGCCACGAUACGAUGAUUAUGCUCAUGAACAGAUCCUUCAAGCGUCCUCGUUGAGCAUCAACGAUCAAUCAGGUGAUAGAGAGAUGAGCGCGUUUACAUACUUGAGGAUGAAUCCUGACUUAUUCCAUCCUGAUAACUGGAGACGAUUCGUUGCCUUUGUGAAGAAAAUGAAAGAAGGAAAAGACGCUAACAAAUGCCGCGAACAGGUAGAGAGGGAAGCAGAGCAUUUCGUUCAUAUAACUCAGCCGUUAGUACAAGAAGCUGCAGUAGCCCUAAUGCACUAAGCAAAUCGUUGUCAAAUAGUACUGUUUUAAUUUGAUCCUUUUAGCUAACAUGAAGUUUUUCAACAUGUUACCUGGAUCUUAUAGCUCGUUAUCGUUGUUCUUAAAUGUUUGUAAAACUGUUCAUCGUGUAGUUUUUUUAAAGCUAGACAUUAUGUCUUAAUGAAAUGAUACAUAAUUCAGUAGUAAAUACACCUCUUCAAUCCAAAUAUCACAUAUAUGAUUCUUCGUUCAUUUGUUGACUGGUUGAUGUUCGUUCGUUCUUAAUUUUAAAAUAACUGGAGAAUCAAAGAUACGUCUUUUUAUACUUAUUAUAAAAAUUUAAAUUAAUCGAGACGGUAAAAAGUUUAACAUUGUUGAUUGUUACAUGAUUUUCCUAUACUUUGGUAUGACAUUUUUUUAUAUGUCAACCCAUACCUUCUAAGCACAUGAUACGUGCACAAACUCGAGAAUUUAUUUUGUACUUUGCUUUAAGUAAUGGCAAGUAUUCAUGUCCAUAAGGUCUUCAUGUGCUAGUGAAGUCUCUUUUACUUUAAAAAAAUCGUUACGUUGCUAUCGGAGAUGAAUUCAAAAUUUUAAUUUUUACAAUCUAUUAUUUGUAUUAAUCUAACGUGUUUUACUACACAUUAAAGCCAAAAUUUCUAGAUAAACUCACUCGUUACAUUAUAAAUCUGCAUUGAUAGUGAUUGUUGUUAAAUAUGAUACGUCUGUCUAAACGUCACAUAUUAUGUUUAAAAAAUCUAUUUUUUGUUACUUAAUAUCGUGUCUAAGUUUUGUGGCCAAGAAGAGUCAUAAAAAAGUGUUUCACACGGAUUUCCAUUAUAAAGUAAUAAGACAAUUUAUAAUAGCUGACUUUUAAUUUUAUUUCACACGACUCUUAUGCACAAAAUUAUAAAAAUCGUUUUUUUCCCCGUAAAUAUACAUACACACUAUUUCAACGUUUAAUUAUAUUAACUUUUUUUUUAUUUUCUUAAAUUUCGUAUUGAAUCGUCGUCACAUACAUGCAUAUAAAGUAAAGUAGAAGUGGACAUUAAUGUUCAAUAAGAUGGUUAAGGACCAUGUAAAAGUUAGGUAUAAAUUUUUUUUCCUUUUGUUUUGAUUUAUUGUGGAUGAGAGGGUCUGAAUAUUCUAGUGUAUGUUAAAAAGAUGCCACUUUAAUCACAUAAUUUAAUUUUGAUAAUGAAAAAUUAAAGCAAAAUUUUUAUAAUAUGACUUAAUCAUAAGAAUUUUUAUAUAUUUUAUUUUGUUAAAUAUUAUAAUUUAUAAUAUCUUUUACAUACUUUUAAAAUACAUAACAGAUAAUAAUUAAAAUAGAGAGACUAUUAAAUUUUCAAAAAUACACAAUUUUUUUGAUAUAAUAUACACAGAUUGAAUUAUAAGAUAUAAUUUUUUUAAUUAAUGUAGUUUGAUCAAUAAGUUAUGAAAAUAAUAUCUUAAAGAAAUAUAAAGUAUAAUAAGUAAAUUUUUAUGAUCCAAUUCUCACGCAUAGCGAGAACUUAAUAUUCUGUCCCUUUUUUGUUUUACAAUUAAAAUUAUAAUUGUCAUUACCAAAGUUUGUAUUAAUUAACCACACGAAAACCAAGUCCAAUGCAGAAAAAAAUGGAUCAUCAAUCAAAUAAACCAAUAAACUCUAUAAAUAGGUCUAAUUAACCUAUAAGAUACUCAAAAAAUAUAUAAUAUAUCAAAGGUUAAAAAAACCAUUUUUUUCUACUAUUAUUUUAUUAUAAAUAAAUUCUUUAAAAUCAAUAAUCAAAAUGUCAAAUGCUCAACAAGCCGGUGAAUACCACGGCCAAGCUCAGGUAAUACUAUAAUAAAUAUUUGUUACGAAUCAAAAUUAUUUUUAUAUUAUCUAGACUUAUAGUCUAGUAAUAUCAAAAUAACGUAACCUAUCAAGCCACGAUCCCAUGUGGUGCAAAAUUAGAGUCAUCAUUAUUAUUAUUAUUGUUAUUAUUCUUUAGAAUAUCGACUUAAAUUCUAAUCGUAUCAGUAAUAAUACUUUUUAUAUAAUAGGUGUGAAAUUUUUUUUCCAAUUCUCGUUUUCCCUUUCCUUCGAUCUUUUUUUGAAUAUAAGAAAAUCAAUUCAAAAUUUAAAUUUAACGAAUAAUAAAUGAAACAGGCUAAGACCAAACAACUAGCAGAGUCAGCAAGAAAUACAGCACAUUCAUUGGCUGAUAAGGCUGACAAUGCUACCCAAAAUGCUCAACAAUCUGUUCAAGAAAACAAAGAUCAACUCAACCCUGGAUUUCUUCAACAGGUAAUAUAUUAUCGAAAUUUCGUUAAGAACGUUCAAAAUUUAAAAAUAUAUAUGUAAAAAGUAAUUGUCGCAAAGUGUAACUUAACCAAGAUAAGUACAUGUUAGCUACCUGACAUAAAAAGUGAAAAUAUAAAAACAGUAUAGAAGGUCUCUAAAUUAUCAGUAUAUAUAAAUUAAAUUGCUUGAAAAAUUAUUAACACAUUUUAUACUUUUCACUUUUUUAUUUUCCAAAUUAAUGAUACUAUGUCUAAUAAUUCUCUUAUUUUAUUUUAUUAUAAUUAUUCAGACUGGAGAGCAAGUGAUCCAUAUGGCUCAAGGUGCAGUUGAUGGAGUGAAGAACACACUUGGAAUUGGAUCAGACAAAAAGUGAAAAAGAGAAAAUGAAAUUAAUUAAUUAAUUAAUUAAUUAAUUAACACAUUUAUCAAUUUAUAUAUCUCAAUUUUAAUUAAUUUUUCAUUUAAUUCUAUGAUUUUCACAUAUGCUUUAGAUUAUUAAGCAUAAGUGAAAAAACAUAAUAUUAUUAGUUUGUGAGAUCUCUCACCAAAAGAAUUACAAAAUUUAAUUCUUAUAAAGUGAGAUGAUUUUCAUAGGUUUGGUUUAAUUAUUGUUUAACAAUUCCAUGCACCUUAUAUUGGUGUUAUAGUGAAUUUUGUUUUAUUGAUCGAGAUUUCUCUCGUUAGAAAUUCUCAUUAUAAGUACGUAAUAAGAAAGUUUUAUUUUGUUUUUGUUAAUUGAUAUUUUUUGUUAUUUGUUUUUGACUCGAUUUACUGAUUGAUGGUGGAGAUGCUCAACCACUUGAACAAGUCUCACUUAUUUCAGAAUUAAAUAAUACACUCACUUUUCUACUAUCCUUUUUCAUCUAAAUGCCAAACGUAUGUUGAGAAACAGAGUUUAAAUUCGUGACGUGUAUCUAAUCGACACAUCUUCUGCUGUACUCUUAUGAUAUUAUCAUUAUAUUGAGAUUUUUGACCGAAAGAAAAUUAUGAGAGACAAUUUAGUUUUAGCACGUUCAAUUUCUAUCACAAGAUUAAAUACCUAUAUUUGUUUGCAGGUAAUUUUUUAGAAAACCAUUAAUAAAUUGAAUUAAAACGAUUAUAAUAUUGAGAAUCCUUCAUAUAUUAUUAGAAUUUGCCUACGAUUUAUAAAUAACUAUAAACAAUGCAUCACCACCCUUUUCUAAUGUUGCUAUUAUUAUUUUUUCAUUAUGUGAUAUAUAUGAUAAUUUGUAAAAAAAACAAAAAAUCAUUAUAUAAUAAGUAGAUAUCGUUAUAUAAUAUACGAACAUAUGCAUCUUUUUAUUUAACUUUAUUACAAAUAUAAGUGUUUAUAUGUGGAUAUUUAAAAUUAAAAAAUGUAUAUAACGACUGAAGUAGAGUUAAAUAAUACGUUUAUUACUAUGCUGAUUCAAAAUAAAUAUAUUUUUAUAGGAAUUUUUUGUAAAAACCAAGAAAAUUGGAUACUCCAUAUGUUAGAUUAUAUGAAUUACUUAGAUAUUUUAUAUUUAGUAAUAAUUUAAUUUUAAAAUAUUUAGCUUAUCUUAAAUAAUAUAAUAUAUAGGUAAAGAAAUAUUUAUCAUUUGGUUUAGAUAAAAAAAUUUCUUUUUUUCUUCUUUUUAAGGGCCCGUUUGGCCAUAAAUUUUCCAAAUAAUAUUUGGAAAAAAUUUGGCAAAUAAUGUUUGUCCAUACAAUUUGCCAUUAUUUGGCAAAUAUUUUUGGGAAAUAUCCCAAAUUUCUAAAUACUAGUUUUUUCUAGUAUUUGGGCCAAAUCUCAUUAUUUGGGAUAUUUUAAAAAUUAAAAAUUUACCCCAAUCUUUUAUCUUUUACAAAAACACCCUCUCUAGUAGUUGUUUGCGUUGUAUUACAUCAUUUUUUACGUGAACACCAAAAUAGUGAUGAAAUAUGUAGUGAAUAUUAAAUAAUGAUAUGAUUGUUGAUGAAAAUUAUUAAAAAUUGGCUUUAGGUAACAAAGUCAUGUACUUUGUCUACUUCACGAUGUAUGAAAUAAUUCUUGUUGCACUCACUCCAAAUUACCACAUUGCUUUAGUGUCAUGGACAUUAUUUGUUAUUGUUGUAACGAACAUUCAUUGACUUGUAAUACAAACUUUUAGUUAGUUUUGAUAGUUUUUAAAACUUGUGUGUAUAAAUCAUAUUAUUCUAAAAAGGUGAAAUAUAUUUCCCAAAUUUUAUGGCCAAACACAUGGUGAAAUUUCACCCAAAUUUUCACUCAAAUAAUAUUUGCCAAGAAUGUUUGGAAAUAUAUGGCCAAACGCUAGCUAAAUUUCGUAUCAAAUCAAACUAACUCAUAUUAAAAUAAAAUCAAAAAAAAAAAAGAUAUCUGGAAGAAACUGGAUAGUUUCCCAUAAAAGAAAUAAUAAAAAAAUCUUCUCUUAGAUUCUUUUGCUUUAACACUGGACAAUUUUUUCUUUCCCAAAAUCUCCUCAAAUCAACCACUUAAUUACACCUUACUGCCACUUCAUCUUCACUCUCCUCCCAUGGCUACUCUGCAAACUCAUCUCCAGUUUCCCAUCUGUUCUUCACCAAGAUUGUUUCAUUUCAAGAACCCCAAUUCAGUUUCUUUCUCAAAAAAGCUUUUUUUCUCAAGAAAAGUUAAUGGGUUGUUUAGUUAUUCUAAAUUUGGUGCAAAAGAUUCAUUCUUUUGUUGUAGUCAAACUAGUGGUGAAAUUUUACCCCUUUCAUCAGCUCAGAAGGAGAAGGAGACUAGUGAAAGGCCUCCUUUUGAUAUCAAUUUGGCUGUCAUUCUUGCUGGUUUUGCUUUUGAAGCUUAUACUAGUCCUCCAGUAAAUUCUCAAUCUUUAUAUGUUCAUUUUUAUGUUUUUCUCUGCUCAGUUGGUUGGUUAUCAAACUUGUUGAGGGACUCAAUUUUUUACCCUGUAAGCCCCUACCUUAUUUUGAAAAUUGAAACAUUGAAAUAAUAAAUUGAAAAAUAGAUUCUGAUAGAUAAGGUCUUUCGGGUAUAGUCUCUCUACCUCUACGAGAUAGUGGUAAGGUCUGCAUGCAAGGGGAAAAUGAAAGUGCAUUCCUGUGCACCAGUUGAAAAAAGGAGCUUUGGAAGCUUACCUUAUUAUUAUAUUAAAAUGGGAAAUCUACCCUCCCGGACUCCUCUUGUGGGAUUUUGUUGUUGUUCAUUGUAUUCUGAUAGAGAAAAUGGUAUUGAGGUGUAGUUGAUUGGCUAAAAAAAUCAUAUCUUUUUUGUAAAUAAGAGUGUUGAUAGGUAUGUAGUUGUUCAUUUUUCUGUUUCUUUCUUUAUUAAUUAAUUGAAAAUGGACUUAAAUAGAGUGUAUGGAUAUUGAGGAUUCUUGUAGUAGAUAACUCCAACUAGCUUGGAAUUGAGGUGUAGUUGAUUGAUUGGCUAAAAGUUUCUCUCUUUUUUGUAAAUAAGAAUGUUAUGUAUGUAGCUGUUUAUUUUUCUGUUGCUUUUUUUUUAAUAAAUUGAAAAUGGACUCGAAUAGAGUAAAUGGAUAUUGAGGAUUCGUAUAGUGGACUCCAACUAGUUUGGGGUUGAGUUGGAGUUGAUUGAUCGACUGUUGAUUCAUUUUUUGUAUAUAAGCAUGAUGAUAUUAGCUGUGGAUUGGAGGAAUUGCUUGCCAAAGUAUCUUGCAUUGUGGGUUCUUUCGGUUUGGCAGUGUAGAAGUCAUAGCGGACAUGCUUGUAAAGUAUGAUUUUCUGCUGCCUUAAAGUUGUGAUCUUUGAGUGUCAGUAAUUCGUUUUCAUUCGUAUUAUUGUUUUGGCAUCUUAUCACUCUGUUGUGAUUCUAGUUUAGAAAUGAACAUAAAUGUGCUUCCCCUAUAGUAGUCAUACCCCACAUACUCAUGAUAGUAAAUGAAGGGAAUAUUUUCAUUAUAAACAUAUAUAAGGUGAUGAUCACUUGCCUAACUGGAUUUUCGUUGAACUAAAUUUUGCUUAGAAGUAAAUUAGGCUUGCAAGUAUUCUACAAAUCUAUAAAUGUUUAUGUAGCAAAUGGUAAUUAAGCAGUUGAAUUGUUUUCCAAGUCUGAUCCAAUUUGCUUUGUUUGACAUUGCUUGUCAGGACAAUGUCGGAAAGCUUGAGGUGGAUGCGGCUAAUUGCAAAACCAUAUUUCUUUCAGAGUAUGUAGUUGUUUUCUUUCUACUGAAAUAGUAAACUUAAACUGUAGGAACUUGAGUUAUAGGUUAAAUUGGUCGGAUCAAGUAAAGGGCACACGUAUGUUCCACUGGUGAAGGCUAUGAAGAGUGCUCAUAUCUGAUUGUUUUUGUCUCAUUCAGCUAGUGUGAUUUUCUUUUUCUUUUAAAUCAAAAUCAACUUAGACAAUAUUUCAGUUUGCCGAAAACUAGAUUCAUGCAUGUGCAACUGCAAAUGAGUUGGAUAUGCCUGUUUCAUUCGAAGGUAGUAGGAUUUGGCGUGGAUCAUGAUUGAUAAUUCUCUCUCAUAAUUGACAACCAUCUUCCAGGUCAUUUGUGCGUGAAAUUUAUGAUGGCCAGUUGUUCAUAAAGCUAAAGAAAGGUCUCAAUUUACCUGCUAUGGAUCUUUGGGUAAGGUUUCUACCAUUUAAUAUUAGCAAAUGAUCAAAUUUCAAUUGAAACGUGCCUUACUGUACUUUCCUUAUUCAAAUGAUUGCUUCUUAUGCAUUUAUUUAAUCUGCUGACUCCUGUUUUAAUUUAAUUGCCUACUCUAACCAAAUUUCAGGGAACGAGUGAUCCGUAUGUGGUGUUACAGCUAGAUAGUCAAGUUGUCAAAAGCAAGGUGAAAUGGGGGUAGGUAGUUGGUCAUGUGUUAAACUGCAACCUUCUACUCUUUUCAGUCAGAACUUCUCUAGAUCUUGUAGGUUUACUUAACAAUGAGUCAGGUUCGUUGCAUGUCGUCAACGUGUUCCUGUGCAAGUAUUGCUUGCAUAAGCCGAAUGAUAAAGUAACUAAUAUGAGAGUCUAUUAUGGUUACUAAAUUCAGUCUUCUCUUCUGUUUGAGCAACGUAUCAAAUUUUUAGCAAAAACUUAUUCUGGAUUUAGUAAAAUACAAUUAUUUUUCAUCCAUAACUCAUAUUCUAUUGUUAUCUUGAGUGUGAUUAUUCCACCAGUAUCUUAUUUGAAGUUCCAUGCUUCUUUAUCCUUUUAAUUUGUCAUCGAGAAGGCAAAAGGUCUACAAUUGCUAUUUUCUGUUGGAGAAUAAAGCUAUCCUUUUCUUUGUUCAAAUUAUGCACUAUUUCAAUCUUGAAACAUAAUCCAAUAACGGAAAAAAUGUUAAUUUCAUGAAUUAAUGUUUGCAGGACAAAAGAGCCAAUGUGGAAUGAGGAGUUUGCUUUAAAUAUUAAGCAGCCACCUCUGUAUGAUCUUCAGGUUGAUAACUUGAGUUAAUCCUUUCUCUCUAAUAGUUUAUUAAUUAAAGGAUAGCAUUCCAGAAACUGUAACAUUUUGCUUUUGAAAUACGACUUCAAUUUGCUGUAACUUAGCUCUUCCACAUUAGGAAGUUUACGACACGGUAUGUGGUACACCAAAUCUCCUAAUGAUAAAUGAGCAGUUCUGGUAAGAUAUGCAACUUGAAAAGCUUUAAGCUAACACUGCUAAAUUAACUGUCUUCUGACUGACUGCUAAUUCAAUUAUGAACGUGUAUGUGAACUUCCCAUAUCCAACAAUGUCUUUCUUGCUGAAUGCUAGUUUUUCAUUUCUACUUCCUGCUGAGAUCCAUAGUAUUAACCAAAUUGGAACAAACAGAAUCAGUCUUUUAAGGUUAUCGGCCUCGGACUAGAACUUACGGACUCGGAACUGCACAUCUUGCUUUAUGUUGUCUAAGAUAUCCAUAAGAGUCUGCUUCUGUCUUUUUAGCUGCAGUCUUUAAAAUGAGGAACAACUUAUUUUUUCGUUAUUUUUACCGUUAUCUGCUCAUUAGAGGACUUUCGGAUGCAGUAUGCUGGCAUGACAUGUUUUUAGGUGCUCUUAUUUCUCGAUUCCAGAUCUGAUGAAUUAUUCAUUACUACUGUCAGAUUGCAGCUUGGGAUGCAAAUCUGGUGACUCCACAUAAACGCAUGGGAAAUGCAGCAGUUAAUUUGGAACAUCUCUGUGAUGGUACGAGCUCAAGAAAUGGUUCUCGUGAUAUAUUGUGCUUCAAAUAAUUGUCUAGUUAUCAUGUUGGCUAAAAUUUCAUUCAUGUAAAUAAGGUUUGGCUUCCUUUCCAACUUAUCCCAUGAAAAUGGGGGAAGAAGUUAAGAGUUCAUUUUCAGUAUGCAUUUUGGUUGUGUUUUGAUGACUACGUUGAAGGUGUCUCAUUGCUCAUAAAACAAAUUGACAAAGGAAGAACACUUAAAGGAACCAAAUUAGUUUCAAUAGUUAUAUACUUCUGAAUACUGUCAUAACUGAUAUGAGAGCUGACAUAAGGAUUAGGCUGAUAUACAAACAUUGAUGUUUUAAUUUGUGAAAAUAACAAACAUGUGUUUUCUAGGAGAUUCUCAUAAACUGCUGGUUGAUUUGGAUGGAAUGGGCGGUGGUGGGAAGAUAGAGAUAGAGGUAAGUUGAUUUGAAUCUGGAGGCAUAUUCAAGGUUCAAGAUCGCUAAGACCUUCAUUUUACGAGGAUUUAUCAGACCAUCACAUUAUUUUGAUGUGUACACUCUAUAGCUGAUUAGUAUGCUAAUCUUAACUUCAGAAUAUCCUUCUUAAAUGAUACUCAAUUUGACCAUUGUUUAUCCAAUUCGAGAUUCCACUAAUUGUCCUACUAACAUGAUACAGAUUAAGUACAAGAGUUUUGAGAAAAUUGAAGAAGAAAAGAAGUGGUGGAACAUCCCAAUCAUUACAGAAUUUCUAAGAAAAAACGGGUUUGAGUCUGCUUUGAAGACAAUUCUUGGUUCCGAGACUGUUCAAGCUCGACAAUUUGUACAGUUUGCGUUUGGACAGAUGAAGCUACUUAAUGAUGCAUAUAAUGAUUCAAAUAGCAGCAGCAGUCCUGUCCUGGAAUCAGAUGUACUACCGGAGUCGCAGCAAUCAUCCAACUUGGAUGACUCAAGCAUGCCCCCAGCAUCAGAAAUCUCAAAUAAUUUGAAAGACACCAAAGUUGAUGGUGAAGUGAAGCUUAAUCGUGAUGGAAGUGACGUAACCGAUGAACAUGAUUCCCCUGGUACUAAAAUUUUAGAGAGCUUUCAAUCAGAUAAACAUUUCUGGAAGAAUUUUGCUGAUACCGUCAAUCAAAAAGUUGUUCAAAGACUUGGUCUCCCUGCUCCUGAGAAAAUAAAGUGGGAUAAUCUUGACUUGUUAAAUAAGAUUGGAUUGCAAUCACGAAAAGACGCGGAUGCAAGUUAUGUUGAAUCUGGUCUUGCAACUCCUGAUAAACGAGAAAAUGUUAAUGGUAGUGCAUCAACUGAAUCACCUAUUCUUAAUAACAUUCAGUCAUCACUUCCAGAUAUCAAGAAGGUGACACAAGACUUAUUGCGUCAAACUGAUACCAUUUUGGGAGCAUUGAUGGUUCUAAAUGCCACAGUUUCUCAAUUCAACAAAGGAGCAGGCCUUUUCGGAAAGGGUGAUGCUAAAGAAGAUUCUUCAACUGGACUGGAAAAUGACAUCCUUUUAUAUCCCAUGAAUAAAGAUGGAAUAGUGUUGGAUGAGAAGAAAGCUGAGGAGAUGAAGUCUCUUUUCUCAACAGCGGAGACUGCCAUGGAAGCUUGGGCACUGCUAGCUACUUCAUUGGGACAUCCGACAUUCAUCAAAUCUGAAUUUGACAAAUUAUGCUUCUUAGAUAAUGAGUCAACUGACACAGAGGCAAGUUCAUAUGUUGCUGGCUAUGAGUUCUUAGUUUCUAAUGUAUCUUAGAUCUGAUUCAUUUGAUCCAAGGAAAGCUAUUCUACUGAUUUUGGAUUCUGUAAGACUUGCAGGUAGCGCUCUGGCGUGAUUCAGCAAGGAAACGGUUAGUUGUUGCUUUCAGGGGAACAGAACAAGUAGGUUCCGGUGUUAAACACAUCUUUAAAACUUGUUGAUUUAGCUUAGUUGUGGAUAACCGGUUUUUCUUUUAUCCAGACAAAAUGGAAGGAUCUUGUGACGGACUUGAUGCUAGUUCCUGCAGGGUAAAAUCACAAAUCUGUACAAGCACAGGCUGGCUUUAGUUUUUCUUUCUUUCUCUACUUUGCCCUUCUGGUUUCUCUGUACUACUAAGAUGUUUUUCCUAUCACAGUAAACAGAUUCUCCUUCCGUUCAAUUUGUUUGUCUUACUUUCCUUUUUAAUCCGUUUCGAAGAGAAUGUCUCUUCCUUUUCUGAAAACUCUUUCAUUCUAACUUUCCACAUGACAUGUUUAAGACCACAAGAUUACAGUCAUUUUGGUACAUUCUACAUAUCAUAAUUUAAGACCACAGUAUUCAAAAGUCUUCUUUACUUUCUUAAACUCUGUGCCAAGUCAAAACCAGUCAAACAAAUCGAAACGGAGGGUGUAAUUUUUUCUUCUCUAAGUCUCUGAAAGUGUACUUUUAUUGAAAUACAACUCUUUACUAUGCUGAAAGAAACAUUUCCUUUUUCUUAGAGGAAUAGGAGUAGAAGAUAACCUUCCAUCCUACAUUAUUAAGUUUAGACUGCAAAUACCAUCAUAUCUAAAGGUUUUCCUGAAAAAAGUUUUAACUUCGAACAUAAUUUGAAACAACAAGAAAUAGCCAAACACUUUGGUAAUUUUGAAUAUGAAUUGUACGUUCUUGCAUCUUCAUUAUUCGGAUGUUGUACAGAAACUUUAGAUGGUUAAGCAACCACUGUCCAUUUUAUUUCGCAUCCUGAGUUGUCUCCUACUCUGCAGGUUGAAUCCUGAAAGGAUAGGCGGGGACUUCAAGGAAGAAGUUCAGGUGGCACUGAAAUUCUUACUUUUCUAUCUCUUAGUGCCUGAAAUAUGAAUGUAUUCUACUUAUAUUUAUAAUUUUUCUAAUUAUCAGAACCAGAGAUUAUUUUUGUAGGUUCACAGUGGUUUCCUAAGUGCAUAUGAUUCAGUUAGGAUUAGGCUCAUCUCGCUUAUCAAAAAAGCAAUUGGCUACCAGUAAGUGGACUGUUAAACAAAACUGUACAACAUUGUUCCUCCUUUCCUAUGUCUCUUUCGUACCUUCAAGUAGAAGUCGUGUCAAAUAUUUCUACAAGUCUAUACUAAGUGGACUCGUGUCAUGAGCUUAGUGUUACACUCCCAACUCUUAAAACUUGUUAUGCGCUUUUGCUUUACUGAGAUGUCUAGACCUGGCUUAGUCUUUUUUCUUCUGUUUAUCCUUCUUUUCGUGUGGGUCUUGUUGCUGCUACUGUACAUCUUAUUCUUUGCCUUCUUCGCGGUUUCUUCUUUUUCUCUGUUUAUGAUGUACUUACUUCACCACUAAACAUUGACGUCACAUCGCUUAUUACAAUUUUAAUGUAUUUUCCAGGGAUGAUGAUCUUGACACGCCAAACAAAUGGCAUGUUUACGUGACUGGCCAUAGUCUUGGUGGUGCAUUGGCUACUCUUCUCGCUCUUGAACUAUCAUCAAGUCAACUAGCUAAGUGAGCUCCUCCUUUUCUCUGCUUGUAUCUGUAGCUUGUUUCCCAUCCAUUCUAUAUAAUUUACCAUUUACCAGCAUCUCGCCAAUAGGGCAUGCAUGUUUGGUUUUCUGCUUUGUAUUUAACAUGUUUGUAGUGUUCUUUGAGAAUUUGAAAUGCCUUACUUGAGCAGAGGGUCUAUGGAAAACAACCUCUCUAUCUCUACGAGGUAGGGUAACGUUUGCAUACACUCUACCCUCCUUAGACCCCACCUGUGGACUGUUUUUUUUUUUUUUAAGAGCAGAAGUUGUAGAAUUGUUGGUAGAAUCCUAUCAAAUGUAGUUUCGAUGCUAGUUACGUAAAUAAACCUAACCAUGGACUUGUAUUCCAGUCUUAUAUCUAUACUGAUCAGUAUUUGAAUGUGUGACAUUUUGUACCCAAAACUAAUGUGCUACCAAGCUGCAGCACAUCCCUUCAAUUGUUCCAUGUUGCCACUUUGAUAUCUUCUCUUGAUGGUUUCAUCCUUUUGACCAAAUUGGACUUGUAGGUCCCCAAGUAUUGUGAUUGCUAAGUUGCUUGCUGCUUGUUCCAUCAUAAUAGAACAUCUUGCAAAUUAAGGAGUUAGUGCAAAAAGAACGUCUGCAAUUGUUAAAUACAAAUUUUCGGGCUGCCCUUGUUCUUGAAGUACUUGUGGAGAAAAACCAAGUCCUCCAUCUCUAAUCAUGCUAACACUACAUACGUGACCGUCUUAUCUUUCUUGUUGGUUGUGUUAGGCGUGGAGCUAUACGUGUGACCAUGUACAACUUUGGAUCUCCAAGAGUUGGAAACAAAAAGUUUGCUGAAGUUUAUAAUGAGGUAUUAUUUACUCUCUGCAGAAGUGAAGUGCUUAUGUUGAGACUAACUAUAUUCUAUAGCCAUUUUGGUCUCACCAUUCAUUUAUGACAAUCUUUUGUAGUUAUAAAUUAAACGAUCUUUAUUUCUGAAACAAGUUAACAAAGGCAAAAUAACAAACAAGAACCAAGAAAAGAAAGAAUAUACCGACACACUAAUAAAUACAUACAAGCUGGUUCACAUACUCAGCCUUACCUAAUUAGCUCUCCUCAAUAACACUGGAUGAAAAUGAUUUUUGAUGUUCUCUCUCGGUCUCUCCUAUGGAGGUGGCUUGUCAUAAAUGAAGUGUGAAACUCUUGAACAUGCUAUUGAAUAUGCAUUGGUGCGUUGUCUAACAUGUCAGACCAACUUUUAGCAAGUUUGAGCCAUAAUCAGAUGCCUUAUCACAUUGUUUGCCGAUAGUUCAUGGGAAUUUCUUGCCUGUUCUUCUAUUGUGACGUGGUGAACGGCUGUAACUAAAUCACUUUCGCCUGCUUUGGAAUCAUACUGAGAGCUUAAUUUUGUUAAAUUCUGAGUGACUCUAUAUAAUUAAGUUGCUUCUUAUAUUGUAGAAAGUUAAGGACAGCUGGAGGGUUGUAAAUCACAGAGAUAUAAUACCAACAGUUCCUCGCUUGAUGGGCUACUGCCAUGUUGCUCAACCUGUUUAUUUGGCAGCUGGAGAUCCGCAAAACACAAUGGUGAGUAGAUUUCAUUUUCUCACUUUUUACACUAUAAAACGUUGGAUUGGCAGAAUGUUGGCACUGUUAAGGAAGUUGUGUUUUCCCGUUAGAGAUUAAAGUGGAAAAAUGUGUCGGAUGGUUAGCUUAACCUGAAGGAAAUCACAGAAGGUUCAAAACAAUUGACCUUUGUUAUUUCUUCUAUAAAACUAUUAACUCAAUUGCUCGAAGUAACUUUUUGAUAUUUUCUUCAUAGUGUAGGUAGAAAGUAUCAAGAAGUACUAUGUCAUUCUUACUUAUUAUGUAUGGGAACCUACUAUCGUUACCUCCCUGGAAAAAGUCGGAAAGAAAAUAUGAUCAUUUUUUACAUCAUUCCUUUUAUACGUGAAAGGAGCUUGUUGUUUAACUAUAUAUGUCUCGGCACAUCACAUUUCAGGAUAAUGUGGAACUCUUGGAAGAUGGUUACCAAGGUGAUGUUAUCGGAGAGGCCACACCUGAUGUUAUUGUCAGUGAAUUUGUAUGUUUCUCCACCUUUGUUCUCCUGUAUCUUUAGUUCCUUCGUUUUGGUUCUGUGCUCCAUUUCAUCCAUUCGUGAUUUGUUCUAUUAAGAUCUUCAACUGUUAAAAUUGUACUGCUACUUACCGUACAUUUGACCAAUUGAGACUUCUGUUUAUUCAUUUUGUUCAAUACUUCGCCUAAUGGAGAGUCUCCUUGAGGCAUAAGCUUAUCAAUUCACUCCAUUAGGUUGAAGCCAUGUUGCUCGGAGUUUUGUGUUGGAUCCUUCAAAAGCUAUGCAUUGUUAGGGGAUCCGAGACAGGUUUGGCAACAUUUUUGGGAGGUCCGAGCAAGAAUUGCGGGAGGGGAGCUUGUUCUGAGUUAUUUUUGCUAUAUGGAACACAUUUCCUUUUUAUUUAAAGGUAAAGAACUCUUGAUAAUCUCGCGAUUACUUAUCGUAACGUUUUGUGCAGAUGAAAGGUGAAAAGAACUUAUUGAGAAAAUACUGAACACAGAGAUUAACAUAUUUCUAGCAAUUAGAGAUGGAAGUGCACUUAUGCAGCACAUGGAAGACUUCUAUUACAUCACUCUAUUAGAGGUAUUACCAUUCUUGUAGCUAUGUUGCUCGAACUCGUCAAAAAUGUCGACACGUACAUGUCAAAUCCUCCAAAAGUAGUGGACUUUUGAGUAUCCGACAUGUGUGCUGCAACAUUUUUGAAGAGUUUGAGUAACAUACGUAUCCAACAUGAUAUGUACUUAAACAUUUUUUUUUCUUUAAUGUUUUUCUAAUUCUUUUUUCCAGAAUGUGAGAUCAAACUACAGAACUGUUCCAAGGCCACAACUGACAGAAGAGAAGAACAUAUCGAUUGGCUAAAAUGGAAAUUAUCCAAAUUCAUUAAUGUUGAUGUUUUAAUUUCCAAAGGUUGUAAAUAACAAUAACACCAAAAAAUUGGCUACAUUUAUUGUAUAUAUGUACUGAUUUUUAUCUAUGUCAAUUGUACAUUUCUUUGGUCAUUUAUGUUAAUUGUUACAAAAUUUUAAAUGAUAGAAUAAUGAGAACAAGUAAUUGUUCUAAAAUAAUUGUCUUGAACUAAAAAUAGAAGGAAAAAAAAAUACACUUCACAAACAAUAAAGAAAUGGCAUGAAAGAAACAUACAAUCUAGAGAACCACCACUUCUUCUAUAUUUUACUAACCAAUAGUAUCAUUACUACCUAGAUCUUUGACAGAUAAAAUCGUUCGAUCAUUAAUCAGAGGUUUCGAGAUUUAAACUAUGAGUAUAGUGAAUAUCUCGAUAAGGAGUUCUAGUUUCACUUAAUGUUGAAUUAAAAAAAAAAAAACUAAUACUACCUUUUACAUAUGCAAGCUUUUUGAAAGAUUCUUAGAAAAAUUUGUUGCUUUCAUAUUAUAGCUCAUGAUUUUCAAACUUUGCCUUAAAAUGUCAACUUCCCUUUCCCUCUUGAGCUCUUGUUGUUCCUUUGAAGCUAUUUCCUCUUUUAGAAGUGCAAUUUUUUCCUCUUUUUCUUUCAACUCUUUAUGCAUCUCCUCUAAUAAUUCCAUUUGUUCUAUUUUCCAACAUAGUCCUCUUCCUAGUCAAACAAGAUCAAAACACAUUAGAAGGACAAAACAAGACGACUUGUAGACAUAACAACUGUUCGUUGAGUGACUAAUCUGAUGAAAUUCAAACGUACCUUGAUUUGUCCUAUGAAUAAGUUCAUCAAGCUCAAUCUUGAUAGCAAAAUAAAGUUGUUUCCACUUCUCUAUUGCUUCAUCUCUUCUAGCUUCUUCAUUCCUAAUUUGCUCCAACAAAUAACUUGUUGCUAAUUCAUGCCACUCUUUAUCUUCUUUUACACACAAAUUCUCUAUAGCUUUACACUUGUCUUCUUCAUCUUUUUCUUCCAAGUUUUUCUUCAACUUCUUCACUUCCUCUUUUAGCUUCUUCUUUUCCUUCUUCCAUUCUGCUUCUUUCAAUGCAAAUAUGAUCAUCUCUUGUGCAUUGACUUGACUCUCAUAUUCCCUCAUACACAUAAUUUCAUUCACCUCACCUUGAAGAAACCUUACAUUGUAUUUCAACACUUCAACCACUUUGUCUUUUGGUUGGCUUUUGUCCUUGGUUUGAAAACUUCCCAUUUCUUAUAAUCCCUAAAAGUCUCCUAUACUUUUAGUAGUUCUAGUUUUGUGUAUAUAUAGAUAGUGUGUGUGUGUGUUGGGGGGAGUGUUGUAAGAUGUAUGUGUGAUAAAUUAGUCACAAAUCUUAGGUAAGGAAACUUCUUUUUUCAAAAUUAGGUGGAGUCUUGUAAAAUUCGAAGACUGAAACACGAUACAAGUAAAAGUCUGAUAUUUAAGUGAAGUAUAUAAAGCGCGAUCGACUCUAGGAGAUUUCUAUAUUAUCAAAAAAAAUACAAACACUUGGUACAAUACAUUAACAAAAAUGCAUUAAAGGGUAUGUUAGAUCAAUAAGAAUAGAGUAUGGGACAACAUGAUUAUUAUUUUUUUUUAUGAAAAAAGGAGGCUCCUACCAUGCAAUAUGAAGUGAUGGCACUAAAUGAUACAAAGAGAGUUUUGUACUGAUUUUUGUUUUGUGGCUCUUGCAUCAAUUCAAUUAUUAUUAAUAUACAUACUGUGAAAGAUGCCUUGUAUGAAAAAAACAAAUAAAUUAGAGAAGUCACAUUUCAAGAUAUUGACAUGAAUGAAUGACAUAAUGUGUCUAUUGGGGAAUAAAAUCCACAUAUUCCAAAAAAUCACAUGUACAUCAUUUUGGAGCCUCUUCAUCAAGGUGGGGGUGGGGUGGGGUGAUUGGGUGGGUGGGGGCUUCAUUUAAAAUUUAAAAGGAAUUUAAGUUAUACGCGCUAUCGCAAUAAUCACUUAUAACAGGUUAUUCUUUUAUUUUUUGAAUUAUAGUAUUAUGCGUGAUUAAAGAUUUAAAACUUAUAUAUCAUCUAUCGACGAAAUUAUACAUUUCGAAAUUUACCAAAUAAAAUCUAGGUUUUAAAAAAAGUUGUGUGGGGGGUAGUAUGGGGGAAGAGUUUUGGAGCCUCUUGAUAAUCGAAUUUAAGUUAUAUACAUUAUCGCGAUAAUCACAAUAUUAUACUUAAUCAUAGAUUUAAAACUUAUAAACUAACAGUGUAUCGAAGUUAUACGUUUCUUAAAUUUACCUAUUUUUAAAUAUGUUGUGGGGGUGGGGUGGGGGAGGGGUAGCAUGGGGAAAGAGUUAUUGUAUUAUACAUCAAAUUUUUGUACAUAUUUUGCCAGCUAUUAAAGGGGCCUGCAAUCUUUGCUGAAAACAUGGGAAACAUUAUUGACAAAAGAAUAUUUCUUUGAAUAUUAUGCCUUUGUAUUCAUCUCAAACUUUGACCACCAGAUGGAGCAUGGAUUUAACUAGUUCAGUAUUUUCGAUACGAAAUAUAAAUAAUAAAGUCCGAAGCAAAGACAGAUGACAAUUAUUACACGGUAAAAUUUAGCAAGUUAUGAAAAAUUAAUAUAAGCUUCUUAUAAAAUAGAAUAGGAAUAAUAAGAAUUAAUCAACAGAUCGUGUGUCGAUGAGAUUAAGUAUCGUUCUAUUAUUUCAGACAUAAUUUAUUGUAUUUUCACUGUAGUUGGGAUCUAUAAUCUUGCAAAGAAUGACCCCUUUCCUUUUCUGGCAAUAAUUUAAUUUUAACUUUUCACGUGGCAUGUUUAAGACCACAAGAUUAAAGGACAUUUUGUUACAUUCGAUGAAAUUUUAAUUCAGAACCACAAGAUUAAAAAAUUCUUCUUUCUUUUCUUAAACUUUGUUCCAAGUCAAAUUAGAUAUAUCAUUUUUUAAACGCGGGAAGUAUUUGAUAAAUGAUCAAAUAAUAAUUAAAGUAUUGGAUGUACUAUUGGUCUUGGAAUAUUUUAUUUAUUAACUAGGCAAUUCUUCAACAUUUAGGUAUUUCUAGGUAGAGAAAAAAAAUGUAAUUUUAUGUACCAAAAACAAAAGACUUUUGUCAAGUCAAAUCAUCAAAUUUUGUUUUAGCGUUGUUUAAAUGAGAAAAAAAAGAGAAAAUAAAAUAAAAAAUCAUUUAGUUUGUGUCUAAUUUUUUACGUAGUAAAAAAUCUAGUUUUUUAUUUGCAUCUAUAUUAUUUUUACAAAGAAAAUAAAGUCUUUAACUUAUUUAAAACGUGGCUCAAAAAUAAAAAUUGACAUGCAUUUCUUUGACUUUGUUAGAAUAUAUAUUAUUUUUUUUAUACAAAAACGAAUACAAAUGUCUUAUUUAUGAAAUUUUUGUUUUUAUUUUCCCUUUCUAGUAGGGGAAAUUCAUCAAUUUUGGUGUUUUUUUAAUUAACAGAAAUCUAAAUUGUUUAUUUAAUAUGCCAAGUUAUAUUUGCUUUAAAAUUGUUUAAUUGUUUCCCCCUUUUAUUAUAAGUAUAUAAAAGAAUUUCAAUUGGACACUUUUAAUUUAAAUUUCAAAUUCUUUUUACAUAUGUUUUUAUUUAUCUAUUAGUAAUUUAAGUUUAUCAUAUAAAAUAUUUCAUCUCUUUAGUUCAUCAAUCUUAAGUAAAAAAUGUUUGAAAUUUUAGGACUUAUCAAAGCGAACACAACAUAAUUACAUGAGACAAGUAUCAAAAACAACCUUGUACUUGACUAACUAAACUCAGAUACACCCCCGAUACACUCUCAAUACGUGAAAUAACAUGUGUCUCAAACCCUUUUAGGAGCAUGAAAUUCUUAAUAAAAGUCGAGAGAAGUGUUGAAAAUACUCCUAAACUUGACGAGAAUUUAGGGGUUCUCACUGAUGUUACAAGUUCGGGGAUGUAUUUAACUUCAAUUAGUCAAGUAAUAAAGGGGUGUUUUAAAGGUUUUCAAUAGUUCAAGGAUGAAACUAAUAAUUUGUGCCAAGUUCAAGAGUGCUUUUGACACUUCUAUCUAAUUAGUUCAACGCAUAUACGUAAAACUACUAGAUAAAUAAGAACAAACACACAGAAAAAAAUUCAAAAUUUAACUGAAAAUGUUCUAUCACUGUGUUUUUAUUAAGAAACAGAAGUGUUCAAUUUAAACAAAACUUAAAUUUAAGUCAUUUAAUUACAAUUAACCAAUAAUAAUUAUUUAGUACAUAUCAUAUUAUUAUAUAUUUAUUGAUAUGAUGUAAAUAUCUCGUCAUAUUUUAUUGUAUUAAUUUUUUUAAAAAAAUCAUUAAGGUUUUAUUUUUUUUUCACCAAGUGAAAAUGACUAUUUUACCCUCUUUAUACAUAUCUUUGUUUUGGUAAAACUCCUUCCCCAUAUCUUCAGGAACAUUCUUAGUUAUCUGCCUCGGAACCUCCGAAUUUUAUAAUCUUAUAGGUAGAAGUGAAGAAAAAAUCAGUAAAAAUUCUGAGAAUUUGAGGUAAUUUUUUAUUGUGAUUAUAUAUGAUUUCCUGAACUUUUUUUUAUUGAUUUUUUGUUUAUUUUCUUGUGCCAUUUUGGUGUAAUUUGUCAAUUUUAUGUAGAGUUUUGCUAUAUUUGAUGUUCUUUGUCUGUGUUAGGCUAAAGGGGGUUCUUGAAAAAUGAAAAGAAGAAUAAAGUUUGAAUCUUUUCAUUUGAUUAUUCAAUUGAAGGCUGUAUUUACCACAAAGAAAGUUAAUUUAUUUAAGGGGUUAGCUUGAUUUGUGAUUUCUUCCAAUGUGUUCAAGCUUUGGUGGAUAGGGUUACUUGGUACCUAUAUUGGUGGGAGGUAGUAAGUAGCGGGGGAAUUAAUCGAGGUGCGUGCGAGCUGGUUCAGACACCACAAAGAAAGUUAAUUUAUUUAAGGCAAUGUGUCUAAGCUUUGUUUGGUGGAUACUGAAUAGGGUUACCUGGUACCAAUGAUGGUGGGAGGUAGAAGGCACCUGUGGAACUAAUCGAGGUGUGUGCAAGCUGGUCCAGACACCACAAAGAAAGUUAAUUUAUUUAAGGCAAUGUGUCCAAGCUUUGUUUGGUGGAUAGGGUUACCUUGUAAGGAUGCUGGUAGUAGGGUACCCGAGGAAUUAGUCGGUUGCAUGCAAGUUGGCGUAGACAUCACGAUAUUUAAAAAAGAAAGAGGAUAUCCCAUUCCUAGCAGCCUUAACAGUUGACUGUGGCAGAAUUCUCUCUCUGCUGUUGGUCCUUUUAGGAUUUCUGCAGAACUGUUCAAUUACACUUCGAGGUAUCUCACGCGAAAUGUUAGGACGUAUGUGUCUAGUUGUUUCAACUUUAUACAAUCAGGUGCAUACCCAAAGUUGGAAGGCAUAGAUGUUAGCUGAUGCCAAGUUAAAGGGAAACGUUUAUUUAUUAUGUCUAAUAUGAAUGAUACAGUGAAUACUUACACUUUUCCUGUCAUCAAUCUUUCAAAAUCGCUGAUGCUGUAUUUUUCCUGUCUUUUCUGCUGAGCUGAAUAGUUGGCUUAUAUGUUUUACUGGUGUUCCGUGCAUAUGAGAUGAUUUAGUACAGUUGUUUGCGAAUGUAAACAUUUCAAAACGUGUCUUCUAUAGCUUGAUUUGGAUAAUAAAUGUAUGAACUUGGAUGCAUUGUUUGUUAAACAACUUAUUUGACUAUUUUUCUUUGUUAGGCUCAAACUCCUUUUCGAUGAUUUUACACUAGUCGGAAAUUUCUUUCUUUUUCCCUGGUUUAGGGGGUCGUGAAGCAAUGAACUCCCUUUUCUUUUAAUUUUUUCGACAAAUCUUAUUAACAACCGAAAAAUAGACUUUGCUGGUUUCUAAGAGUGAAGUUUUAAAGUGUCCAUUUGGGGACAUCCGAUGAAAUUGGAACAAUAAGAGUAAAUGCUUAAGUAGAUCAUUAUAUACUGUGUUUGGUAGAGAGUGUUCACAACAUGUUUUAGAAUGUAGAAUAAGUGCGACACUAAGUAACCCGUUGUUCAUCUAUUCGUUGUGGUUUGCAAUAAAUAUUCAUCGAUUAUCAGUGUAAAAAACUCCUGAAUUUCCUCCCAUGUAUGUUCUAAAAUCGUGUCUUACAAUGCAUAGAAGAAAUUAAUGUCAGCGAUCCUUUUUGCAGUCGGUGAAAUGGCAGCAGCAUCAGCAACUACUCUCUCAGUUGGUUCCGCCACAUCCUUUGGCUCCAUAGUGAGCCCAAAAUUACAAUCAAAGGCCUUUAUUGCGAAAUGCAAUACCAGGGACUACCUUAGGAGUUUCAGUGGCCUUAAGGCAGAGGCAUUUGUACGAUGUGAAUCCGAGUCGUCAUUUCUAGGAAAUGAAAGCAUUGCAGCUCUUCGACAAUCCAUUACUCCUAAAGCCCGAAACCAAAAGCAGAGAUCUUCGAACCAUGUUCAGCCUCAAGCAUCUUAUAAAGUGGCUGUUCUCGGAGCCUCUGGCGGUAUAGGCCAGCCUCUAGCUCUUCUGAUUAAGAUGUCACCGCUAGUAUCAUCGUUGCACCUUUAUGAUAUUGCAAAUGUCAAAGGAGUCGCAGCAGAUCUCAGCCAUUGCAACACUCCCGCUCAGGUUUUUGACUUUACGGGAGCUUCUGAGUUGGCCAAUUCUUUGAAAGGUAUAGAUGUAGUUGUCAUACCAGCUGGCGUUCCGAGAAAGCCUGGUAUGACACGGGACGACUUGUUCAACAUAAAUGCUAAUAUUGUGAAAAGCUUGGUUGAGGCUGUUGCUGACAAUUGCCCAGAUGCCUUUAUCCACAUUAUCAGCAAUCCAGUCAACUCCACAGUGCCGAUUGCUGCCGAGGUUCUGAAGCAAAAGGGUGUGUAUGAUCCUAAAAAACUCUUUGGUGUUACCACCCUGGACGUUGUCAGAGCAAACACAUUCGUCGCGCAGAAGAAAAACCUGAAACUCAUUGACGUUGACGUCCCCGUGAUUGGUGGGCAUGCAGGGAUAACAAUUCUGCCAUUGCUGUCAAAGACAAGACCAUCAACUACUUUCACGGACGAAGAAGUGCAGGAACUAACCGUGAGGAUCCAAAACGCUGGGACCGAGGUCGUUGAAGCAAAGGCUGGAGCAGGAUCUGCAACACUGUCAAUGGCAUAUGCUGCAGCUAGAUUUGUUGAAUCCUCACUUCGUGCCCUUGACGGUGAUGCUGAUGUUUACGAGUGUUCUUACGUUCAAUCUGACCUGACGGAACUUCCAUUCUUUGCAUCACGAGUUAAACUAGGAAGGAAUGGAAUCGAGGCAUUGAUUUCGUCUGAUCUCCGUGGAUUAACUGAGUAUGAACAGAAGGCAUUAGAAGCUCUAAAGAUAGAGUUGAAAGCUAGCAUUGAGAAAGGGAUAGCUUAUGCUCAAAAACAAACAGUGAGUGCUUAGAGAAAGAGUUUAGUUUAGAUUAACUAUAGGAAAAGAUUCUCAACAUGACAAUUUUUGCAUGGUUUGAACUUACUAAGCCCUUUAUUCUUUUUAUUGGUCUGAACUCUACUAGUGUUUUGUUAUUGCUUCCUUUUCAUCUCUAGUCGAGGUUUAUCAGAAACAAUCUCUCUACCCCUGUGAGGUUAGGGAGAAGGUGUUCGAGAACUCUAUUCAAGGUUUAUCAGAAACAAUCUCUCUAUCCCUGUGAGGUUAGGGAGAAGGUGUUCGAGAAAGCACCGACUACAGGUGCUCAUUGAGUCGGUCCUCCGGUGGAUAAAAGUAUCUGCAAACACUUUACCCUCUUCAGACUUUUUCGACUUUAAAAUUUCAUAUAUGAAAGUCUAGAAUAGUUAUUGGUGGCUAUUUUUGAAAAAAAUAAUAAUCUAGAAUAGAAGUGGAUGAUUAAAUUUUUUCCCCCCAAAAAUCUCCUUAAAAUUUAAUAGAUAAAAGUUGUUAACAUGUCAUAUAAAUGGAGAUAAAUUAAAAAUGCUAAAUUUUUUAAUAUUUAAUAAAUCAAAAUCACUCAAAAGCAUAUUUAAGGAAUUAUUUUAAAUCUACUCGAGUCUCCAAUAUAAGUUAUUUCUUUUGUCAUAUUGUCUAGAAAAUUUGUAUGUCCAUUUUAUCUCAAGUGUUUCGUAUAUUCACAUUUUUUGGAGGUCUAUGUAUUUGGUUCAGAUUGUGAAUCGGACUUUCUUAUUCAUGAUUUUGAUAAUUAAACACUUAAACUCGAUGAACCCAACAUAUUAAACUCCUCUAUGAGAGUAUGACCAAGAAAGAUAUGACUCGCUUGCCAGUUAUACAAAUAUAUGCGUAUACCAUUUACAUAUAUACUAUAAUCCGACAGAUAUACAUAUACAAUUUGUCUCUCCACUCUCUGCCUAGUCUCGCUCAUCUCUCUCCUCCCUCUCCCAAUCUCGAUCGCUAAAUACACAUAUAUAUAAUCUGACAGUUAUACAUAGACAAUUUGUCUCUCCACUUUCUGCCCUCUCUCAUUCGUCUCUCUCCCAAUCUCGUUUGUCUGAUAUACAAAUAUAUAUGUAUAUCAAUUACAUAUAUACAAUUAUUUGAUAGAUAUACAUAUACAAUUCACAUUUCUUCACUUUCUGCCCUCGCUCGCUCUCUCCUCCCUUUUACAUGGAGAUAUAGUUUAUAAUUAAAAAAUUAUAGCUGUGAAGCAUAAUUUAAGUUAUUUUUAAAUGACUAUAUACAAAAAUUCCCCAUAUUGUGUUAUAUAAUAAAUUCUCGUUGUUUACUUCUGUGAGAACAUCCAAUGCACUCAAGACAAUCCUAUAAGAUAAAUCCAACUCUAAAUACAAAAGGACUAUUAAAAAUAAAAAAUACUUUCACCAUAAUAUUUUAAGUUUGUUUGUAGUAAAUUAAAUGUUGAAUUAUAAUUUACUAAGGAUAAACUAUAUAACUACACAUACAUCACUACCAUAUAUACUAUAUUUUAUCUCUAAUUUAAAAUAAUUACUCAUACUAUCACUUUUAAUAUUUAUACAAUAUAUUUUAAAAGAUUUAAUUAAAUACACAAAACCCUUAAAUAAAGAAAAUGAAUAAUUAUCUUAAAUCUAAACUCCUUAGGGUUCAUAAUGUUUUUGAAGUUCAAUUUUAAUUUUUUUUUUUUACAAAUUAGGUUUUAUAUUUUUUGAUUUUGUUGUUUCUCAAACACUUUAAUGGUUGAACAUCUUGAAAUCGGAUGGUUCGUUAAAUGUAUCACACACUAACAAUAUUAUGCUAAAUCAAAUAACUUUUAUUUAUUCAUUUUCACUCAUGAAUUUAUUAUUGCAGGGACCGACUCUUCAUACGCCAACAUUCACAUCGAGAAUAGACCUACGUAUAGAAGCAACUCCAUCAAGAUGAUAGAAUUAUGCCAAGUUUUAAUUAACAAAAAAAUAAAAUACACCAUUAGAUGCACACUCAAGUGUAACGAUGUUGGAUACACAUUAUGUUUACAUGUAUCUAGUGAGAGUUCAUGUAUAUAAAAAAAAAAAUUCAGAUCCUUAAAGAAAAAAGAGAAUUUUGAAAAUUUCAAACUUUUUUUGGAUUAAUGAUAAGGCCACAGUUGUGAUUUGUUCCUAAUUCGUGUGUUUCAACUACAUUUCAUAUUUAGAUACACAUAAUUAUAUGUGUGUUUACAAUGUAUUUGAGAUACAUGAUUUUAAAUAUAAUAUAUGAAAUUAAUGCUUGGUACAUCGAAUUAAUAAUAGAUACAUAUAAAAUAUACAUGAAAUUAAAUUUGGAUUCAUACUACACAUAUAAUAAAUACAUAAAAUUAGUAUUAGAUACUUCCUUCUAUGAUAAUUGAUACAUAUGAAAGCACUUGUAUGAUACUCAUAGAUCUUGUUGUUUUGUUUGUUGGAUACAUCAUAUAUUUAUUGUUUUGUUUGUUGGAUACAUCAUAUAAUGAUAUAGAUAUAUCAAGUUGAUAAAUUUUAUUAUUUGAAGAGUAAUAAAAUGAAAUUAAUCAAUUUUCAACAAGAAUCAAAAUAUGCAUGUUUUUGUCUUUUAUUAAUAAUAUCAACGAAUUUAUUAUUUCAAAUAAUAAGAAAAUGAAAUUAAUUAAAUAUAGAUACACUCUUUAGAUUUUCGACGUAUAAUAACAAACACAACACACACAAACCACGAAACUCACCAUAUUCUCUAAUACUCAUGAUGAAGCAUAGUGUAUCCCUAAAUCGCUUGCAACUAGCCUGGAUAUCAUUAGCCAGCAAAAAAUAGUAUUAUUGCUAGUAAUGGGCCUUAACAUCAUUAGCCAGCAAAAAAUAGUAUUAUUGAAUCCAUGACAAUAAAUGGUAUUACUGAAUUCAAUGUCACAAUGCCGUGAAACAAUAAAGCAACCAUAAAUCAUAGAGCGUGUUCUUUCCGUGUCUACGACAUGCAUGCCGAAAUUUUGCUUUAUUUACUUGUGUUUGAUGAAAGUCCCACAUUCUACCUUAUACCUAGAGUAUAAAUUGAACAGAAAAAGGUAAGUUUAACCCUCCAUCCAUUUUUCGCCCUCUCUAUUUUUACUUUUUGGUUAAAAAAUUCUUCUUCUAGUCUAAAUAUACUAUCAAGGUCUAUGUUGAUAUAUAUUUUUGUAAUUUAUUUUGUUUUAACACUUAUUAAUUUUUUGUUAAGCGUUGUUGGUAGUUAUUGGUGUUUAUUUUUGAAAAAAGUUUCGCUCUCUAUAAUAUUAAUCAAAUUUUUAAGUUUUAAUAUGAUACUUGUAUUAUUUAGGGUAAAGAGGAGGUACUAUAUUUAUAUUCUCUUUGUGCGAAUUGGAUGAGCUAAAGUGUCAUAAAUUCAAGAAGCAAAAAACUAUGCAUACAAUAAAUAAUUGAAUUAAAUAUUUUGCAAAAAAACUAAAACAUUUUAAGUAUAAUUUUAUAUUAUUAUAUAUGUUUUGUAUUUAACUAUUAUGUGUGAUUAUUUAUUCCAAAAAUCAUGUUAUUAGUUGUUUAUUUCAGAUUAGAUGGUUAUAAUAUUUUUAUACCAUUAAAAUGUUGUUCACUAAUUAUAUGAUCCGUUUCUUAAGUUAAGUUGGUUUGUGUUUUUCAAAUAAAUAUACGUAAUAGGUAUUAAUUAUAUGAUUAAAUAUUAAAGAAAAAUAAAAUUAAUUAUAUUAUGUAUUUCACGGCCUAAACCAAUGCAAAACUAUACCAUAAAAAUUCAAUAUUAUUUUCAUUUCUAAUAUUAGAAUUGAUUCUUUUGUUAAUAUGAAAUCACAUUUGUUAUUAACACCUUCUUCGGACUUUUAUUUAUUCUUACUCGUAUAUUAUUGCGUAAUAUUGUUUAAAUUCAUCGUUAAUUAAUAAGAGAAAGUCCUAUUUUAUAUAAUAGUUGUUCGUUUGAUUAUAUAUUUUUCUUAUUUUUUCUUUACUUAUUAUUUAAUAAUCAUAUUUUAUCCUUUACUUUACCUUAUUAUAGUAGCUCUAUUUUUAUCCAACAUUUUCUCUUAGAUUUAUCAUUCAAAUUAUAAAUAUUUGACGUUGUUUAACGACUUAGAAAGAUACCAUCUAUUCAAAUAUUGUACUUACUAAAAUACAGUGUAUCAUACAACACAACAUACAUUAUCAAACAUAUGUAACAACUAUUAAGUAUAAUAAUUUAUGAAAAAAUUAUUUAAAUACACAACUUAUUUUAUCAAAUUUUCUAAAAUUCUCUUAUCAUUUGAAAAAAAUUGUAAAAAAUCAUAUUCUCGGGUACAUCACUUUACAAGAUAUGUAUCGAGACGUUCUGUGAUGUAUUCAAAAUCUAGACGCGAUAUAUCGGGACGUUGAGGAAUGUAUUCGAAAUAAUUAAGACGUGAUAUAUUGGGACGCAUCCGGAUUCCACCAAAUUCAAAAGGGAAAAAAAGAUAAAUAUACCUCUGAACUAUCAUAAAUGACAUGCAGAUACUCUGUCAUACUUUUUGGAAAUUGAUGCUCUUGUCAUUCAAAAACUGGAGUACAUAUACCAUUUAUACUAACGAACAUACACGUUUCAUAAUCUUAUUUAUACACCGACCCGACAUUUAUUAAAUAUCAGCUUGAUAGAUAACAUUGUGACACAUGUCCCUAUUUAGUCUUUCGUUAGAGUGAAGGGUAUACAUGCUCCAAUUUUUUGACGACAGAGGCACCAAUAUUCCAAAAAGUAUGACGAAGGAUAUCUACAUAUCAUUUACAUCAGUCCGGAGGUAUAUUUGUCUUUUUCCCAAUUUAAAAAUAUAUUUGUAAUUUGAAAAACAAUAGAGAUAAAGAUAUAAUUAAAUCUUAACACUAUGAAAUUUAUGUCAAAAGUUUCCGAAUUAAUAUAUAUAUGGGAUUGAACAAAAGGGCAUUAUGGGAAUUUUGAAAAGAAAUGAUCUCUCUCUCCUUAGACACAUUCGUGUUGUGGAUUCUCCCUGCAUUUUGACGUGAACAGAAGUAACCAACCUUAGAAACCUCAAAACAAAAUUCCUGAGCAAAACAUUAAUAACAAUACAAUCAUUGGCAUUGUGAAAAGAGAGAAAAAAAACAACAAUUUUUCAUAGGAAAAGGAAAAGGAAAAGGAAAAGGAAAAGGGGAGAUUUACCAAAGGGGUUGUUUGUUUUCUUUUCCUUUUCAUUCAUAUUUUUUUUUGUGAGAAGAAAAGAAAACAAAAAUAUUGACUGAUUGAUUUCAUACCCCUUACUCAUAUUUUUCUUUCCCAUUUUUCAUUUCUAAACACUUACCUUUUCAAUUUCUUCAUUUUCUUGGAAUUUUGUUGAAGUGAAGGCCAAAGGUCACACCUUUAAAGGCAUUUUGGGAUAUAUAUUACAUAAUGAGGUGCAUUAUGGGUGUUUUAAAGGAUAAUAUAUCAAUGGUUUUUGUGGGGUUGUGAAUUUGAAGGGAAAAGUUGGAGUCUUGAUAGGUCUCCAUUGUGUUUCUUGAGAAAUGGUAUGGCAUUCUUGAAUUUUUUUUGAAGAAUUUCUAUAGUUUGCAUGUUGGGUUUUGCUUAAAGUUUUGAGCUUUCUCUUGAAAUAGUUGACAGUUGUGGUUGGAUUGUAUGAGUAUUGUUUUCUCUUGAAGGAGUAUAGAAAGGUGGUAAAAGCUAAACUAUGUGUUGUUCUUGUGAAGGGUUAUUAUUGCUUCUUGAUAACAUAAUGGUGAGGUAUAAUUCAGUGCAUAUAUGUGUUCUAACAACUGGUGGCGAACGUAAGAUUCUUUUAUUAAGGGGUUCAAACUAUGAAGAGUAAACACACGAGGAACCCAAAGAGGUUCAACAUCAUAUACAUAAAAUAUAAUUUUGUUUAUAUAUAAACAAUGUGAUUUUUCACCGAAGGGUUUUUGAAGAACCCCUUGGCUUUACCUAGCUCUGUCUGGGCUAACAACUUAAGCUUUUAGACGAGAUGAGUACAUAAUUCGACAUGGUUCAAUACUCGUCUCCACCGAGUAUCAAGAAGAAUUUCCACGUGUUAGGCUCUUGAACAACUUAGGUUUAUUCGUUUGGAUACAAUAGCCAUAUAGUUUGUAGCUAUUAUCUAGUUUCAUACAUUUUCAUGAGAGGGAAAUAUAACAUAUUUUUCAGCAGGUUAAUAUUUAUUAUAAGAGAGUGGUAGUUUUAUAGCUGUCCACAUGAAGGUGCAAAUGUAUUUUAACUUGGCCGUGUCCAUCUUGUUGAUUGACUAAUGAGUGCAUAAGCAACCAAACUUUCAUCACUCAGAGAAGAGUUUUUUCACUUUCUACUGUCGAGUGCUGCGUAUGCACCUUCAAGUUGGAGAUUUUUGAAAGAUUAAAGCAGCUGUCCCUGAAGUUUCUAUUUUGAAACAAUACGGAAGUACACGUAUGUGUUUUGGCUUUACUCACUGCGAAGUAUUUUUUUCUCCAGGCCUAAUAAAUAACUUUGUAAAAAAUAUUCCGUUAGACCGACCUUAGUAGACGCUUCAUCUUUCAGCUUUUAAAUCAUUAUGUUACUGAGAGUCAAAUUGGCUUAUGCAAGAGUAAAAUAUGUAGACAAAUUCACAUUCCAUGUGUAGUAUACAUGAUGUCUCUUAUCUUCUUUUUUUCCUGAUUCUAUGUCAUGUUCUUUUGUUCUUUUUGCUUAUGAAAUCUUCUCUCUAGUAUAUACAGCAUACUUUCAACGUGCAUCGUUCUUUAUAAUGCACAAAUGAUUUUGAUGCUCUGACUGAGACUUCCACAAUUUUAAAUGUUGUACAGAGUGUUUCUGCCAGUGUUGUGGUUGGAUCUCAUGUAUGGGUUGAGGAUCCAGAGGUAGCUUGGCUAGAUGGGGUCGUUGUUGAAAUCAAUGGGGAAGAGAUCACUGUGGACUGCAACUCAGAGAAGACGGUAAGUUUUACACUAGUAUACGCCUUAAUUGGCUUACUAUUAUUUAUCAUUCAGUGUACCUUUUCAUUGGCUUUUAAGCUUUAAUAUUCUGUUGUAUCUGUAUUGUAUUUAAUCAACAUGGAUGGUGCCCGUGGAGAAUAAUUAAAUGAUAAUGUGAUUCUGUUUAUUUGUUUCCCGCUACAAAAACUACUAAUGUAGUCAAUUUUUUUUAUCUCAGAAGAAAAAUUCUUGCCACAAUAGGCAAUAUUAUUAACAAGAUUAGAUGUGGUUAUACUGAGUGAAGGUCUGUUCACUAUGUUGUUUGUAUAGAGAUUUUUGGGAAAGCCUUUAUGAGUUAAAAUGGUGUCCAUUUUUAGUGUUUGCAGCAUGCUUGCUACCAAACUCUGGAUUACAUCUUUCUUUUUUCUGGUAUCUGAAUGUGUUUGAAAAAUCUCCCUGAAUUUCCUUUGUAGGUUACGGCCAAUCUAUCCAAUGUGUACGCAAGAGAUACCGACGCGCCUUCUUGUGGCGUGGAUGAUAUGACAAAACUUUCUUAUCUGCAUGAACCAGGAGUAUUGCAGAAUUUGCGAAGUCGAUAUGACAUGAAUGAAAUAUAUGUAAGAACUUUAAGGACGAUUCUUAUGCAUUUUUCUAAUCAACUGUAUUUCUUUUUUUAUCUUGAUAAUAAUAAAAUUCUAGUAUUAAUGUAUUUUGCUUCAUGCUAGUUAUGCGGGGAACUGUAGAGUAGCGACUGUUUAAGCUGUGAAUAAUAAUGAAAGGGUUGAUGCCAGAAAAUAAUGCAGAGAGUGUUAUAUAAUGACUGUUUACUUAAAGGGAACUUUUGUAUUAAUAUAUUUUUUCUCUGUAUGUUAAUACACAUUCUUGUUCUACAUUAGAAGGGCUGUUUGGUUCACAUGCUAGUUAUGUGAGGAUUAUAACGCAGAGAUUGUUUAUUCAUGGAAUAAUAAUGAAGGAAUUUUGUGCGAUGAAUAAUAAUGUUGCAGUUGUAUGCGGUGAAUUAUAAUACAUGACAUAUUAUCUAGGGACUACUUACUUUAAGAAUUUUUGUUUCAAGUACUUUUAUGGACAUGUUGCUAUUUACGUGUUCUUAUUCCUCUUUCAGUCUAGCAUAAAAUAAUACAUAAGUUCCAUAUAAACUCAGUGCAGAUAUUUUUUAAUACUGUCAAGAAAAUGUUAUGCUAGUUAUGUCAGGGAUAAUAUAACAAUCAAAUGCUAAUUAAUUAUGCAUAGACUAUUUUCUAAUUCCUCUGGCUUACACUCUAUUUAUUUUAUGCAAGAUUUUUUGUUGGGAUGAUUUUUGCUAAUCCUUUCAACCAAACAAUUCCUCAAGUUUUUUUUUUUUUGUAAUAUUUUGAAUAAACUGGUUAAGAAAGCUAAGAUAUGAUUGGAUGCGUUCAGACUUACACUGGGAGUAUCUUGAUUGCCGUGAAUCCCUUCAAGCGGUUACCCCAUCUAUAUGCUAAAAGUGUGAUGGAACAGUACAAAGGAAUUGCACUUGGGGAUCUGCCCCCUCAUCCUUUUGCUAUUGCUGAUUCUGCCUACAGGCAAGAUUCAUGUUUUUCGAGUGGCUUUCAAAUAUCAAAUUACUAUAUAAUCUUUAACAUUGUUCUUUUUGAAUGCAGGCAGAUGAUUCAUGAGGGGAUAAGCCAGUCAAUUUUGGUAAGUGGAGAGAGUGGAGCGGGCAAGACAGAAAGCACAAAAAUGCUUAUGCAAUAUCUUGCGUAUAUGGGCGGACGAGCUGCAGCUGAGGGAAGGAGCGUGGAGCAGCAAGUCCUUGAGGUAUGGUUAACUUUUGGUAAAUUUUCGCUGCUCGAUUUUGUUUCAAUUAAUUUUGCUGUUGGAAUUUUGAGAUAGCCACUUUCUUGUCAAGACUGGCUUUAUAAAAUCUGUUCAAAAUAAAUAUGGAUCAAUCAACAAUACCUCAAAACAUUUCUGGAUAUAUGUACAUUUUUAACUUUUGCUUUCUUCAGUCAAAUCCAGUUUUAGAAGCCUUCGGUAAUGCUAAGACAGUCAGAAACAACAACUCAAGGUGAGGAGACCAGAAACUUAGAUGCUUGUUCCUAUUCAUAUUGCACAUUCUGUUUAACUAAUACUUUGGCUUCACCAACAUGUAUUUUGGCAGUCGUUUCGGUAAGUUUGUGGAGCUCCAGUUUGAUAAAAGGGGGAGGAUAUCUGGUGCCGCCAUCAAAACAUAUCUGCUGGAAAGAUCCCGCGUUUGUCAAGUUUCUGAUCCUGAGAGAAAUUAUCACUGUUUCUAUUUGCUUUGUGCUGCGCCACCUCAGGUAAUUUCACUGUGCCUUUAUGUUUGCAAAUGCCUUCUUCUAGUAUUUGGGGUUCACUUUACCUGUAUUAGGAUUUACAUCAUUCUUAUUGCUUGCUCCUCUGGAUACAAUUUGUCUAUUUUCUAAUUAAGCACCAUUAAUAUGUUAACAAAGAGAAAGAAGUUUUUUGUUUUUUUCAUUUAUUUAUUUACUUGUUAUUUUCGUUAUUUUUGAAGAAUUACAAAGUAAGCAACAUGGAUGCAUCCUCUUGCAAUAAUAAAAAGUAAAGUUGUGUACAAUAGACCUAGUGUGGUAUGACCGCAGAAGCCGUAGCAUUAGGUGCUAUGUUCUAUUUUUCAUUUUAAGGACUAUUAAGACCAGAAAAUAUUCUCGUCUGAACAUGUUCCGUAGCAAUAUGUCAGAUCUUAUUAAAUAAAUAGAUGUGACUCCUCUUAAACCAUAUAAGCAUCAAGAUGAGCUAUCACAUAGUUCAACAGGUUAGGAUCAUACAAUGUUGUUCUAAGUUGGAGCUACUUGGUUUCUUUCCUUCUCUUUUCUUGCAGGAUGUUGAAAAAUAUAAAGUAGGGAACCCAAGGACAUUUCAUUAUCUGAACCAAUCAAAUUUUUUUGAACUAGCUGGAGUGGAUGAGUCGGAGGAAUACCUGGCAACGAGGAAAGCCAUGGAUGUUGUAGGGAUAAGUCACGACGAGCAGGUAUUAGCAUCACUGCAUCUUCGAUACAUGGGUUACUUCAUGAAAGUCUCUAGUUUUAAUAUUCAACUGCAGGAUGCUAUUUUUAGAGUAGUGGCUGCAAUUCUUCACUUGGGAAACAUUGAAUUUGCAAAGGGAACAGAAACUGAUGCUUCGGAACCUAAGGAUGAUAAGUCUCGGUUCCAUCUAAAGAUUGCAGCUGAACUAUUCAUGUAAGUGGUUUCUUCUAUUUAUAGUCUCCAGAUACCAUCGCGUUCCUUUUUUUUUUUUCCGAAGGAAAUUUCAUUUUGGUGAAAUUUUGUUUAGGUGUGAUGAGAAGUCCCUUGAGGACUCCAUGUGCAAACGUGUCAUGGUCACUCGUGAUGAGACCAUUACAAAGUCCCUUGAUCCAGAAGCUGCAGCUCUCAGUAGAGAUGCUCUAGCCAAGAUAGUUUACUCAAGACUGUUUGAUUGGUUAGUUGAGUUCAGGGUGAUUAAGUUGUAUUGCUUGUUUAGUUGUACCAAAGAUAUUUGACCCAAGAUAAAUAUUGUAUUAUUGUUCAGGAUAGUGAACAAGAUCAAUAACUCUAUUGGCCAAGAUCCCGAAUCAACUCUCUCAAUUGGUGUUCUAGAUAUCUAUGGAUUUGAGAGUUUCAAGACAAACAGGUGCUUAACCGGUAUGCUUUUGUUUUCAUCAUUCACAGAGGUUAAGUUCUUGCAGAGUGCUGGAUGAAAGUUCUGUUCUUCCAUUUUGGAUUUUUGGAAUUGAAUGUUCAUUUUCCUCUCUGAUCCAACUUAACCAUAAUUUUUUUCUCUAUCAACAUCUUCCUCUUUUACCAGAUUUAUCUUGGAUACGAUUUAUUGUGCCUGCUAUAUUUAUUGCUGCCUAUACACACAUUCUGAUUCUUAAAGCACUUUAGGUGUUGAGUUCACAUUUAGAUGAAUAGCCUUAAUAACUACUCGUGCUAGUUUAUUCAAUUUGCUUUUUGGUGCUCUUUCUUUGGUUAUGAUUAUUGAUUUCUUCUAUGCAGUUUUGAGCAAUUUUGCAUUAAUUUGACCAACGAAAAACUGCAGCAACAUUUCAACCAGGUUUGUGUAGUCAUUAAUUUGAUAGUCUCUCAUAGCUGAGAAAUGUUAAUAUAAAUACUAAAACCUUUUAUUGUUCCCUUUGCCAGCAUGUUUUCAAGAUGGAGCAAGAAGAGUAUACCAAGGAGGAAAUUGACUGGAGUUACAUAGAGUUCAUUGAUAACCAAGAUAUUCUUGAUCUUAUAGAAAAGGUGAUGUAGAACAUGAAUAUAAUUUAUCACCAUCUUUGACUUUUCUCGGAAAAUGUACAGAGUAAGAUUUAUUGGCAGAAAAUGGGAUAAGAGCAUAUACAAGUGUAUACACAUAAAGAGUUCUAUACAAAGUAGAUCUGUCUACCAAUUAUAUUUAAUCAUCAAUGCAUGUCAAAUUGUCUUAUGCUGGUUACAUUACUAUUUGAUUCACUUCUUUCCUCCACAGUUAUUCUGGUAAAAAAGGAAAACAGUAUAUGUGCUUUUAUCAUCAUUUUUCUGUGAUGUCAUAGAUUUUAAAUUUUAUUGAUAUGUUUUGGUUGCACUUGAGCCAAGGGUCUUUUGGAAACAGCCUCUCUACCUCCACGAGGUAGAGGUAAGGUCUGUGUACCCUCCCCAGACCCCACAUAGUGGGAUUUCACUGGAUAUGUUGUUGUUGAUGUAUUGAUAUGUUUUGGUUCCAUUUUGCCAUGCUUAUGUUCUGAAUACUUUGGUUCUUUCAGAAACCUGGGGGGAUAAUUGCUCUUCUUGAUGAGGCUUGGUAUGCAGGCACUUCAAUUCUUUAAUUUACUCUAAUUUUUCUUUCUCUUGGUAUAAUUGUCAAAAUUAAUCACAAAACUCAUUGGCUGUGGUGUUUACUACUUAUGUGGCUCUUCUGCCAGUAUGUUCCCAAGAUCAACACAUGAGACCUUCGCUGAAAAGCUAUAUCAGACAUUUAAAGAUCAUAAGCGGUUCAGCAAGCCAAAGUUGUCUCGGACGGAUUUUACUGUUUGCCACUACGCUGGUGAUGUAAGUAUAAAAACUAGUUCAUCAAGAUAUAUUUAACAUCACAGAAUGAGGGUUAUGCAAUUAUUGCCUAGAAUAGCAAGUGUCGCUCAAAGCUGUUUUGACUUCUUUCAUGUCAGGUCAAGUACCAAACUGAGUUCUUUUUGGAUAAGAACAAGGAUUAUGUAGUUCCAGAGCACCAAGCAACACUUAUUGCUUCAAAGUGCCCCUUUGUUUCUGGCUUGUUUCCACCUUUACCUGAAGAUUCUUCUAAACAAACCAAGUUUUCCUCUAUUGGUGCUCGAUUUAAAGUAUGUUUUCCUCUAGCCUUUGAUCAACCUUUUUACAUUAUUGCUUCAUGCCUCUGAAAUAUCUUACCCUGUACCUGAUGUAGCAACAAUUGCAAUCAUUGCUUGAGACUCUUAAUGCCACAGAGCCUCAUUAUGUUCGUUGCGUGAAGCCAAAUAAUCUUUUGAAGCCAGAAAUUUUUGAGAAUCAAAAUGUACUCCAGCAGCUUCGUUGUGGGGUACUCUUGAACAACUCUGUCUAUUACAAAUUAUACUGUCUCUGCAAAACUGGGUGCUUCACAAUUAAAUCUUUUCUAGGGAGUUCUGGAGGCUAUUCGUAUCAGUUGUGCUGGAUUUCCUACUCGAAAACCAUUUGAUGAAUUCUUAAGUCGGUUUAAGGUCCUUGCUCCUGAAGUUUUAAAUGGAAGGUAUUAUUUGCAUUAGAAUUUAGCACAAUUCAAAGAGUUCUCAAGGUUUCUAUCCAUUUCUUUCUUUGGUCUGUUAACAUUUAGAAAUUUUCUGCUCUCAUGUUAAGUCUUCUCCUUGAUAGAAUUGACGAGGUUGCUGCUUGCGAAAGACUUUUAGAGAAAUCUGGCCUCAAAGGUUAUCAGGUACUGAUUGUCAUUCUUCUGGUAAUGGUUAAUCAUAAGUAGAAAAAUCAUUAAGAAUUAUCUAUUAAAGAGAGAUUAUGUUUAUGUGCUGAAUACUUCAGCCAGAAAUCAAGAAACAAUCAGUAAAAUAUCUCCCUAUUCUUCUUUCCUUUAGGCAAGAAAUUACAAAUAAAUUACCUACCUAAACUAAUAUAGAAUCUCUCUAAUGUAGAAACAAAAUAAAAUCCGGCUUCCUAGUCUAAGAACAGUUUCUUAGCCCAUUCAGGAUCUUUGAGAUCCAUCCCCAGAAUUAGGACAACUCGAAAUCGUGCUUAUUCCUUCUGCUCUGAAAGUUCAGUGCCUUUUUUCUUUUUAAUUGGAGUAUUUGGUCAUUUAGUUGCUGCGAUUUAGUUGAGAAUCUUGUGGGAAACCUGUAAUCAAGGUUUCCUACUCUCUUGUUACAUCAGAUUUUUGUUUGUAUUACAUAACUCAAUUUUGGUAUCAUCUGUUGGUAUGAUUCUGACUUCUGUUUAAGUUUAUAAAAAUUUUACUUGUGACGAUCAUUCUAUCUAUUAUUACGUAAUUGUAGGUUGGAAAAACAAAAGUGUUUCUUAGAGCUGGUCAAAUGCCAGAAUUAGACACUCGCCGAAAUGAGGUCCUUGGCAAGUCAGCUAUCAUAAUCCAGGGAAAAGUUCGCUCAUACUACGCUCGAAAAAAGUUUUUGUUGUUACGAGCUUCAGCAAUCCAAGUCCAAGCUGUUUGUAGGGGUAUGAACCUGCUUGAUUUCUAUAUUAGUUAUACGACCACAUGCCAACAAAAAGCUAGAUUGGCAGUGAGUACAUCCUGGGUCCUGCGCACACCGUCUGUGACACUGGGAUUUGUUUUCCUUUAAAUUCAAUAAUGCCUCUAAUGGUUCGCUUAUGCAAUAAAAAAAUGUAAUAACUGUUUCAUGAUGCCUAUGCAGGCCAGACCGAACGGGCUCUCUAUGAGUGCAUGAGGAGGGAAGCUGCCUGUCUGAGGAUCCAAAAAGAUGCACGCAAGUACAUUGCAAGGAGAUCUUAUGGAUUUCUGUGUGUUUCAGCUGUUUCCAUUCAAGCAGGACUGCGGGGCAUGGCUUCUCGAAAUGAGCUUCAAUUCAGAAAGCGAAAAAAAGCAGCUGUCUUUAUCCAGGUAAUAGAGGGACUUUGUACUGUCUUUUCUGAAUUUUUACAUACCAUUUCAGAGCCAGAUUUUUAUCCUGAUCUGGUUCAGCAUUAUGAUAAUUAGAAUUCAAGUAACGAAUCCAUUUUACAUGUUUUGACUGACACUUAGCUUUGCUGUAAUUUUUCUUACCUUGAUUAUAGAGUGAUUGGCGGAGAUGUGUGAAACGUCGGCAUUAUAGGAGGAUGAAGAAAGCAGCAGUUGUGUUACAAUGUUCCUGGAGAGCUAAAUUGGCCCGUAAAGAACUGCGGAAGCUAAGGAUGGUGAGAACUUCUCUUUCUGUUGGCCUUUAUUGUUCACAAUUUUUUUUGUAUGACAUGCUAGUUUGUUAUGCCCCUUGAUCUGUGUAACUUGUAUUUAUCAUUCAUUCUCCAAGUAUGAAGUUAUGACAGAAUAACAACUAGUUCUGAAUCAUUCAACGCGAAGCAUGAAUAUGUCAAAGUUAAAUAAUUGAAUAUCCAUGUCUUGUACUUGAAUUGCUGAAUGCAGGUCGCCAAUUUAUAUAUUCAACUGUUAUCUUGCAAGAAAACUCUCUUCAGUCAUUUUCCUCCUUUAAAUUGAUUUAAGAUUCUUUGAUGAAAUUCACAGGAUAGUACAUGAGAUUUCCCCAUGUUGAACUUGCAAAUCUAUAUCUGCCAUUGUUGGAUUCGUGUUUCACGGGGUGGAGUUCAAAACCUUGAUAAGUGCAUUAAAUGUCUUGAUUUUCUUUUCUGAUUCAGGCAGCUAAAGAAACUGGAGCUCUCCAAGAUGCCAAAAGCAAGCUGGAAAAGGAAGUUGAAGAGCUGACACAGAGACUACAGGUGGAGAAGCGCAUGAGGGUAAAUAAAUUUCUUUUAAUUUUCAAGAUAACUACCAGUAUUAUAAUUGAUAAUUAGGUUCUAAAAGUUUCAUUAUCUAUAAUGUCGUCCCUUCCACUCAGUUUGACGAAAAUGAGUUCAUCUUAUAUUUGUUCAGGCCCGUCUUUUCUGCACAUCACCGUGAGUUACAGGUCCUACACUUGAUAAUUGAGACAUAUAUCCAAUAGUAUUCCUAAACUUAAGGAAUUGAAAAUAGAUUCGAUUUACUGCAGCUUUAAUCACUUAGGCCUAUCAAAGGCAAAAACACUCCAGAAACUACUGAGGAACUAAUGGUUCACUCCCAGAUUCUCACUCAGAAAUCAAUACUCCUUGAAAUGAUGUACCUGAAGGAUCACUUUUUUGAAAAGAAGAAAGCUCGUAGCAUUUAAGAAUGUACAGAAUAUCUAAUGCAAGUUAAGAACCUGGAUGGGAUAUGCAUUUCUACAUGUAUAUAUCAAUUAACUUUGUUGAAUGAUUCUCAUGCAAACCAUUUUUUGAAGAGAAUGUCCAAUUUAGAAAUGCCUAGACAAUGGUGAAGUACUUUUAUUCUUUGAAUGAAUUAAUUUCACAAUGCAAUAAAGAAACAUGGAAAUGAUAAAGAGAUGCUAGUUUAUUAUGAGGAGAACUUGUUGACAGUUAGCGGAAAACUAGUAUUAUCCUAUAGUAGGCGUUGCUAGUUGAAAUGGUGUAAGUUGCUUAGUGUUUAAUCAUGAUAUGCAGGCUUCUGUUUGCGACCUAAUGUUGAACUAUGAUGCAUGAUAUUUCCAACAUGAUGAGCUACAAUGUUUAAGCACAAUGCUAGACUUUUCAUUGUGCAUCUUUUCCAGUACCCCAUUAUAUAUAUGGCAUAAUUCUGUUCUCCUCUAUAGCUAACAAUGAUCUAUAAACUUUUUCCGAAAAUGCUUCGGUUAUUAUUUUUUAUAUGUUUAGGACUCUGAAAUUCUGCAAACAUUUGUUUGUUGAAACAAAAAAAGUGAACUGGUGAUCGCCUAUCUUAGUGCUCAACUUCUGAAUCAAAAGAAAGCAUAUACUUGUUUCUGCUUAUGAUGCAUACAUGAUUGAAUUGUUGAUGAAAAUUAAUUUCACUAUGAAGUUGUUAUUGUUGGACUUUGGAGUUGGACCAAGGUAAAACAAGAUUUGGAAAAAUUAACAGAAAAUGUAAUGUGAUUCUAUUUCAUAGUAGCAACUUCUUUCUGUACCACUAACUGACAAAAAACUAUAUUAUAUAGGACAAACUUGAGGAAGCUAAAAUCCAGGAAACAAUGAAAUUACAGUCUGCAUUGGAAGAGAUGAGGCUUCAGCUUCAAGAAACUAAAGAGCUGCUCAAGAAGGAACGUGAAGCUGGCACAAAGGUCGUGGAUCAAGGGUCCGUUAUACAAGAGGCCAAGGUUAUAGAUCAGGGGGUGGUCACAGAGGAACGUGCGGCUUCCACAAAGAUCGUGGAACAGGGAUCAGUUGUAAAAGAGGUCCAGGUUAUAGAUCAGGUGCAGGUCAACAAGCUUACAGCUGAAACUGAGAAGCUUAAGGUUAGAAUGUGAGGUUUAACUUUGUUGUAUUACUUAAUGGAUAUUGGAUACUUUAUUUGAAGUUCAAAAAGUAUAUGAAGUAAUCCUGACAGGGAAAGUUUUUCUAUUGUUUCAAAUUUGUUCUUUUAUCCUCUGUUUUCUCACUCAAGAUUAUAUCCAUUACAGCUUCUGAUGCAUAAUUUUCAUAGUUCAGUUGUCGAACUGGCUUUUAAUAUCUUGUCAAAUUCGUCGCAGGUUCUUGUUAACUCAUUGGAAAAGGAAAUUGACGAAAAAGAGAAAAAAUAUGAGGAGACAGUCAGAGUAAGUAGUGAGCGACUGAAGCAAGUUCUGGAGGCCGAGUCUAAGAUAAAUCAGUUGAAGGAUGCCAUGCAAAGGUAAUGAAAUUUUACUUAUGUCAGUUUCUUUGUUUGAAACAGUCUUCCCUUACUUGUUCUACCUUUAUAUGGUUUAGUAUUAAUCUGGGAUUAUCAAUCAUAGUUUCUCUAAAGCAGAAUGUCAAUUAUGACAUCGUCCUUCGUUCCGCAUAGUUGAAUGGUCCAACAAUAACAACUACGCCUCAGUGCCAAAUAAGUUGGGGAGUUGAAUGGUCUAAGUUUAAUAUUUUUAAUUCAUGAUAUACCUACUAAAAAUUAACUGCAUAAACCUCCUAGCAGAUUCAUGGUUCAAUUGUUUCAAUCCACCUUAGCUUCCUCCAAAUUGAAUCUAAUAUGUAGUUGACCCAAAAUUGCAUUUUGAUCUCCGCUGAAUCCAGAUCCUCUCAUAACUUUUGCAAUUGUUGGUAUUUUGUUGUCAAUACAGUUCUAAGUUAGUUUGAAUUUCGCACCAAUUUAGAUCCUUAUUUUCCCAUCUUUUUCAUUUGAUACUGAUUGAGAGAACCACAGUUCGAAAGAGCUGCUAAUGAAGGAUCCUGAGGCUGCCACAAAGUUGUUGGAAGAAGUAGAGUUCCAGGUUGCAGAUCAGGACGUAUCGGGCAAGAUUAGCGCUGAAAAUGAGCAGCUCAAGGUGAAGAUGUUAGAUUUACAUUGUGAUGUACUACUUAAUAGAUGCUCUUCUUGAAUUUCAAUAAUUACCAGAAAUUGUGGUCGGGACCAGUUUUCUUGCUGCUUCUAAUUUUCUUAUCUUGUUUACUUUUUUCUUUCAUAGGAUUAUAAAUCCAGGAUUGCAGUCUCGAUGUGUGAUUAUCAUAAUUCAGUAAUUGAACUAGCUUUUAACAUGCUUAUUAUAUAUGUUGCAGGUUCUUGUUAGUUCAUUGGAAAAGAAAAUUGAUGAAACAGAGAAAAAAUAUGAGGAAACAAGCAAAAUAAGUGAGGAGCGAUUGAAGCAAGCUCUGGAUGCAGAGGCUAAGAUAAUUGAGUUGAAGCUUAAUAUGCAAAGGUUGAAAAGUUUUUCAUAUAUGGCUUGGUUUCUUCAACAGCUCUGGCCUCUUAUCUUAUUUGUUCUUUUCAAAAUAUGGUUUUGUAUGUCAUUUAAAUAUGGUAGCUGUUAGUCUUAAGCUGGAACUGAAUCAGUAUUUUAUCGUCGUACCCAUACCUAUGUCACAACAUGUGGAUCAAGCUUGAAAAAUGCUUGUUAUAUCAAUCAGCUGUUAAGUUCAAAUUGGUAACUACAGACAUUAACGAAGAACCAAAUCAUAGAUUGCCUAUGAUUUGCAUUGAAUAUGACAGCUGGUUUACUUGGGGUUCAUGAAUAUCAAUAGCCAGUGUUCUUGAGAGGUUUUUUAGCUUUUGUAAAGAUUUGAACUUUUUGGGUAAAAAUUCAAAUUGUAGUUUAACCUAGUCAAAUCUGUUCGACUAAAGCAGAUGACGGAUCCAUGUAUAUUGCUUCUGUGUGUUCUCCAAUAUUUCUUUUAUAGCUUCUCUUCUUCUUAGAGCAAAAUUUCAACAUAAUCCAUCAUAUUUGUACAAGUUAAAUUACAGGAUUCUUUAUCAUGUGAAAUAAGUUAGUUUGAAUAUCUUUUUUAACUUAACAUUUGUAUCUCAGGCUUGAAGAGAAACUUUCGGAUAUAGAAGACCAGCAGAUUCUUCGACAGCAAGCGUUAAAUUUACCAACUGGAAGAACUUCAAGUCGUUUUGCAGUAAAAACUCUGCCUCUGAUGCCAUAGAAAUGCCAAUCUUUUUUUCAUAGCUUUCUUGUGCGUUUCCUCACUUUUUUAAAACUUUUUUCUGUUUUCCUCCUGCAGACUUCUGAAAACGGUCAUCAUGUAAGUGAAGGAUUCACCUAUUUAGUGCUUUGUUAUAUACUUCCUCUUUCCCAAUGUAUGAUACUCUUGUCAUUUUAGUACAUCCCAAAACGUUCGACACCAUUCCAUUUCUGAACAACUUUCACUACUUUUAAGAAUUCAAAUUCAUUUAAGUGUUCAAGUUUUAAAUAUUGAGAUGAUGUUUUCUCUAUCAAACUAACAUUUUAAAUAAUACUCUAAUGUUUUCUUACACUAUCACUAGUAUAACAUAUAAGUUAAAUUAACAUCUUAAAUACUGUGUGCACUCGAAUAGUCAUAUAAACUGGGAUGAAGGGAGUAACAGUCAUGUUGGUGCUUUGCAUAAUGUCUGUUCUGACAUGAUGACCGUUUUCAGGAACCACUGGCUGCAGUACCAUCAAGAAGGUUUGGUACAGAUUCAAUGAGGAGAUCCAAUGCGGGAGCAACAAAAUGGUUUGGUACAGAGUCUAUGAGGAGAUCCAUGGCUGAUAGGCAGCGGGUAUGUACCCAGGAAGUGAUUAAAUAUUUUUCAAUCAGAUUUCUUUUUCUGUUUGCCAUCUUUCUCCGAUUUCGCACUUUUUGGGAAUAUAUGGAACAAGAUAUCUUAAAAUUGGAGUUCCUAAAACAUGCUAUACAAACAUUUAUUUUAAAAGGCUUGUGGUUUGAACUCUAUUGUAUGAGUGAGAUUCACAGAUACCGAGUUGAUGGCUUAGUCAAAAUCUUUCCCGAAAGAAAACCAGGAUUAAACAUUAUCUUUGAUUUAAUGAGAAGUGGGGAAAAGAUAAGGCUGAUUGAAUUUCUUUUCUCUGAUGUCGCUAAGAGGUUGAUACAGCUGAACUUUUUCCUUUUCUGGUGGGGGAUGGGCGUUCAAACCCUUCCAAUUUUAUAUUUCUUCUUCCUUAUCUUCACCCUCAUUCCUGUAUUAUACCUUGUACUUCCUUGUUCACUGUCUAUAAUGAACAAAUAAAGAGUGCUGAUACACUCCAAACUUCUCUUGAUGCAUCUUGAAAACUACCUUCCUUAGCUUUUUCUUUCUCAGAAGUUAUGUUAUACCUAUAAAAAAGAGAAAAUCUACUGCAGAAGAUAGUAUCGGAAGGACAUAGCUGCAUAUGUUUAUCGAUGGAGUUCCCUUUUAAUCCUAAACCCUGGGCAGAAUGCUUUUUAAUUUUUUUUUUGAUACCGAGAAAUCCAACUGUAGCCAACCUUUAGGACUAGCCGCUACCUUGGAAACUCAGGGAUAAUAGGACUUCCCCUCUACCCUUAUCAACUUGAGUAUUAGGCUUAGUUAUCUUGGCGUCAGGCUUGAACUUGUGACCCAUGCCUCAAAUUGCUGUACCUUUUCCAAGUGAGCUAAUCCUUGGGGACUGAAUCAAAUGAUUUUAUGUGUGUAUGCAAUGCUUAAAGAUGUAGACAUGCAUAUACUGUUCUGCAUGAGUACAAAAACAUUGAGUUGUUUUUCUAAUUUCGUGUUACUAGUUUUUGAGAAGUUUUAUUCACAGCGGCAUAAUACAUCAGCACAGUAAAUAUUCCUCCACUUUAUUGUUGUAUGAAUGUGGUGAUCCCGUGGCUACUAAUUCUAAUAUCUUCUUUAACAUUAUGUUGCAGGAGAGUGUGGAUAUUCUUAUCAAAUGUGUCAGUCAAGAUCUAGGGUUCAGUGAAGGGAAACCAGUGGCAGCAUUUACCAUAUACAAAUGCCUACUUAAUUGGAAUUCCUUUGAAGCAGAAAAAACUAACGUGUUCGAUCGUCUUAUUCAGAUGAUUGGUUCUGCGAUAGAGGUAACUUUCAAUAUCAUGUCGAAAUCAGCGAUCAUGUUGUAUUGUUCGUAGGAGUUCAUGAGUCAUAACAUAAGUGUAAUACACAUACUAGCCUGUAUUAUACUGCUAUGUCAAAAAUGCUGUCUCUCUAACUCAAUGACAAACAUAUAUACUCAUUUUAUAUCAAUUUCAGGAUGAGACAAACAAUAAUCACAUGGCGUAUUGGCUGUCCAACAGUGCAACUUUGUUGUUUUUACUUCAGCAUACACUGAAAACUACUGAUUCAGCUCCAAGUAGACCGCCCCAACCAACAUCAUUUUUUGGUAGAAUGGCACAGGUACUUGAUUCUUUCUUUCAUCUCUAUUAUUAAAUGUGCUCCUAAAGCUAUUGAAUUGAAGUUUCUGUUGGCUAUACAUUUUGCAGUAUUACUUUGUGUAUUUGAAAGCACUUCUAUAGAAAGUUUCUGCAGCUAUUAUUUGAGUUCCCUGUUACUUAACAAAAUUGAACAUGUCUCUGAUGCUACUAUUGAUGUUGAAGAUCUGAGGUGGAAAAUAGAAAACAGAGAGAAAUAACUGUAUUGAUAUGUGUCAUAAACUGUUUCAUAAGUAGAAGAAAACUAGGAACACAAUAUACAAAAUACGGUGGUGCAUUUAUUGGACUGCUAUGUAUUAAGUUGGAACCAGUCCUUGACGACCGAACACGUCCAUCAAACUCAUAAUGGUGAACUCACUUGAGGUUGAAAAGUAAUAGUGUAAGAUCCUUGUCUGUCUAGUGUGUGAUGGAAGGCUGAAGCAUGCUCUUAGUAGUUGUUAAAGAUAGAUUGCGGAACAAGCAGAGAUUGGAACAUAGUUCCUUUAUGUAUAUUUUGGAUGAUUCGAAUUGAAAUCAAAUAUCAAUGUUUUGUGGGAACAAAGCAUACUUCAUAAUUGAAGUUUAGAUAUCUUCAAAAUAAAAAAGAAACUGAUGGAAAGGAAGAGGAGGAAGUGAAGCUGGAGCAGAUGGAAACUACAAUAACAACAUACCCAGUGUAAUCCCACAAGUGGGGUCUGGGGAGAGUAGGAUGUACUCGGACCUUACCCCUACCUUUUUGAGGUAGAGAGGUUGUUUCCGAUUGACCCUCGGCGUAGAAGAAUUGCAAGAAUAAUAUAACAACAAAAUAGCAACACCAAAGCAAAAAGAGAUUCACAUAAUAUUAAAGAAGCAUAUAAAUCAAAUAAGAUGACAGACUGAACAUAUGGCUAACAGAUCGAGAUACAAAUCAGUCGAAAUCAUUCACCAUACAAGAAAGAUAAACGAUGGAGUAGUGUCCCAAGACCUUUAUAUAAAUCCCCUUGGAAGUCCUUACAUAACCUAUGCGAGACAACAAACAAAUCAACAUCCUUUUGCACAUUUAACCCAAUACUUGGAGUUCAGUGAUCUGUAUUACUGACUUACCAAUGGCAAAUAGGUUUGUCAAAGGUUGACUCUGAUAGCAUGUCAAAGAAGAUGAGCUUCCAACCUAAUACAUCAAGGCCAUGAGUGGAGUAGUCCAAGACCCUUAUAAACCUUUGAGAGCCCUUACAGAACCGAUGUCAGACAAUCAGAAGAUUUCAGAAGGCAGAGUCGGUAGAAGUUAGGAGGGAUAAUUUUCUAUAGUUCAUGAACUAAUUGUAUAUAUAUUCUGUGCGCUGAUCUGAAAAUGGUACCAUGCUUAAUAUCUGUGAUGAAGAGGAAGUGAAUUAGAUGUAACACCGCACCAGUAGGCGGAAAUAAUUUUCAAAUUCUCAUACAGAUUGAAUUGGAUCAUAUAGAGUGAUGAAGAUCUGAAUGACGGGGAAGGAAUAAGGAGAACUAGCCAUAUUGAUUCUAACUUUAUUAAUAUGAUAUACAAUAUUCACUUAUAUAUAGGUGUGAUGCACUAUGUAAGAUACAAUCCUGCAUUUAUUUCACCAUUGAUUUACUUUUUAGGUGACCUCCUGUGUCCUAACUUUCUAGUAGUUUUUCUACUCUUAUCCUGCGAAUUUCCAAGAUAGACCAUGUAACUGUUACUUGUUUACAGCUGCAUUGGUUGGACAUUAGUAAAUCUCUCUCUGUAUAAAACAUACUAGUAGCCUAGAAUGAGGUAUAUGCAGGUUAUUUAAAACAGAAUUCCAACACAUUUCUUCAGAAAAUUUAUUGAUUAAAUGAUUGUACUUCUUUUCUAGAGUUUCCGGUCUUCAUCUGUCAACCUUGCAAUUGGUGGUCUCGACACUGUACGUCAGGUUGAGGCAAAGCAGCCAGCUUUACUUUUUAAGCUACAGCUCAGUGCUUAUGUCGAAAAGAUUUAUGGAAUUGUUCGAGAUAACUGGAAAAGAGACCUGUCUUCACUGCUGACUUCAUGUAUCCAGGUAAAUCACCAUGUUUUCUAGAAGUUCUAUGAGGAUGUUUUAUAUAUAUGUGUAUGUUCUGUACAUAUAUGUAUGUAUUCUGAACAAUAUGAAUAAUAUCAUUUGAUGCUUGUUAAUAAAAGAAUAUCUCUCAAGUAAGUCCUCUUCUCAAAUGGCACUUCUCCCUAGCUCACAAGGACUAACUGCACCAUAUUCACUGUUGCUUUCAUUAGGAUUCUGGUUUAUCUUGAUUUCAUGGCCCUUUCAAAAAAAUUCUGUUGGAUCUCAAAAUUGUGAUAAGCCGUUGUGCUUGUAACUUAAUUGUAUUUUGACUCAAAACUUCUUCGGGUUAUGGUCUUUGUACUUCAUAUAUUCAAACUUCUAAUUAUACUUGCACUUCCCAUCUUAAUUAGGCAUCUCAAGCAUCAAAAGGUGGAUCCUUGCAAUCACCACGGAAGUCCGUUGAUGGUUCUUCUCCACCCACUCCCUGGGAUGGAGUAAUUGAGAGCCUAAAUGGGCUUCUCAGUACACUGAAAGAAAACUGUGUAAGUUUCAUUGUAGGAAACAGUGUGAUGUGCUAAUAUUACUAAAACUGAUGAGUGGACUUGUGAAAUUUUUCAGGUUCAUCCAGUUUUCGUCCAGAGAAUUCUAAACCAGAUAUUCUCUUACAUAAAUGUUCAGCUGUUCAAUAGGUACAUUCUUUUCGUAUCUCAUAGCAGGAAGAUUAGAAAGAAACUCAUAGAUACUCCACUUACCAUUCUAUUUAAUCAUCAUUGCAGCCUUCUCCUUCAAAGAGAGUGUUGUACAUUCAGCAGCGGGGAGUAUGUGAAAGCUGGAUUGCAAGAAAUAGAACUUUGGUGCGGCAAUAUGAAAGAAGAGGUACUGUAUCAUUAGUACUGUAAGGGUACAUUGUUCGUAGAUUAAUAUAUAUGAACUGUAUUUACAUAUAAUUUAUCUUUUCCUUUCGCAGUACGUUGGUUCUUCUUUGGAUGAAUUAAAGCAUGCAAGGCAGGCAGUAGGAUUUUUGGUAUGUUUCUCCAAUGAACCUUUUUUUUUUUUUGGAAAAAUGUCGCUCUGCUUCAUAGCCUAAUAAUGCUCGUCUUACAUUUAAGUAUGAUUUUACGGGAACUCUUUUCUGUUACUUGCAAGUGACACCACAUAUAUGGAUAUUUAACUCCCAUUUUGAGAUUAUCUAUCACCGAACCCCUUCCAUAUAUUUUUCCCUAUCUAAAUAGCUCCUUUACAGGUUAUUAAUCAGAAGUCAAGACUUACAUCUGAAGAUCUAACAACUGAUCUCUGUCCCGUAAGUUCAUCUUCGUAGUCUUCUUAGUUGUACUUAAUUUAGAGAUUCCAAAUAUUGAUAAUACAUGGCGGUUCCAGGCUGCCACUUCUGGAAGUCGUGUUCCUUUGUUAGUUAUUUGAGUGCUAAAACAAAGAAUCCUAUUGGAGAAUUUUAUGAAGUGUAUAUAGAUCGACAGGGACUUAACCGAAUUAUUUAUGGUGUUAAAAUAUUGAAGUUAAUUUUCAUGCUACGAUACGAGUCCUUGACAUUUAUCUUGUCACAUUUGUGCAUCUGUCACUGAAUGUCUUUUUUCUGUUGGGAUCAUCUUUUCAGAUUCUGAGUAGUCAACAGUUGUAUCGGAUAUGUACACUUUACUGGGACGAAGAUUUUAAUACUCAAGGUGUAUCCCCAGAGGUAAGUCCUCCUUUCUUCAUUUAUUUUAUUUCACUCAAUGUCUUCUAUUGAUUAUGUGUAUAAGGAAUGCUCCUUCGAGACGAUCUGUUAGUCGACUAAUGUAUAUCAAUAUAAGAUAUUGGUUUGCAUCCUCCAACUGUUUGUCUUUCUGAUUAUUUUCUUCUUUCGGGGACGCUAAACCUUAGCUUUAACGUUUCCCCCUCUCUCUCUCAAUGGCAAAUUUUAACUGAACUUUUCUGCAUUUGGAUCCUAAACCAUACUGCUCGGAACAGGUCAUUUCCAGUUUUAAGGAUCAAGAAAAAGAAGACGCAAAGAAUGCAGAUAAUGCAAAUGAUGCAGAUAACAACUUUAUAUUGGAUGAUAAUUCCAGGUACUUCAUUAAUCUCAUUUGCUAUCAAAAUCUAUGUUGCUCGGACUCUUCAAAAAUACUGACAGGUGCAUGUUGUAUCCUCCAAAAGUAGUGCAUUUUUUGAGAGUCCGAGCAACAUAAGGUCAAAAUGACAAUAGAUCCUAUUCUAUCAUUCAUCUAUUUGCUACCAAUGCAGCAUUCCAAUCUCUGUUGAGGAGAUUAACAGUUCCCUCAAGGACGUUGAUUUCACCGGUGUAAAACCUGCAAAUGAACUGCUUGAAAAUGCAGCCUUCCAAUUUUUACGCGAAUAAGGCUGAGUUUUCUCCAGCAUGAAAUGCAUGUUUUGUUGGAACGACGUUGUCCAAGUCUCCACGCCAUGAAUACCAACUAUUGUACAUCCAUCAACCUAUUCAUUUUCCUUCCAGACGCGUCUGUUCGUUAUACUGUAACAUCCAAUGCCCCUUGUAAAGUUGCUCAAAAUGUAGUCUUCUUGUAAAAUUGUAGGUCUAGUUUUAGAUAGGAGAAAAGGGGGGAUAAAAGUGAGGAAAUUUUCCAACUUAGAGCUUGUUCCAUUUAGUCUUUUUGUCAUUCAUUUUAGAGUUGUCAUUAGCUAGAUUUUUUGUAACAAGGACUAAUUGGAGUACAAUAUUAUUGUAAAGAGCAAAAAUGGCCAAUUCAGUGUCUCUUUUUUCCCUCUCUUUUCAUUCAAAAUUAUCAUUUCAUACACGAGUCCCAGACUCAACUUGUGAAAUUACACUGAGUAUAUUGUUAUUUUUACACGAGUACGCGAUUUAAGUGGCAAAUUACUAUUACCUCCUUUCCAUUAUAUUAGUUGCAACAUUAGCCAGUGUUGAGAGAUCUCUUGAAAGUCAUCUUUUUUUUGCAUAUGGACACCUAGUAGAGGCUAUAUAGUAAAGAUUCCUAUAUGAAAUUCUUUUUACUCCCCAAAAGAGGGAGACAUGCGACAGAGGCGUAUCAAGGAUUUCGAAAUGAUGAAUGCACUAUUAUGAGAAGGUGGAUUUAAACGAUUUGACAUUUAGGUUCUUAUCAUUGAAAACAAUUGAAAAUAUUAAAUUAUAGGUCCAAAAAUUGAAAUGCUUGAUUAAUUAAAACGCUAAAAGUACUAUCAAUAACCACUUAGAGAGGUUUAUCCAAUUUUAGAAAGGAAAUGAAGAUAGAUAUAAAUUUCAAAGGGAAAAGGGUCUGAUAUACCCCUCAACUUUGUCAUUUGGAGCUGAUACAUCCCUCGUUAUGAAAGUGGCUCAUAUAUGCCCUUACCGUUAUACAAAUGGCUCACAUAUACACCUACCGUUACAAAAUGGCUCACAUAUACCCUUCAUUUGACGAAAGUUAAAUAAUUAGUUUUAAAUUUAUAUUUAUUACUUAUAAUUUUUAAAAAAAAAUUAUUUAGUGGUACAUAUGAUUCUUCUAUAAAAGUUCAAGGUAUAUUUUUUAAUUUUUUUCAUACAUAAAUUAUUUUUUGACUUCUUUUAUUAUAAUUAUUUGAGUUUCUUAUCCUUAUUUUGUUUUUUUCUUUCAUUCCUUAGUUUAAAGAAAAAAAAUUAAACUAUUGUUUUGUGUGUAUUGUAAUUUAAUUUCGUAUUCGGAAAAAAUUUGGUCAUCUACAAUAAGUUUUACAAGAAUAUUAGUGAAACAUAAAUAAAUUUGAUUAUCAAAAUAAUAAUUAUAAAUUAGUCAUUGAAACAAAAAAAAAGUCAAAAAAAAAUAUGUUUGACGAGGAUUUAUUUUACUCAUAUGGAAUUAUAUUUUUUAGAAAAAAAUAAUAAAAAUUUAGAUUGAAAAUUAUUAUUUUUUCAUUUCCGUUAGAGGAAAAGGGUAUGUGUGAGUCAUUUGUUUACAAGUAGGGGUAUAUAUGAGCCACUUUCAUAACAAGUGGUAUAUCAGCUCUAAAUGACAAAGUUGAGAGGUAUAUCAGACCUUUUUCCCAAUUUCAAAUUUCUACCCUCACUAAUAGGUGCACCUAAUCAUAGUUGCAUUAUAUGAUACUCCGAGUGUGGAUUUACACAUCUAAAUACAAAAAAUUAAAAAUAUAACACUAUUAUAUAUGAUUUUGGGAACGCGGUGACCCCCUCCUCAUACACCUCUGUGCCGAUAUAUACAGUUUGCCCAAAUAUGGUUGAGAUAUACAAAAUCUAUACAUUGAUAAUGUAUAUUAUAUGUAUAUGAUACUAAUAUAUACGAAUUAUAUACAUUUUUUCUGGCUAUUUUGUAAAUUAGAUCGCCUAAAGACGUUGAACUCUAACUAUUAUCUCAUAAAGCUCAAAGAAAUGGGCUUACAUUUGAGAAGACUACUUGGGAUUGGGCUCAGUGUGAGAUUGGGCUUAAUGUAUUGGGCUUCAUUUCUGUUGCUAUUGGACUGAACACAAUCCAAACAUAAGCCCAAUAAAACAACACCUCAUUUGUGUUUGGUAAGAUAUUACACGCAACGACGACGUUAAAAAUGGAUAGUCUUGAACUUUUGACCCGCACUUUUUCCUAUGAGCAAACCUUCAAGAUCGGAAGUCAAAAGUUUAGCCAUUGACCUAACGCCAACGAGGUAAAAAAAUUCAACAUCGCUCAUUUCACUGUCAUUACUUGUGAAUCUUCCGUUCUUUGUUUAUUUGUAUCAGAAAAUAUUUCGAUUCAAUAAUUUCAUUGUCGGAAAUGGGACAUGCUUAAAAUUUCAUAAAAUACAAUGAUUUUUUUUCCAAUUCUCUAAGCUUAUCUCGAUUUAUAGGGAGAAAGUCGAAACACAAUAAAAUCAAUAGACCCGCUAUCUAAUCACCUAUUAAGAAUAUUCUUUAAUAAAUCAUCAUUUGGUAUGAUUAAUGCAUGAUCACCAUUUAUGAAUUAAUUAUCAUAAUAUUAAUUAACACAGUACUUAACUUAAUUUUUUUUAUGAUUUUGUUGUGUAUUUAUGUGGUCCUAAAAUGGCUUGGGAUUUCAUUAUGAGAUUUGUUUGUCUAAUAAUUAUGAAUAUUUAAUAUAAUUUUUCAUCAUAUAACUUUCAAUAAUUCCCACUGAGCAUGUCAAUUAUACAUGAUUAACUUCUUCAAACUUCUAAUAUAUAUCUCAAAAUUUAAUAAAAAACUAAUUUAUAAAGCAUGGAAGGUGAAUACAAAAAUCUAUUAGAAAUUCAACCGUUUAUAUAAUAACAAUAUAUUCAAUAUAAUUCUGCAGGUGAGAUCUAAUAAACUUAGAAUGUAUGCAUAUUUUAUCUCCGCGACCUAUUUAUCUGCUCAAAUUCGAUAAUCACAUCACAUUAAAAAAUCAAAAUAAAUUAAUUCCAAAUGGGAUAAUUUGUCACAAUUAUUAAUCUUAAUUAAUUUAACUUUAGCUGCAAAUGCCAUGUUAAAUUUUGUUAAGAAAUCCAUUGACUAAUUAAUUUAAUUUUAGUAAUGAUCUAAAAGAUUAACUAUUCUUAGGGUCAUGUGUAAUCACAUGAAUUUCCAUGUUUUCUAAUUGAUUCCUUUAAUAUCUUUAAUUAAUUUGACUUAUCACAUGAUAUAAAUAUAUCAAAUAUUUUAAUGGGUUUUCAGUUAUUACAGUUAUGGAGUUAGUUGCAUUAAAAUCAUAUAAUUUUAUAGUACAAUCACACAACUGAAUAUAAGAAAUUUUUUAUUAACUUUUUUUUUUGUUAAUAGCACUUUUGGUCCUUCAAUUAUUAAUAAAUUCUAAUUUUGAUCCUUGUUAUAUUUGACUCAACACAUUUGAUAUUUAACUGAUUGAUAUGUGUCUUUGAUUCCUUUAAAUAUUCAUAAAUAUAUCAUAAAUAUUAGCCGUUCCACGAAUUAAUUAAUUAUCAGUGCGUUAUGUUAAGCUUGUAUUGUUACUCUAUAUUUAACGAUAAUAUAAUUCUUUCUUGCCUAAUAGGACUAAAACAUACAUUUCGAUUUAUUGAUGGUUAAAUGUACAAUGACCGCACUCAAAAAUCUAACUGAACACAUUUAACCUUCAAUAAUUGAAAUGUGCAAUUUUUUUCUAUCAUGUUGCUUGUUAAUAUUCACAAAUAAUUCAUCGUAAUUAUUAAUCGUUCCACCAUUUAAUUAUUCACGUGCUGUGUUAAAACUUUUACUCUUAUUAGUCCAUACUUCUUACAUACACUGGCUAAAAAAUACAUUUCAAUUAAUUAAAAGUUAUAACAUAUGCUUCGUCAGAUAUCUCAAAGAAUCGAAAUCAAAAUAUACUUAUAAUUUGAGGACACAAUUAUAUUAUCCCCACUUAUUUAUUUAUUUAUUUAUUGUGGGACAAAAUGUUCUUGGGAAAUUAAAUUGAAUCUAAACUUGAGAGUUUAUUUAGGUUCUUUGGAUUGAGUCAUAUUAUUGAUUAAUUAUUAAUUAAAAGGAUCUGUGAAAACUUUGUCCUUUGAACAUGAAAUCUAGAAAUGGCUUCACAACAAAGUUAAAAAAAUCUAACAUCUUAAUUCAAUGAACUAUUAAGAGAUUUAAGACAUUAUGAUGAGACCAAAAAUAUAAAAAGUACUUUUCCCAAGAAAGGAAAAAAAUGAUUGAAGAACAAGUUAUUAUAAUAUGGUCUUGUUUACUAGCAUUUAUGACAAAAUUGUAUUUAAUGGACUAUGUAAUUUGUGAGAAAAAAGGAAAAAAAUGAUUGAAAAUGCAUUAAGCAAAAGAUGUAAAAUUAUUACGAUAUAAUUGCCUAGCUUACAAGUGAUAUUGUCUAUUCUGGAUAGUUACGAAUAGUAUAAGAAUCAAUUUUAUGUCAGUUUUGUCGAUGUAGAGUUCAACUAAGUGAGAACUACUUUAAAAUUAUUUUUGUUAUUAUCCGGCUUAUAAAUAACAUUAUCUAUUUUAAAUCGUUAUGAAUGAUAUUAGAGGCAAUAAUUUGUUUUGAAUAAUGGCAAACGUGGUAUAUCUCAAACUUACGUUUUUGAUCGUCAAUUUCAAAUAAUGUACCAAGAUUUUAAUUACUCUUUUAUUAAAUAAUAAAUUCAUCCUAAUUAGCCUUUAUAGGUGUCAUCUGUCAACCAUGAAAAUUCAGUAUUUACACAGAUUAAAUAAAUACAUGACAUAUUUUUUCAUAAUACAUAUAUACAUAUCACUAAAUCAUAUGUUAAUAUUUAACAUGUGUGUCACUAUAAUAAAAAUAACUUUUAGCAGCAAUAAAUAUUAAUAUUAAUGUAGAGUGUUAUAGUCUUUACCAGCAUUAGUUAAAUGUCAUUAGAUUCAAUUUCGAUAAAUAUUUUAGGAAUAUAUACAAAGAGUACUAUUAAAUAAUUACCGCUAAAAAUACAUAUUUAACAUCAAUUAAGAAUUAAUUGCCGCUAAUUUUUUAAUAUAGUGUGUGUGUCUUAACAUUUAAUUAACUUAAAUUAUGAUAAAUUAGUAUGAUUUGAUAUAGACGUCAAAUACAUGUAAAUUUUAUCAUAAAUUACAAUUAAAAGACCGUUUAGUCGAAUAUUAUAAAUAACUUUUCUGAUAGCAAACAUUUUAUUCAGUAGUUUUUUUCGAUGCAAAUUCAAUUUAAUCAGAACGAUGACAUUAUAUAACGUACGGAUACUUAUUUAAAGAAAAACAAUAGCGAGAAAAAAACAAACAAGACAUUAAUCUAAUAUGUAUAGUAUUUAAACACAAGUUGCGCCUGAAGUCAUUAAGUCGAUAUUAUUUUCUAAGUAAUGUUCUUAUCUUUUCAUUAUUCAUCAAAACAACAUAAGAUGUACACACAAAGAAAACAUCAAAAUUGAGGACAACAUGAAGAUCUUAAGGGAAGUUGGUAAAAACAAGAAAAGAUUUUUGAGUAUUCCCUAGAUAAUUGCUUAACAUAAUUAUUGAUAGAGUUUAUAGACAUUAAUUUGACUUAAUAGAAAAACAAGUCUUCAUUCAUUCAAAUUCAAAUAUCAAUUGACCUCAUUAACUGAAUCUAAUUAUUGGAAAAACUGCCUCAAUUGAAUGUGCAAAGAAUGAUUCAUAACUAAUAUUAACUAAUUAAUUAUGUGCUCUUACACAUGCACUUCUUUUUGAAUUACUCAGGUCCGAUUAAAUCUGAAUUCACGCAUUAUAACAUGUUCAUUUCUAAGAGAUAAUACUUUUAAUAUGGUUUUUUUCUUUCGUGUCCAAAAUCUCAAAUCUAAAACCUCUGUGAGUAAAAAUACGUUAAAUCAUUCCGCCACAAUCCAGAUUAGUUAGACAUGCACUUAAUUAAUUCCAUGGUCAAUGCCAUUCAUAAGUGUAUCAAGUUUUAAUUUAUUGUUUUGAAUUAGUGAGGUUCAAUUGAAUCUGAAUUCACGCAUUAUAACAUAUUUAUUUCUGGAAGAUAAUACUCUCAACACAGUUUUUUUUUAUAUCCAAAAUCUCAAAUCUAAAACCUUUAUGAGUAAAAAUACGUUAAAUCAUUCCACCACAAUCCAGAUUAGUUAGACAUGAACUUAAUUAAUUCCAUGGUCAAUGCCAAUCAUAAGUGUAUCAAGUUUUAAUUUAUUGUCUUUUUUUCCCCUCUCUUUCUUGUGUCUUUUGACCAUGGCUUCUAUAAUUAGAACAUGACAAAUGAUUUAGGUACCAACUUGUGUUUGUUAAUUCUCAAAUCACAUGAUUAAUUAAUAUAAGAAUAGAUUAAGCUUAUUUAAUAUGUUAAAUCCAAUUUACUUAGUUUUUUUUUAAAAAAAAAUUAAUGUUGGGUAGGGCUACACCAUGGAAAAAAGGAAAUGAUUAUUGGUAGUUGUGCAUAAACAUAUGAAUAUAAAAAGUGGUAGAGAAUCUGAUGCAUGUUCUAAAGCUACUUAUAAGCAUGUAAUUAAACAAUAAAUAUAUAUUAAUCAGAUCAAAGGCGUAUUUAGAAUUUAAAGUUUAUAGGAUUUAGAUUUAAAAUUCUAUCGCGACUUAUCUGCUCCUAUAAUUUAGUGGUUUUGAAUUCAAUUAUUUGUAUUUAUUUAAUGUACUUUAACACGUAAAAAAAGCGAAUCAAAUUAAGUUAUUAAAUUCAUCGAAACAUGUAUAUAUCUCACCUUCUAAAUUCGCGCUUGUUUAGGUCUAGUUAUAAACAAAUCAAUUGUUUUAUUGGUUUGCUUUGUCUCAAGAAUCUUGAUCAAUUGCCUCAAAACAAACAUCGAUCGAUCUCAAUAAUUCAUAAAUUAAAUAUUCAGAGGUGAAUUCUGGAUAUAAAUUUUAUUCAGGAGGUAAUUAUAUUAUAGUAAGCUUAUGGCAUAUAUUAAUGUCUAGUUUGUCCAUGUGAACUUGUGUCAUGUCUCGUAAAUCUCUUUCUGCUUACAUUCCAAUAUGAAAUUUGCCUAAUUAAAUGUCUUUACCCCUAUUUUUUCCUAAUUUACUGAUUUUCGAUAAUCCUUGAUUUUAUACGAUCAAAUUUUUAUUAUUUAGUGACAUAAUAUACUCCACGCUAACUUAUUUUCUCCAUUUUUUUGUAAUAUUACGAGAUAUUAGAAAUGUAAUUGAACCUUCCUAUUUAUGACUUUUGUUAGUAAUUUUAAAAUUCAAUUAUUAGUAAUAUCUACUAUAGAGUUGACUUUUUUUUUCUAUUGAAUAAUUAAGGGGUCAAAGUGCUUUAAUUUUGACUCUACGUGGAAACAUCAUAAAACAAAAUUUUACUAAUUAAGUAGUAUUAAAAAUUGAUCAACGCGUUUGCUUCUUUAUAUCAAGCAAAAAUAAUAAAAUGUUGCCUAAAACAGAAAGUAGGAUUUAUAAGAUCUUUUACUAUUUUAUAUAUUUAUAAAAGUGGUUAAAUACAUUAAAUAAAUGAAAUUAUCUUUACAUUGAUUGAAUUAAAGAAGCAAUGUGAAUAGAAGAUUUAUGAACAUUCUAUGUGCUUUCUAAUUUUGAAAAGUUGCAAUAUUUAGGCAUAGGAAAAAUUCCAUUUCUAGGGGACGGUGGCACUUUGUUUUUACGGUGUUCGAGUUUUUUCACGUAUUUUGAUUAAUUUUUAUGUAUUAAUUUAAUAUUUAAGUUUUUAUUAUUUCGUUUUUGUUUGAUGAUUGAAAUUUGCUUUGAAGUUUGAUUUAUUUUGAUCCAUAUUAAAAAAUUCAGUUUUUGAAGGUAAUACAUUCAUAUCUAAGUCGACUAUAUAAUACUCACAACAUCUUGGGGCCUAUUAAUUUGCAUUAUCGCGCCAAGAAGUCCCACUUAAAGUGACUUCAUAAUCAUGUCAUUUUAGAGUCUGAUGAAUCUAGAUUUACAUCAAAAAAUUUAACUUUUAAAGAUAGCUCUUUAUCAAAAAUAAUUUCAUACUUAAUACAUAAAUUUAAAAUUUUUACUUAAAAUUAAAAAAAUAUUUAUCAUUAUAUCCAUUGUCAUCCAAGUUUUCUUCAAAAGAUAUGAUAAGUCAAAAAUAGGGAAAAUAUCCAAGUACCCCCUCAACCUAUGCCCGAAAUCCCAGAGACACACUUAUACUAUACUAAGGUCCUAUUACCCCUUGAACUUAUUUUAUAUGUAAUUUUCUACCCCUUUUUAGCCUACGUGGCACUAGUUCGAAAAAAAAGUCAACCAUCGUUGGGCCUACAAGAUAGUGCCACGUAAGCUAAAAAGAGAUCAAAAAUUAUUAAUAAAAUAAGUUCAGGGGGGUAAUAGGACCUUAGUAUAGUAUAAGUGUGUCUCUGAGAUUUCGGGCAUAGGUUGAGGGGAUACUUGGACAUUAUCCCUCAAAAAUAAGUAAAAGUUGUACAUAUAAUGCUUGUCAGAGGGUCGGAUUCACUAAGGGAAGGCUUUAACUUAUUUAAUUGCUUAUAUUAAAUUUUGAUUGAUUUAAAUUUAUAUAUUUAAAUUCGAUUAAAAGAAAGUGUUGUUUUAAGAAUAAAAUUCAUCCUUACGCUUUGAGCCUUAGACCUUUAAUUAAGGAAGAAUGAAAUCAAAUUUCGACAAUAAAAAUUUAUAUGAUAGAAAAAAUAUAAGAUCUUUUACUAAAAUUAUUUUCAGAUCAAUAAUUUUGUCAAGCCGUCUCAACAUUAAUAUUAUUUAGGAUAUAUAAAUUAGUUGUCAUGAUAAAUUAAGUUAUAACUGCGAUACUCUUCUUUCAUUUCAUUAAGAAAAUAUUAAGCAAGAAAUCAUCAAAAUUAUUUUAUAUCGUCAAUUUUAUCUUCUUUCAUUUCAUUAAGAAAAUAUUAAGCAAGAAAUCAUCAAAAUUAUUUUAUAUCGUCAAUUUUAUUGAGCCGUCCUGAAUAAAUAUAAUUUAGGAAAUAAAAAGUUGUCAUAAUAAUUUUAAAAAUGAUGAUGUUACUCUUCUUCCAAAGCCCUUGGAAUUAUCUAAACACAAUAAGAACAAACACUAACUUGUUAUUUUUUGCAUGAAAAGAAUAGAUUUCUUUGUUACCUAAGGUUCCAUGCACAUGCAACUCUUCUUUCCCCCACAACAUUUUUAUCUCUUUUAUUAUAUUUUAUUCAUAUAACCUAUGAUAAUGAUACGUAUUCGUUUACAUAUAUGCUUUGUCCCGUUUGAUUUUAUAUGACAUUCUUUUCAAAUUCAUGUUAGAAUGAAUGAUCUCUUUUUUUAACAUUAAUUAAUUUAUAUAUUCAUACGCCUGACGACUUAUUGAUAAUUAUAUUGUAUAUAUAAUUAAAAUGAUAUAUGAAAUGAUUAAAUAAUAUAUUUUAAAUAUUCUUAACUCAAUGAGUUAUUGUAGUUCAGUGAUUAUAUCUCUUUUGAAUCAGGUAGUACUCGUGUGAUUAAAUCUCACUAAUUCUAUUUUUUGAAGCAAAGCUUUUAUUGUGCUAUUUUUGGACAUACUUUAUGAAAUUUCUGACUCCGUCAAUAUUAACUACUGAAAACUUCUAACAUGUUUAGAACAACAAGUACUCGAAGAGUUUUAUUUUUUUAAUGCAUGAACUAGAAGUCUUUUUUUUUCUUGAUUAAACUUCGUGUUCAGUCAAAUCAAAAUAAAAGAGAAUAAAUAUUUAGUAUAGUUGAUUUUAGCAAGAACCAAGAAAUGAUUUUUUUCCUCAAUUUCUUCAUCAAAUUAAACUAAUAGUAGUGAAUGUUUGUCAUGCUACAAAAUACAAUGGUUCUAGGAUUGUGAAGAGGGUAGGCAAAUAGUUGGACUUUGGGGAUUAAUCAACAUGUGUGUAAAUCUCAAGGCUAAUUAAGUGUAGGUUAAUUAUUUGGAAUUUAAUUUAAUUUAAUUGCAACCUAAAUAUUAUAUGGUUUAUAUAUAUAUAUAUAUAUAUAUAUAUAUAUAUAUAUAUAUAUAUAUAUAUAUAUAUAUAUAUAUAUAUAUAUAUAUAUUUGGUUCCAAAUUCCAAAACAAAGAAAUAUGAGUCCUCCCAAGACACAACUAGCCGCUCUUCUUCCACCUACUCCAUGUGGAUGGUUUUGUCAACUUUUUCUCGUAGAAACGAAUUCAAAAUUUAAAUAAGAUAAAUAUUUAAAAAAAUUCGUAUAUAAAACGUAUACGUGUUUAUAGAUGAUUUUAAGAUUUAAAUGUGAUAAAUUCACCGUUAAGGUUUUUAGUGCAUUAAAAUAUGCAUAUAAGUUUACAUUAUUAUUUUUUUAUAUAAUAUGUUCAUAACUUCAUAUAUGUUUGAGAGAGUGUAAAUGAUCGAUCGAGGCACAUGUUAUUAGUCUUGAAAAAUACAAAAGUUAUUAUUCCAACUUCGAAUGAUAAUAUAAUUUUGGUUACUUUAAUUUUUAAUGCAAUUCUUAUCCAAGAUAUUUCUAUUUCUACCAUGUCACACGUGAGUUUAUGUCUCUUUACCUCAAAAUUAGUCGUUUAAUCUUGAGUCAUUAAAAUCUUUCUGAUUUAAUUCGAUUACAUUAUAUGCAAUCGAUAUGUUAUUAUAAGUCAUCAAAAUAUUUUCAAAACGACAUACUUUUUAAUUUGAUAUUCAUUAUAUUAUGUUAAGAAAUGGAGGGCGGAUUAAGUUAUGCUCCGUUUUAAAGCUCGUUUUAAUUUAAAUAACUUUUGAAUAGAUAAUCAAUAACCUACCUGCUCAUAUCUACUAAUUUAAUUUAUUUUGAUCUGUUUAAAUUCAACUCACUUUGUAUUAAGCAAUUGUAAUAUAAUACUUUAUCCCUUGAUAAUAUUGAUGUGUUAUUGUGACAUGCAUAGAGAUAAUACUUGUAGGUACAGUGGUUCACCAUGCAUUUGUCUUUGGACCAGUACCAAAUGGAAUAUAAGAUUCAAAUUUAUAAAAUUUAAAUUAUGAAUUCGCCUUCAAUAAUGAUAAGUUAGUUUGAUUGUAAGCUCCAUUAUCAAUCUUUCUUACCAACACGUGCUUUAUUUAGAUCGUAAAUUAGUCAUAGAACUUUAAUUUUUAAAGUAAAAUUAAAAUGAUUGAAUUAAGAUGAUUUAUUCAAACCUUUUUAUGAGAAAAUUAUAUUGUACAUAGAAAUUUCUAUAAACCAAUAAUGAAUAUUUGUUUCUGAAUGCCAAAUAAAUUACAUAUUUGUUGGAGUAAUAACGAAUAAUGCUAAAUGGCUAGAAAAUUUAGUUAGAAAUUUAUUAAAAAAAUUAAUUUAAAAUUAAUUUUUUUUAAUUUUAUAAUUAAAGUGUAUUAAAAUUACAAGAAUAUAAAUAUUUAAAAAAUAAAACAAAUACCAUUCUUAUCAAUCAAAUUCUAAUCAAAUUUUCUGGCGAAUUUUUUUUUUCUAUUUAACAAUAUAUUUUUUUGGAAGAGCUAUACUUAUUUCAUCGAAGAAAACAUUCUUUUUUUUUGUUCAUUUUUUUUUUGGGAAUACCAAUAAUUAGAAAUAAAAUCUUGGAAAUGCAAAACCUCACAUGUCUCUUGCAUUUUAUCUUGUUAUUUUAAUUUUUGUGUACGUUGGAUAUCUAAAGGACAAAUAAUAUUUAGAAAUAAAAUUUUGUGUUAUUUUUAUUAUUAUAUUUCCAAAUUCAUAUAGUUCUAGAAAUAUAUAUAUAUUACGAUUUCUUCUCCUUUAAGAAUUUUUCCUUAAAAAAAUUAUAUAUAUAUAUAUAUAUAUAUAUAUAUAUAUAUAUAUAUAUAUAUAUAUAUAUAUACCAAUAGUACAAAAAAACUGAGCGUAAUUUAAUACGUGAGUAAGUUAAUUUAUUAUUUUAUCAGAUUAUCAUUGAUAUUUAUUAUAAAAUGACUUAAUUAUAUAAUUAUAAUAUUUUUAAACCUUCAAAGCAUAAAACUUAAAAUUCUAGAAUGAUUAUUAUAAUAUUGACUUUUCUCUUCUUCCUUUUUCCAUCCAAUUAUAUUUUCUCUUUUUUUGCCUUUUUGUAUAUUAAAUUUGGUUAAAUUAAUUUUUUUUUCUUUUUCCCUUUUUGUAUAUUAAAUUUGGUUUAAUUAUCCACCGCCCAUUUAAAAAGCUAAAAUAAUUAACGAACUUCCUCGUGAUUUCAUAAAGUUAUGGAAUAUUUCUUUUACUUAUUUUUUUCGUAGAGAUCAAGUACGUUUAAGUAUUAAAAUUAUUACAACUUGAAUUAAUUUUAAUUAAUCCAAAGAUAAAGUUUGUUGAAUAAAUCAAUAUUAAAUUCUAUAAUCUCAAAAGCUAAGCAGAAAGUUACGCCGACUAAAACAUAUUUUAUUCUAUUUUCUUAUGUUUUUUUUUUUUAAAAAACAACAACUAAAUAUAAUAUAAUCAUUUAUUCCCACAGGCUUUUCACUGUACUUUGUGGGUGCGCUUGGUAGGAAGAAAAUAUUUUUCGCGAAAAAUAUUUUUUUAAGGAAAAUAAGUGAGAUUGUGUCUAAUACGUAAAUAAAAUAUUAUCUUAAGAUAUUUAUAUGUUAUUUAGAUAUAGAAAAUGUAUUAAAAAGUCGAAAAAUAAAGAUAAAAGUGUAUUGAAGGAUUCAAAGGUUAUAUUUACUAUAAAAUGUAAUUUAUGAAACUUGUUUUUCUUAUAUUUAUUAUGAAAAUUUGGUUUUUACAAUUUUUUGAUUAGUCGAGCGCUUUUGUUUAUCUCUUUUAUUAUUUUCGUUUCAGUUCAUGUGAUACAUUUUUUCUCAUUAAUUAUGUUCUAAAAAGAAUGACACGAUAUUUUUAUCUAAAUCAAUAAAUAGUUAAUUUUAUAUAUUUUUAAUGAGAAAAAUUUACUAUCACACAAAUAUUAUGAUGCAUUUAAUUUAACAUGUAUUAAAGUAUUAAUUAUCAAAAAAAAUAAAAUAUUAAACUGAUUAAAGUUAAAUCACAUAAAUUAAAACAGGAAAAGUAUCUGAAUAAUGGUUGCAUAUGUCUAUCAUUAUUUUUAUAAAUUAAAGAGAAAGAAUAUACUCCAUAUAAUCACACACUUACAUGCUCACAAGACCAAUUAAUUAAUCUCAUAUAUUAUAUAUAAUCACAUGAAUAGUAAUGAUUUAUUUGCCUAAUCAUUAUGAUACUUUUGAUUAACAUAAAGUGAUUAAGAACCAUAUUUUCAAUCCUUAAUUAAUUAUCAUAUGAUUUAAUUAUAUCAGAAAUAAUUAGUCCUGAUACAUGAGUAUAACAAUCUUUCUAAUAAUUUUAUGCACAUCUUCCAAAGUUUGGAAAAAAAAAACACAUAUAGACUAUAUUAAUUAAUUGAGAUUAUAUAUUUUAGUCAUGUAGUAUUACUUUAAACCAUAUUUGUUAGGAAUUAAUCUUUAAUUUAAUUAGAUAUAUAUAAUUUAUUAAUUAGUAUAAAUAUAAAGAUUUUCUAGUGUUCAAGAAACUAAGAUUUUACAAUAUCGAUCUUAAAUAAAGUAGCGACCAUGUUCAACUUGCUUAGAACAAAGAGCAAUCAGUUAAACACAGCCUAUCAAAAACUAAAUAAACAUAUGAUGCAUAUUGAUCAAAUUAAGACUUAUUAUGCAUAUAUAAUAUCUGAAAUAUCACUUUUAAAUAUCUUUUACGAAAUUUUUAAUUCUGAUAUAAUUUUUAGAUACGAUGUUAUUGUUAUUGUAGUAUUAGUUGAAACCAAAUAUUUUUUUUUUUGGGAUGUAUAGACAUUUGAUCAACCUAGAGUAACUCAAGCUUUGAUAUGUGCGUUGUCCUAAGAUGAUAUGAUGAGAUUUCACUACAAUCAACUUUGCCAAUAUUCUUCAAAAAACUAAAAAUAUUGAGAUUUUCGAUGGAAAAUUCUUAGAGAACAUUUUCUUUUACGAGUGUUUUUCAAACUGAUAAGUGACGAUUUUGAAAAACUUGUGCUCUUAGGGCAUGUAGACAACUCAAUAUGUUUGUUUUUUUUUUACUAUAAGAAACUUCCUAUAAAAUUUUAGUUGAAAAUUAGAAGAUAUUGGGAAAUAGCUACACCUCAUGUUUUUUGUUGGUUUUGUUUGUUUUUUUGAAGGGUGUGAUUAUGGGUUUUCAUGCUCAAUGGUACUUUUAGGUGGAAAAGAAUGGAAGUGAGAUAAUAACAAUUAAAAAAAAAAAAUUGGAAUGUAGUGUAAAAUUUUAUUUUAUUUUUAGAAAAUAUAUAUUUUAUUUCUUGGAAGAAAAUAAAUAUAAGGAUAAGGAGGAGAAGACAUAUUUACACACACUCUCUUUAUCUCUCUCUCUCUCCUCACAUGAAUAAAACUAUAUAAUAAGUAUCAAAAAAUAAAUCGAUGACUUUUAUUUUAUUCGAUCGAAUUUAAAAUAAAAGUCGAAUUAAUUAAUUUUAAUUUUAAUCAAAAAGUAUGAACCUCUAAUAUAUGAUAUCAAAAUUCAUAAGCAAUUAAUCACUAUAUCCAAUUCAAUUUAAUUUUAACUUUUCUCUCCGUCCAAAUAACAAACAAAUGAAGCAAAUAAUUUAAUUGCUUCCCUUUUUUUCUUUUUAUUUUUUUGGUCCAUUUUUAAAAUAAGAAAACUCAAGCAUUUGUAUCAAGUCAACACAUUAAUUAAGCCGUGUGAUGCUUUUUACUAAAAAUAGGGCAAAUUGAUUUUUCCAAAAAUCUUAAUUAUUUUGCUAUUCCAAAAUCAAUUUAUGUGUAAUUUAACCAAAAAAACAUUAUGUGGGGGUGGGAGGAUAAAUAGCUGCGGAGUGAAAAGAAUAAUAAACUUGAAAUAUUAGUUAUAAAAUUAGCGAAGACAAUUUCCUCGUUUUUAAGGAAGAAAUGUAUGUUUCAAAAGGGGUCAUAAAAUGAACUCGGAAGGGAAGCUACAAGAGCAGGAGGAACACUUUGAUUAAUCGUAGUCAAGUCGAGUGAUCAAUGAUAUAGAUUGGGUACAAUUACUGAUACUCGUUGGUGGAAAGAGACAAUAUCUCAUAAACAAAAUGUGUGCAAGAAGAUCCAGACAUCAAAAUUAUUAAAAAAACAAAUUAAUUUACCAAACAUGAAAAAAUUGAAAUUUGAUAGAUUGGAUACCAUUACUGAUACUCGUUGGUGGAAAGAGACAAUAUCUCAUGAACAAAAUGUGUGCAAGAAGAUCCGAACAUCAAAACUAUAAAAAAAGAUAUUAAUUUACCGAACAUGAAAAAAUUGAAAUUUGAGUCGGAGUCUUUUGACUAUCAUAUUUACCCUCAACUUGAUAUAUCUUAGCUGGAGCAAAUAUGUAACAAAGUGCAAUUCAAAUACAUGAAAGCUCAAAUUUGUAGGUUGACUCCAAAUAUGUGACAAAUUUAUGACUUAUUUUGGUUGCAAAAAAUAAUAAAUUAUAUUUAAUGUACAAGUUAGUUUGAGUUCACACAGGCCAUACUAUAUAGUAGCAUAGCAUGCAUAGCUUGGACAUAGAUGAAAUACUUUAUAGAAGUCUUUACAUUGAAUGUGGGGUCUCUCAUUAAUAAUAUACUCCCUCCGUCUCAAAAUACCUGUCAUAAUAAAAAUUCAAGAAAAAAAUAAUCAAUUUUCUCUCAUUUUACCAUUAGCGUCAAUUGUUCUUAAAGACUAUAAAUACCUCGACUACGACAUGUAAAUAGAGUAUAACAUUCAGAUAUAAAUAAGGAUGCAACAACAACAAUAUAUCCAGUAAAAUCACACUAAGCAGGAUUUGAGGAGGAUAGAACGUAACGCAGACCUUACUACUUCCUCAAUGAGGUAGAGAGGUUAUUUAUAAUUAACCCUCGGCUCAAGUAUAAAAGGACGAAAAUAAGAUUAAAAUAAUCAAAUACCCUUCUUAAUUAAUAUUUUCUUAAGCAUGUAAAUGAAAAAUACGACAAGUAGUUUGAAACGGAGGAAGUAUACAGAUUUAGUAGUCAAAUACCUAUUCUGAUUAAUAUUUUCUUAAAGGUCGUGUAAAUGAUGAACACGAUAAGUAUUUUGAGACAGAUGGAAGUAUAUAGGUUCAAAGGGAGUUAAAACAAUUUUAUAUAGUAUAGCUUAUAGGUAGAUACAUUAAUUAAAAGAAUAUAUGUUCAUAUCAAAACAAAGUAAGGGAGAAGACCACAAACUUAAUCAUAUGAAAAGGACAAUAAACACAUCAUUUUCAAAUCCUAAUUACAUCCCCCACACCCCUACCCAACCCCCACCCCUCUCAUGGCCAACUUCCCCCUUAUUUAAACCUCUCUAUUCCUCUAAACCCUCUCCACACAAUUCAUUGUCAACUUGAAAACUCAUAAUAUUUCUCUUUUCUCCUCCUUGAUCUUCAACAACAACAAAACAAAAAAAAAAAUUGCAAGAAAAACAAAAGUUGAGUUCAUUGCAUAUUUCUAGAACUUAUCUUGAUGAAUCAAUAUUGUAAUAGUCCUUGUUCACCACUAAUGGUUCAUGAACUUGAACAAGAAGACUUGUUUGCUGGUAGAUGUAUACUAGUAAAUGGUCCUGUUAUUAUUGGUGCUGGUCCUUCAGGACUAGCAGUUGGCGCGGGCCUUAAACAACAAGGGGUUCCCUUUGUGAUCUUAGACCGCGCCAACUGCAUUGCAUCCUUAUGGCAAAACAGGACGUAUGAUCGCCUUAAACUUCACCUCCCGCGACAAUUCUGUGAAUUGCGUUACUUCCCAUUUCCACAAAACUUCCCUGAGUAUCCUACCAAGUAUCAAUUCAUUAGCUACCUUGAAUCUUAUGCCAAGAACUUCGAGAUCAGCCCACGAUUCAAUGAGUCGGUCCACUCUGCUAAGUAUGAUGAAACAUGUGGUUUAUGGAGGGUGAAGACAGUGUGUAGAAAUGGUUCAGUCAUUGAAUAUAUAUGUAGGUGGCUUGUGGUGGCUACAGGAGAGAAUGCAGAAAGAGUAGUGCCCGAAUUCGAAGGAUUAGAAGAUUUUGGUGGACAUAUUAUGCAUGCUUGUGACUAUAAAACAGGGGAAGUUUAUGAAGGGAAGAAUGUGUUAGUUGUUGGAUGUGGUAAUUCAGGCAUGGAAGUUUCACUUGAUCUUUGUCACCAUAAUGCAAGUCCAUUCAUGGUCGUUCGAAGCUCGGUAAGUCUCAUUCAUCUAAUCCAAAAUCUUUCAUGACUUACAUCUGCUAAAGAAGAAAAAAAAAAACACUCAAUUUCCUUCAUAAAUCUGCACACGACAUAUCGAAUUCCUCAUGACACAUACAUAAGAGGUCACUCCUUUAAUAAUCUACAUGAUUUACGUUUUCUAAGAGAAAAAAACACUCAAUUAACUUGAGCGCGUUUUGUCUAUGUCCUUCAUUUGCCAGAAAAUCUGCACUUGACAUCUCUAAUUCCUCAUCACAAGUCUAUAUAUAUAAUCAUCAUAUGAUAUGUAAUGAAAUAAUCAAUCUAGAAAAUCUGCACCUGACAUCGCUAAUUCCUCAUCACAAAUAUAUAAUCAUAUGAUAUCUAAUGAAAUAAUCAAUCUUUUCAUGAAACAGGUUCAUGUUUUACCAAGGGAAAUACUCGGAAAAUCAACGUUUGAGUUAGGAGUAUCAAUGAUGAAAUGGCUAUCAAUUGAUGUAGUUGACAAGAUAUUACUAGUUGCAGCAAGGUUACUUCUUGGAAACAUAGAAAAGUAUGGUUUAAAAAGGCCAUCCAUUGGACCUUUACAACUCAAGAAUACAGAAGGAAAAACUCCAGUUCUAGACAUAGGUGCAUUACAAAAGAUUAAAACAGGAGACAUAAAGAUAGUUCCAGCAAUCAAAAAAUUUUCUCAAGGAAAAGUAGAAUUUGUCAAUGGAGAAAUACAAGAAAUUGAUUGUAUCAUUUUGGCAACAGGAUAUUGCAGCAAUGUUCCUUCUUGGUUAAAGGUAAGAAAAAAAAAUAUUUUUUUUAUUUUUAUUUUGGUUGUGUAUUUAUUUUUUAAUUUAUGGAUUGUUGUGACAGUUAUGGAAGUUGGUUUUUUUCUUUGUAGAUUCUCUGUUCCUAUUUCUUGUAGCAUUGUUAUGUAUGAUCAGGUGGAUGAUACACGUAUUCUUUUAUACUAUGGUAAUUAAUAUUUUCAGAAACAAGAUUGAGCUUUCCAAGAAAAUAGUUGAAUGGAUUAGAUCAGAGAUCUGAGCAGCAAAUAAAAUUCUGUUUUUUGUCCUUUUUUCUAUGUUCAAGAAUAUUUUCAUUGAAUUUUGGUAUAAUGAGUUUGUAUUCAUUUUUAAAAUGCAGGAAAGUGAAUUCUUUUCAAGGGAGGGAUUUCCAAGAAGUCCAUUUCCAAAUGGAUGGAAAGGAAAAGCUGGUUUAUAUGCAGUUGGAUUUACAAAGAGAGGACUUUCUGGUGCAUCUUUGGAUGCAAUUAAAGUAUCACAAGAUAUUGGAAAAAUUUGGAAAGAAGAAAUUAAACAGAAAAAUCAAUCUGUUGCUGUUGCAUGUCAUAGAAGAAACAAGUUAUCUUCCUUCUAGUAAACGACAACAACAUACUCAGCAUAGUCCUACAAGUAGAAUCUGGAGAGGGUAGUGUGUACGCACAUCUUACCUCUAUCUAUUGUUUCUAAUAGACCCUCCAAGUUACCCUUCUAAUAUAAUUUUUUUAUAUUUUUUUUUUAACUUUUUACCUUUUCUUCCUGUAAUUUUUACUUGCAAAGUAACCAAAAAAAAAAAAAAGUAAAGACCAUUUUGUGACAAGAGACAAACACAGAAAGCAGCCCUGUCCAGAGAAAUACCCAAAUUCUUCUUUGGGCAUUUUAGUAGGAAGAAGAGGCUUUUUUUAGCAUCUACUUCUAAGGAGAAAUUUGUACAAAAGGUUUAUUAAUAUAUGUACUAAUAGAAAAAAUGUGACUAUAUAUAUAUAUAUAUAUCCUUUUCUUGGUAAGUAAUUUAACCAGUAUCUUUUAAAUAGUAAGGGAGGUUAUACAGUAGUCCCUAGCCAAUAUAUAUAUAUAUAUAUAUAUAUAUAGAUUAUACACAAUUCCACACAUAUAUUAUGUAAAUCAUGAGCUAAGUUGUAGAGACUCUUCAAAAAGAUCGAUGGAUAUGUAUCGUUGGGGGAAUCUAACAUAGAUGUGACAACAUUUUUGGAGUCCGAGCAACAUAAAUAAUGAGGGCUUCAAGGCCUGUGAAGGGAAAUUAACCUUCUGAUAUUGUAAAAGUUGGUUAAAGAAUGGUCAAGGGUAAUAGGAAGGUUCUCUCACUCAAUAAAUUUUGGUCCACCUAAGUCAUUUAUUCUACUGAUGGGAUCUAUCUCUAGAACAUGGUCCACCUAGGGGCCCCAUUAAAUAUGGUGGACCAAAAUAUCCAUAAUUCCACAACAUCCAUUCUUUAAAUUUAAAGAUGACAUAGACUUUUCACUAGUUUAGUUCAAGAAAAUACCUAUGCAUAACUCUUAGAGCACCUCCAUGUUGCCAAGCACAUGGAUAGAGCCCACAGAGAAGAGAGAAACAUAGGGGGUAAAAAGAUCCCCUUGCCUUCAAGUCAAACUUGGAAGGUAUUCUGUCUAUAUUGCUAGGACUCUUUAAAAAUGUCACUAUGUGCAUGUCGGAUCUAUCCUCCGAAAGUAGCACAUUUUUUAACCAGUCUUAGCAACAUACAAUUCAAUGGUAAAAGCACAACAUGUUAUGAGUGUUUUACACUUUGUUGUGGACAAUAACCUGGUAUAUAGAAAAGGUAAAGGAACAAACUCACUAUUCAUUGAGUUUCGAACCAUGCACCAGCUAACUAGCCCUCAGAAAUUUCUCGAUUAUAAGAACGAAAAAGUCAAACUUGGAGAAUAGUUUGAUACUAUUUGAUCUUUCUAAAUCUUUCACAUGUAUAAUAUAAUAUACUUUUAAGAGGUUUCUCAAAUUGGAUAGAAUUUAGAACACCAUACCUCAGACCAAUGCCAUAUGAGUCUAGCUAGCUCAGUCAUUGUCACCUAGUAAAGUGAGAAGAUUAUCUUGAACUUUAUAGGGGUACAACUUCAUGGAUUGGAUAGUUCAAAGAGUCAUCCUGAAGUUAUCAUAUUCCCCUCUUCACAAGUCAAAAUAUUUAUAACAUUGACUCACAAUAUCUCAUUAUAACAGAUUGCCUUACCAAAAAUAGAAAAAUAUGAAAAAUAGAAACAAUGAAUAAUUUUAUCCAUCUAGCCUAGCCACACCUAUCAGCAAAUCCUAUAUGAAUCAUUGCCAUGUUAGCAUCCUAAAUUUUUUUCUCCUGUAUCAAUCUUCUUUAUUUGGUUCCUGUACAAUGUCCAUAAACUGAAAUGUCCUAAGAGCAUCACAUUGUAACAAUAGAUGCCUCGUUCAUCAUUCGAAUUUUUAAUUCUCUCUAUCUUUUCUAAUAAGAAUCUAAAAGAGAUAGGAUGAGGGAGACAGAAUAUACAUUUGAUAGUCAGUUCGAUGAAUAAAAAUCUCGAGAAAACUAUUCAAUUGAAUCAUUGGGGAAGGGGGAAGAAGAAGGUUGAUUAUAGGUUCAGAGGAGUGGUCCAUGGUUGUCUCCUUGGUAACAAAUAUUAUUUCCUGUUAUGUAACAAUCUUAUAAUAUAAAAAAAUGGGAAUUGAACUUCUUUUCAAUGAGAUCCAACAUGACUUAAAUUUCCCAUUGCACAAUGAACAAAGAACAUAAAAAAAAUUCCACUGACAGAAAAGAUUUAAACAAAAAGAAGAAAAUCCAAAGAAGUAGUACAUAUAUAGACAACCCAUAUGAGUUCCCAUGCUGUUGAAUCAACCAUGCAGCAAACCUUUAUCUACUGUCCCAUCUAGAAUUGCUUCACCACCACAUAAAAAAAAUUCUUGUAAAAACAAAUAUAGAUAUAUUAUAUACAAAAAAAGACAGUUUCAAACCUUAAAUUAAUGAAUGUAAAACACACACAGCUCAUGUUCCUCAACUUGAUCCAUGCAAAGUGUUUGAAUUUAACACUUCUCUACCAGGAACCUACAGUUUCUAUUAUGUCUUUUUGCAGUGUAACUUGUAUUUUUUUCCACACCUUGCAACCAGGGGCAGAGCUACAGUUCUGCCUACGGAUUCGACAUUAUUGAGAAAUACAAGUAAAAGCUUUUAGAUGAGAUGAUCAAACACUUCAACAGACACAACUCAAUAGCUGUAUUUGUGUUUUAAAAUUUAUUUACUACGAUUAGAUAAGAGUGUAAUCCCACCUGCAAGGUCUGCGGAGGGUUUAGUGUUUGAACACCUUACCUCAUCUCGUGGAGGUUAAAAUUUAUUUAAUAUGUAUAAAUAAUAUAUCCAUAAAUCAGUAAGCUACAUUUUCUAGAAUUCAGAACUCGUAAACUCAAAAUUCUUGUUCCGCCUCAGCUUGCAAACCUAUUAUUAGAUAUCACUUUUACCGAGAGAGAAAUACACAUGGCCUGGGUCACUAACUAUAUCCUCAAAGUUCCAUGAGAAAGCCCAUUCCUUCAUGCCCUGAUAAGCAGUCAAUUUGCAAGUGUUAACUUGAGUUGGAUGGUGGACACUACAUCUUUGUAUCUUACUGUUGCAUGUCCUACUAGAAGAGUGUGUAUCCUGUGAUUGGUGAAGUUAAAAUAUAUGAAGCUUAUAUAGGUGUCCCAUAUAAAACAUGAGAUAAUAGUGGUGGAGCACCCUUGUCCAAGGGGUGUCAAUUUGUUGAAAAAUCACAUUGUAUAGAUAGAUAAGAAAAUUCAUAUAUACUAUAUGUUGAAUCUCCUUUACUUCUUCGUGUAUUUUUACCGACUUCCCUUGGUGAAAUCACAGUCCACCAAUCAUCUUUCAUAAUCAUUGACUAAUACUUUUAACCAUUUCCAAAAGAAAUUUGAAAAAUGAAUUUACAUAUCAUAGUACUUUGAACAUGGAUUGAAACGAUGUUUCGAAAAAUAUAAAUCAUCUUUCAGACUUCACACUGGAGAUAGGUUGAAAUGACUCUUGAUAAACUACAUAUCACAUUCAGUUUGAACCAGAAGACAAACAGAACAAUAUCUUAAGCAAAGCUAAAUCAAAUGUGAUAUCAUGGAUUUACUAUCAAAAGCACAAGCAUUUGAAACUAAAUCACAUACAUGAAGAGUUGUUUUUACCAAUGGUCAACAUAGUUAAUUAUUAUAAAAGGAAUUACAAUUCUAUCAAAAAGAGUUAAUUCUGAUGUGUGUUUAAUUAGACACUAUACACGUACAUGAAGAGUUGCAAUCACCAACAUUUUUUUGAUAACCAUGGUGUACGGGUUAGCUCGCACGCACCUCGACUACUCUAUGGGAUACUUGCUACCUUCCACCAGCAUAGGUACCGGAUAACUUUGUUCACCAAAGCUUGAGUUGCAAAUGCCAAAGUUCUACCAUCAAAUUAUUCACUUUUUGGAAAGCAUUUGAUCAAUUUCUCCACUCUCGUUGUACAUGCUAACAAUUUUCUUUGCAUAUUCAGGCAUAUGUCUGUCCGCUCUGCAAUUACACAAAAAACACGUGUGAGAAAAAAUUAAUGUAAUCCAUCAUAAUGGAACAAAUAUGAAUUUCUACAGACCUUUCUUUUCCCCAUUUGCGGACUACGUUUAAGUAAUUUCUGAUUGUGUGAUAAUCUAGCGAGUAACGUGCAAAUUCUAGACCCUUCGGUCCGACCUGAACCAAGACAAACAAGUUUAAGCACAGGGAAUUUGUUGUCCUUUCUGAAAGUAACAAGUCAGUGAACAAAAAGUUCUUACUAUGUUGAGAAGAAAUGCUAUUAAAUUUCCAACAAACUUUGGAGCAGGUUGAGAAGGACCUCUUCCUGGAAAUUCAGAAAGUUUCUGCAUAAGUCUUGUGAGAUUACUGAGAAGUUGUUCAACAAAAAUAUUUACUUCAAGAACAUGUCAGAAAAGGAUUUACUUCUCGGGGUUCUGCCUUCAGCAUACUGUAAUCAACGGGGAGUAUCAUAACAAAUGAAGUAAUUGAAGCAACUUAAAUAGCUAAAUUCACUUGACUUACAAGGAUUAAAACAAAUUAAGGUUAAUCUUAAAUAAACAGUCGAUGAGAUGUGUAACAUUUCAUACUUUUUAACAGCAUUCAAAGCGAAAAGGGAUAGGGAAAAAGGUCAGAUGUUUGAUACUUGCACAUGGACCCAACAAAGAACAGUACAAAACCCGAGAGCAGAUAUCUAAUUCUGAACCAGCAGCAGUAUGUGUACAGAGAGAGCCAGCUUAGUAACAACUUAUGAAAUGAAUAAAUAUCACAAAAUACCACAUACCAAAUUUUGCUUCAUCAUCUGCCUUCACGGUUUCCACGACAAAUGGACGCCGCUUACCCUGAAAAAAGAUGCAUGCUUUGAAAUAAGUAUAUCACAAGAAAGAGUUAAAAGAAAAAGUUGUGAGAUGAAGCAUCAUGUAUUACACUACUUAUCGUCGGAGUAAUUUCCAAGAGGUUCUCGAUAAGGUUUAGCAUUUCUCUACCACGUUCAUUUCUGCAUUUGGAAUGUGCAAAAGUAUAUCUUAAACAAGAUUAUUUAAGGGUAGAGCUAUCAGCAUGUCCUUUUAAUCUGUCAACGGCUUAUAAGAUUUGGCAACACUUUACCUGACAGUAACAUACUGGGGAUGCUGCAUCAUGCUGAUUCCACUGUAUUUCGGCACACCCAUGUAUCCCACCACCAAAUCCUGACAAGUUCCUUGAAGGUAAGAUUUGAAAUGUUGGCAUAUGCACCGGGAUUAUCAAGCUUUGCUUUUAUUUAAACGAAAUAAUCUGUCACGUUAAUGUUUGGAAACUACUGUAAUAGAGAAAGACAUCGACUAAUAAAUCUUCCAAGGAGCAAAAAUACUUAAUUUUCAUGGAUAAUAAGAUAUGCAGCAUCGAAUCUUCAAUGAUACGAUUCUAGAAACCUUAAAGAGUAAACUUAUGACGGAACCAUAAUGCAUUACCAUCCAAGACCAAAAUGAGUUUGCUAAAAGAUCCCCCUUGGACCUCAACCACUGAAUCUUAUCUCCAGAUCUGUCACAAGCUUUCACUUGAAAACAGUUGGAGCAAAUGAGUGGCCAGGUCUAGCUCUAGAACCUAUAAAUUCCUCAAUGAUCGAGGCUGCCUUUGCAAAACCUCUUUCCCUGUCAGAAAACUACGCACUAGAAAAAGAUCUGUUUGUGAGACAUAAAGAGAGAAGAGAUCUAUUCAAGAUUAACGAUUUGAUGACUAUAAUACAGACCUAUUUAUAAGUUCCAAACAUAGUAGACAAAUAGACAUUUGCAAAUGCAGGAAAUUACACCAGUAAAAUUUAAUAUUCCACCAGUAACACAUCACCUUUCAGAAUCUAAGACUAAUCAAAGUAGCAUUUAAGAGUAUGCUUUCCUUUGCUAUUUGAAAGUCUAACACAUGUGUAUGUACUGUGCACAUGCUUCUCUUGGAUGUUUAUUUUGUCUGUUUCUUUGUGAAAAUUGUAUUGUGCAAUAUAUCAGGGCCUUUAAUUAUGAACAAAGAACUCACCGCCAAGCCAUUUGUGUAGUCAAAACAGCUGUAAUAGAAGGAAAUAACAGUUUACAGAUCAGCACAAGUUCAUAUUCUGAAGAAUGAGAGACAGGAAUGAAAUAUAUGAUAAAUGCGAAUGUAGGAAACGUGAAGCUUGUAUAGAAUGUUCAUUUAGACUUCUCCAACUGCAUAGCAUCUUUACAUUUGUAGACAAGCUGAAAUCCAUGUUGACAUUGUCUAAAAGAAUGUGUUAUUAGUUUGAUUGAUUUCUUUGUUGCCUAAACUGACACGGCAGGGAAUGCUACCAUAUGCAAUAAACCCAACGACAAGUAUAGUUUUACAUGGCUUAUCCAACUUGAUUUAACCCAAUUGUCCAUAUCAGAGCGACAACUUACAAGUGAGAACCAGAGAUCACAUAGAACGUAAUAAGCCCAUGACACUACCUUCGUGCACAUACUAACAUACUUAUGUAUACUUCUCCCUAGUUUAUGCUCCACAAGUGAAGGAAUUUCUCAAUACGAAUGUAACUGAAAAAUAAAUAUAUUAACUAUUAGGAAGAAAGACGGUUCCUGAAGAUUUUGUUUGUCAUCAAAUUUGUUAAUCUACAUAAUCUUUGUCUGCACACCAAAUUUUCUUCCACAGAUUUUCACCCUUACUCCAUGAACAAAGUAUCUAGAAUAGUUUGACCAAGAACGGAUAUUACGAGCAUUAUUGAGAUCAUUGUUUCUUUUGAUUCAUAAGUGGGUCCAAAAAUGAGAUGGGAAGUUACAUUUCUAUGAACUUCAUAAGAAAAAUAGUUGGCAUGCAAUAAUUUUUCGAGUAAUUAACACAUUUUUUUAAAAAAGAAUAUCCAGUAGAUCGUCUAAGUAGCUCACUUAGAGAAUGUCGCCUACGACGGUUUGACUACAUCCCACAUAAACUUCCAUAUCCAUAUAGGUGAUACCAACUAGAUAGGAUGCAGUCAUUGAAGCAUAGUUGUUGCUACGCUUGCAUAAGUGCUUGUCAAGGGUCUUUUUAUUCUUGUUGAAAACUAGUAUAUCCACGUAGGGAUAAGGGUGAUAUUUCACAUCUUUAGUUUGCUACGGUUCCCUGCGGUCCAAACCCGGUGCCGCUUUAGGUUAGGGAGCUGGACGAUACCUUAUAACACGAAUUAUUAGAUAUUGGAAAAAAAUUGACCUAACAGAGCACAAUGGAUGCUGAGGAUACAUAAAGCCACCCAAACUAAUGUAGGAUUAAUUUAUAGUUGAUUGACUAAUUGGAUCAACUCAUAGAGGGAAAGAAAGAAUCAUUUCCAUGAGCACAAAGAGAUGGAACAAAAAAAUUAUAUUCAGACUUGUCCACCACCGACCUCUGACCCAAAAAGUCUACAGGUUAAGUAUGCAGAUAUUGUUUAAAGGCUUCAGUAAAUCAAUAAUAAGCAAUUGAAAUACCUGUAACAAGAUGGUGCAAUAACAUCAACCAAGUCAUUUGCUGGUAAACAGAAAUAGGGAACCUGCUUAGUGAAAUAUAGAUCUGAAUAAACAGCAUUCAAAUAAAACAAAAGAUACGAAAAAGAAGAUGCUAUUUUACCUCUUCAAUAUGGCCAUCCAAAUGCUUCAGAUGGACCUGUUGAAAUGUAGAGCUUAGACAGAUGCUUCAACUGAUUAGAAAACUAUCACAUGCAAUUCAAUAGUAUAUCCUUUAAAUCAUAGUAAAAGAAGAAAGCUAUAAUAUGGUUUACAGGAUUAACUGUCAAAUGUUUUCAUCUAUAAGGUGAUGAAGCACAUGUGAGCUUAAUUUAGUCUUUCUCAUUUGCAAGAUCCUACUUAUUGGUAAAUUUCUGAUCCAACAAAGGAUAGUAACCCUCCAUCAAAUUCAACACGACACCAGCGGACGAGGCAUGGUACUUGAGAUAUUAAUUUGAUUUGUGUAUUUUAUAGGUAGUAGUUGAGGAAAAUUUUAAAAUAUUUUUGUAAACGAAAUUAGGUUGACAUAGAAAUGCCAAAUCAAACCUUAAUAAUUUGACUAUUCAAACAUAUUAAAAUUUGAGAAACUGAUGAAGUUGUAUAAAGUUAUAUUGUUAGUAAGAUGGUGUCAAAGAUUUUUGUACGCCCAAAAUAAAGAUGUGUCAUAUAAAAUUUAUCAGGAUGGAGACAAUAUGAUAUAUUGAAGUGCAUCUUCAUGAGUGAACUUACCUCACCAACCAAAUGAAAACAUAUUCUAGAAAAGCACCCUAGUUAUCAGACUAAGAAAGGCUGUUUACUGAUGUUUUAGAAUACAACAGAAGCAGAAAACAUAUCGUCAUGACAAACACAGAAUGUAGAAGUUGGUUUCCUUGUUCUUAUACUUGAAUGGAUAGAAUUCCAAGAUCACAGAGGUUAUGCAUAAGUUGUCUCACAAUGAAGCUCAGCUUGUCAUAAAAGAGUAACAGGAGCUUACUUUUUUUUCUUUAUGGAAGAAAUAUAACAGUAGCACACCUUGUAGUCUUGCAUAAACUCAUAGUGGAGAACUGUUUCAGGUUCACUGCUAGCAGCCUUCAGAAAUUUAUCUAAACCUUCUCGUGGUCCAUUAUCCACUGUUGAGAAAUGACAGUUAGUAUAGGUCUAUAUUGACUAAAAAUAUCUAAGAGGGGAAAGGAGAUUCUAAUAAAAAGCAGUUUAUAGAGCAUCCCUCUUACUAUAUACUCCCUCCAUUUCAAUUAAUUGUCUUAUUCCUUUUCAGUCCGUUUCGAAAAAAAUAUUUCUUUCCCUUUCCUGAAACUCUAUAAUUCCAACUUUCCACAUAGCCUGUUUGAAACCACGAGUUAAGAGGUAUUUUGGUACAUUCUACAUAUUUAUAGUUUAAGAGUUAAGACCACGAAAUUCAAAAAGUUUUCUUUACUUUCUUAAACUUUGUGACAAGUAAAAACCACACAAACAAGUUGAAACAGAGGGAGUAUCAUAAAAGAUUCCAUUGAAUCUUUGUCCAGUUUGUCCACUUACUAUAUGUCUUAUUUUCUCUCCCUGCUUCUGUGGUGGACAAACUGAAAAAAUUAAGUUGACUCUUUUUUGAGAUACUAACAACAAACAAGUACUCCUACUGGUGAUGUUAAUAGAUCAAACUUUUUGUUAUUUAAUUUAAAAAAAGAUCAAAAUUAGAUCUCCAAACACACGUAAUUACAAACAUAAUCAAAUUUCAAGCAGUUGGUAGUUAUAUUAGAAUUGAUCAAAGAUGUAGGAAAGGAGUCUAUGAAUACCACCGACUACUCACCACAGUUAGUGCCUAGAACAUAAAGUUUUUCCAGAUUCAAAUAUUGCUCCACUGAUCUUAAAGCUGCAAGUUAGGAAAUUGUUCUGCUUAAAAUACAGAGAUGUAAAUUGUAAUGACAACAUCAAGUUUGAAGCAGAGAUGAAGAGAUCAUAACAACUUGGAUACCUUGAACUUGGCAGCCAACCCCGCAGAAGAGAAGGCGCUUUACACCAGCUGCCUGUUUCCAGGAAACAAUACUGCUUACUUCAACAUUUGAACUACAAGUUAUACUAUACACUUGUGUGACAAUCCUCAGUGAAAACUGGAAUCUCUUAAAGCCCAGUUUUUAAUGCAUUAGAGCAUGCACGACUAGAAAGUGUGAAAUUCCAUGAUUGCAUUGUUAUGAAAAGAAAUAACAAGAAGCCUACCCUUACAAGUGUGAUAUGCAGAUGGUUGAUGCUUACCAAAAGAAAGGGAGAAAGCAUUUGGGGAGAAAUAAGCUCAAAUAGUUAAAAUAAAGUCAAAAAAUAACCUACGACCUUCAAAUGGAUAGAGAGGAAAAAUUUGGCAAAAAGACUCUGAAAUUGUCAGGAAAGGAAUUCAGCUCGAACCAUAAUAUGGAACAAAUCAGAAAAUCAAAAGAGCUUAUCUUAAUAAAAUCCCCGAUUGGGGCAAUUACAGUAUUAGAUUGUGGUGGUCUGACGGGGGGAGGGGGGGUGAUAGUAAAGCUAAUUUGGUGGUGUGGUGAAGAAUAAGAAAGCAUAGCUACACAAGUUCCAAUUACCUAUUGAGGAGAGAUAUGGCAUCUUCAAUCCAUGACAACAUGCUCCAUUAAGAAUUCAAUAGAGUUACACAGAUUAUAAAUGCAUUGAUGACAACAGAACAAUCAAAGAUUCUGAUGAUAAUGGAAGUGAAAGAAGAAACCUCAACUAAGGCAAGAGUAUUUAGAUUAGGAGACAGUGUCGGCUUAACACCUUUAGCUGCUAUAACUUCCUCUGGAGUCCUAUUAGAAACAUAAAAUUAAAGUUGAAGAUCGAAAUGGUUAAAUUAACAGGUAAAAAAUCAACAUGAAUACAAAUAGCUCAGGAAUUCCCAGUCACAAACCUUGCCAGGACAGGUCGAGGAGCAAAUCGAUCUUCUGGAUCACUAAACAACAUAAAAAAAAGAAGGUAAAGAGUCCAUGAAUUGCUGGGUAAUAAGUAGAAGAAAGAAACCAAAAUUUCAAGUGCAUAACUCAUGUACAGUGAAAUUAACCAGGAGGGAGAACUAAAUUAUUUUUAACCAAAUUGGAUGCAAGCCAUACCUCUGAACACAAAUAACAGCUUCCACCAUCCCAGCUUUUAGCAUCUCCACGGCAAUAGUUGUCACUAUCCCCGUCCAUUGAGCUCCUGAAUGCCAGAAAGAAAAAGAUAGGAAUAUGACCAGAUGAUUCAUAGAAAUUGGCACAUUCUUUUAGUGAUCUAGAGAGCACAAGAAAACAAGCAACAGUAAAUUGAACUAGAAUACUACAUAAGAGCAUCCAAAGUUGUACCUUCCACAGGCUUAGUUUUACGAGCAUACAAUAGAUUCUCAUACACCCCCAUAUAAAUCUCAUCCAAGGAAUCUUCUUUCCGUCCUCGUCCAUGGACAAUAGGUUCCAAAGCCUAAAGAAGAUGAUAAGGAACAGUCAACAUCAUCUGGUCACUUUACCAUAAGAAAUACUAUCUGUACUUUGAGCUACUUCAUAUAAAUUUGACCAAAAGAGAAGGUCCUAAUAGCAUAGCAUGACUGAGUUGAGAACGCAUUCCAAGGAACUGCUACUCGUAGCAAGCACUGAAGUUUUUUAGUGAGUAAUCAAAUCAUUCUUUCUCAUAAAAGAACUUACAUGCACCCCCUGUCACCCUCCACCCACCAGUCAAACUAAAGACGGAAUAAUUUUCAAACUUUACCAAGUUCCUUUGGACAAUAACCAAAAAAAAAAAAAAAUUGUAUAGAAUUGGGGAAAAAAGUUUGACCUGUCACGAGAUUACGUUGUACCUGUAAACUAUGCUAAGCUGUAUGAAAUUAUUAAACAGAAGGUAGAAAAAACAAAGAAAAGAGAAAAGAGAAGAGGACAGAUGUACACCAUAGCGAAGACUUUGAUGGAGGUCUAUGAAUGUUUUCCCAUCGCCCUAUGAGGAGUCUGAUUAGAGUCCGACCAUACUGUGUUUCAGUAUAACAUUAUCAACCCCAUAAAUUUCAGUAUGUCGAGAUUAUGUUAACAACUAGAGAAAUCAUUCUUAUGAAGAUCCACUAUACGUGUCUUGUACCUUGUGUAAUUUAUAGCUCUAUAAUAAUGCCUAAAACUUCAUUUAUUCCAUAUCUUGUCAACAUUCAAAGCAGCAUACCUUUUACCCAAGAGAGUGAAACAGAAAUAUAAAAUUCAAACAUGCUUGUCAAAAGAACUAGUUGGGGUCGGAGGCGAGGACCAGUGAACCCAUCAAGUUCUAGUAUGCAACUUUUCCUAAUAACAAAGUGUUAAAAACUCUCAUGCUCCCAACAGAAGGGAUUUUAAUGGAAGUGGAGUGACCAAAGAAAGAUGAAUUCAAUUGCACACGAGCUAAUAGUGGAUUACACGGUCUCAGAGAACAUGAACCAGUACUCUCUCUGAGCAUCUUUCUAGCUUGCAAACUUUUCUUAUGACUUCCACAACACACUGCAAUAUCACAGCCAAGUCUUGUUUCACUGCAUACACUGUACAUAUUCAUAAGAUGUAAAUCCAUAUGGAUGAGAUAGCUUUUCAAAGGACACAAAAGACAAAACAAAAUUCACAGGGAAAAUCUGCAUGUGACAAUGAAAGCAUGCAAUAAUCAAACUCCAGUAGGUCAUUUAUGACAAACUUAAGGAACAAAAACUAGGCAUAAACAAUAAGAACUGCAACUAAAAGCAACAGUAUCUACAUGUACUAAAGUAGAGAAAGACUCACUUCAACUCUAGACAUGCCAUCCCCAAGAAAGCACAUGCAUUAUUCACAUGAGCAAUGUAGUAAGUGUCACACAAACCACAGUGGCUGCAAACCAGAAACAAAAACUACCAUCAGACAAAAAACUACUAUAAUGAUUACGAAAUAGUCACAAAAUAUACAAGAAAUUAAUUUAAAUAAGUAUGAAGAUGAGUGAUUAAAUGAUACUAACUUAUAAUCCUCAAAAACAUUGAAUUAGUAUAUAAAUAAUGUUAAUUAUUAUUUACCAAUUUCAAAAAAAAUGCUAAUUAAUAUAUAUGAUAUUCUUGUGAACGUCAAAACUUAUAUUUCAGUCUUCCAAACAAUACUUCAUCAUUCAAGCUCCUUUUUUUUCCAUUCUACAAAAUUUGACCCAACUUAGGACGAAUUGAUAUGGAAAGCUACGAUGCUUCAAAGACCCAAUGAAAUGCUUCCUCCAUUUCAAAUUGAAUACUUCAGGUUCUUUUUUAUACUUCAUGCCAAAUUAAUGCCCAAUCUCCCUCAUAUUUAUAGUUCUUUCACAUUUACUAUGAAAAUUGAACCAUUAUAGUUUCCGAAAAGGGAGAACUCUUCAAACACAUAUUAGUUUAAGACACUCUCUCCGUCCGGUAUUGUUUGUCAUGGUGUCUAUUCAUAGAGUCAAACUAUAAAAACUUUGACUAACAUUUUAAGGUGUAUUUUUUCAUCGUAUUAAUAUGCAAAAAAUUGCAAUUUAUAGUACUUUUCAUAUAGUUUUAAAAUAUCUAAUUAUUUUGUUUAAAAUAUCGAAUUAAUGUGAUUUAAUUUAACUUUGAAAAUUAGUCAAAUUGACUUUCAAAAAACACAACAUGACAAACAAUAUUGGACGGAGAGGGAGUGAUUCAUAAAUAGACACCUUAACUUUGCUUAACUAACAACUAAAUACUCCAACUUUAAGAAUGCACAUCUAGACGGUCUCCGAGACACCCGGCACUAUAUGUCUAGAUGAUCAUUUUGUACGUUGGGAGUGUUUAACUCACACAGCCAAGACCAGUUAAGAUGCACACUUUGAGUGUUCAGUUGCCAAUUGAGCCCAACCUAAGAUAUCUAUCUAUGUAUUUAUGUCAUAGUUUAAAGAUAACAAAUAAAAAUAACAACUUUUUCACUAGUCUAACUUACAAAAACUAAAAACUUCAAAAAAAAAAUACAUAGAAAAAUGAUCAAGCUACGCAAUUUACCUCCCAUUACAGCAUUAAAAGCUAAAAUUUCAAUUAUAUUAAGAAAAAAAAAAGCAGAAUUAUGAACCUGCAGUGGUCUUUAGCUGGAUAAGUCCCACCAGGAGGAAUAGGUCGAGAUUUUUUCCUCCAAUCUUCUCUAAUUUUCACUGAUUUCAGGUUUUGGUUUGCAUCUGUUGAGUAAUUCAAACAACAUCAACACACAAAGUUUCAAUUUUUUUUAAAAAAAAAACUCAUAGCAAAAGUUUGUCAUUUUUUGUAAAAAAAAGUUCCUCUAAGAGGAUUUUGUUCAGUGAAUGUAGAAAUGGAGAGAAACAAAACCUUGUUGUUGUGAAGAAGAUGAAACAGUGUAAAAUUUGAAGGGUAAAGUAGAGAUUUUUCCAGUAAGAAACGCCAUUGUUGCUCUGUGUAUCUGCACAAGUGUUUUGCGCCACAAAUAUAUAUCAAAUGAGAUUCUUUUAAGGGUGGAACCAAAACGGUGUCGUCCGGUAUUUAAUUAAUUUCUACUUUUUAUUUUUUUGGAUGAGUAAAAAAAGUGAAAUAUUAAAUAUUUAGAAAAUUAAGAAAUAAUUUUAAUUAUUUAUAAACAAUGAAUCGCUGAAAGUGAUUCGAACGAAUCCUUUUGGUCCUACCUAGCUUUGCUCCUGAAUAAGUACUCGAUAACAUAUUGUGUUGAAAUUUUGAUGAGAUAAACAACACAUACCAUAUCAUUUCACUGAAGUAAAAUCAUAUAGUCGUUCAUAUGAAUACUCAAAAUAGGGUGGCUUUUAAUUUUUGUUCGUCGGAUCAAUAGUCUUUGAAAAUACAAUCGUAAGGCAUAUGUUAUGUCAUACAAAACUUAUGCCUCUGUAGACAUAAGUUCAAUUUCAAAACAUUAUACCUUAAAAAGUUCAUAAAGUCACAAAUUAUAUCUUAUAAGGUAUAGACGUAAGUCCUACAUAACAUGUCGAUGGGAGUAUAAGUUCCAUUUUCAAAACUUGGAAGAUUAAACCUAGAGAAGUUCAUUACUCGCUAUAUCUUAUAAAUCAUAAGUCCCGUUUACAAAACCAGCAAAAUUGAGAAGUUCAUGAGUCACUAUAUCGGAAAAAAAGUGGUGGUUUAAUUGGAGCAGCCCAUCAGGCAUUAAUGGAACUUGGAAGGCACCGAUAACGAUAUAAAUCAUAAGUCCCGUUUACAAAACCAGCAAAAUUGAGAAGUUCAUGAGUCACUAUAUCGGAAAAAAAGUGGUGGUUUAAUUGGAGCAGCCCAUCAGGCAUUAAUGGAACUUGGAAGGCACCGGUCCGUUAUCCUUCCACUGCACAAAGCGGAAGUUUUUCGUUGCUCUGUGAAACCAGCCUCACGCGGUCCACCCCACUUUAGGAAUCUAGUAGCCCAUUCUUUCAAUUGGACCACAUGAUCCAACUCUGUGCUUGGAUAGGGCAGGCCAGAAAUUAGCCCACCAAGCCCAGCCAUCUGGGACAGCCCAAUAUUCCACCACCUUAACAUCCCCACUUGGGUUACAAGCCCACGUUACUAAGCUCGACAUACAA